UCGUAUUUUAUUGAAAACACACCAGCACGAUAAUACUAAAAAUUAAUUCACAAAAGCCAACACGGUUUGUAUGCAGGUGAGGACGACCACCAUAAAAGCAGCAACAGUCCCUGUACCUCUCCAAAGAUUGGGGAAAUAAACACGCUUCAGAAUUCCAUAAUUUUUCUUGACGAAUAAUGUCACUUUGUGCUUCCGACCCUCUUUAUAAAGCUGGUUCAAUCGGUUCGCGGUUUCCCGGUAGCAAGCAGGUGGCUCCCCAAUUCCCUGCAUAAGUUUCUUAAUCGUACGUUGCACCAUUAUAUCCGUAUUUAUUGUGGUAACCAGUAUUCCUUCGUUUCUGCCUUCCUUGCUUAAAAUCCCUUUUUCUAUUAACAGUUUUACAUCUUGGGCAGUUGGAAUGAGAUAAUUCAUUAGUUCUAUGUAAGCACAAACGUAGGCUUUAUCUGGACAAUGGCACAUCUCGAACGCCAUGACGUUCCGAAGGAAAGCUUCAGUGUUGGAGUGCACUGUCAAUUUGGGGAUUUUAAACUUUUUGCCUUCAAAUUUAAUAUCAAGCAAACAUGCAGUUUGAUUAGGUUCAACUAUAAGCUCAACACCAACUUCUUGCAAACUUGUGGCACCAUACACUUUUUUUAACGUUGGGAUCUUGGUCCUGGAUGAUGGAUUUUGUGUUUUGGUCAUAUGGCAUCUUUGCAAAGCGGUGAAGUGUGGGAUUUCUAUAUGCUCGAACUGCGGGUCCCAUGGAAUGUCAAAGUAGGAGCAAGCUAGUUUAAGGAAAGAAGGAACAGAGGCAUCUGAUGCUAGUUUGUGGUUUUCAUAUGGUUUAUACAGUUCUUCAAGCACGAACAUUGGGAUCUGGUUUUCAAGUAAGAUCAAAUCCCUCCGUAGACCAGCGGACCAUGUUUCUUUCAACAAGAAGUCUUUUAUGUCCGAAUUUUUCACUUCCUUCUCGUAGUUCCUCAAGAAGAGCUCCACGAUAAACAGUGCAUCAUAAAAUAUCAUCUUUACGAACUCGUCUUCAUCGAUUAAAGCCUCGUAAUAGUUGAGAAUCUUUUUCUCGUUGCGUUCAAUGAAGCUCCAAAAACUUUCCAAUGGCUCCUCGAAACCGGAAUUCCUUUCAAGAAAUUUAACUUGAUAACCCACUUUAUACUUGGCCAUGCUAGCCAAAUUUGUUUUCCCAUAAUGAAGAGGGCCAAUUGAAAUUAAUAGAGGAGUGUAAGCUUUUGGAUUUGCUUGACGAAUGUUCCUAGGGACCUCGUAGAUAAAACCUUGGUCCGGCCCCCGCUCCAAAUCCUCAGCUUCCGAAUCAUUGGAUGCUUCAUCUUUCUUUGUCUUAAAUGAUGGGGCGUUGAUUUUGCCUAAUUGUCCCUUCUUUGGAGCCAUUUCUUGCAACUACCUUUUCAUGUAUCAAGCAUACAUAUCAAGUUAGCAAUAAACUUUUUAUAUAUAUUGAAUGAACAAUGAUUUUAGUAUCGUUAUGUGGCAUGCAACAUUACAGUGCUUUGAAAUCAGUAUGUACCGACCAGACCAGUGCUAGUAUGUUACUGACUACUGUAGAUCAUACACAUAGAGACUUGAAACUUACAGGGAAUCCGAUAACCUUUCGCUUCCAAUACUAGAAUUGGUUGCUGAAGCCGGGAUUUGAAAACGGAGAGAAAUGGAAGGGAAACGUUGAAGAACUAGUUACUAGAUAAUAAGUGAAUCCUUGAAGUCGAUCAGAGUGGCUAAGGGCAUUUAUAUAGAUGCAAAUUUGGAUAAGGUUGGUUGAAUCUGAUCCACAUAAACAUCAACAAAAAUAUUAGAAAAGGUGGCAUUGGUGAGUGUUUAUAAAUUGAAUCUUAAAAUGUAUUUAGUUAGCUGUUAAUGUCUCCUAUAUUUAAUGUGUUUCACAGCUUCGUUUGUCUUCUAUCAACUGUCUUUUUCUUUUAGAUGUCCCAAAUAGACGACAGGAAAUUAAUUAGAAAAGGACGUAAGAAAAUACAAACAAACUAAAGGAAAAUCCACAUUAGGGCUUUAAUUGCCAACUCCUUUGCUUCUCUUUGAAUUUCUCGAUCUCCUUUGUGCCGAUUUUGUGAAUUUUAUUCCAUGAAGCAGUGUUGUAAUAUCAGCAAGAGCCGAAGCUAGCUUCCAUUUGAUUUACUGUCGAAGAUGUUGAUGGAGAAGAUUUACUCGAUCUCCUAUUUAUGAUUAUGCGGAACAUGGUAAGAAUAUCAAUUUCUAUAAAUAAUUUUUGAAAUAAUUCUUUAUAGGAAAAUCUUUGAUGGAGAAGAUUAGAGAAACUUUUGUUUCUGAAUUUUUGGUUUGGUUUGGUAUUUUUUUAGUAUAUAUGUAAAUAAAAUUCAUCUCCUAUUUAUGUAAGUGCUCAUGUCUCUUCGUAGAGACAUAACUAUCCAAUUAUACCUAUUUGGAUAGUUACAUCUAUUAAGAAUGAACAAGAUCAUUUUUUAUAUAUUACUUGAAUAAUCAUAAUUUUUUUGUUAAUAAAAAAGCAGCAUAGCUUUUAUUAUUUAAGAUUCAUAAUUAAUGUAACACCCUUAACCCGUCACUGUCGUCGAAUUAGGGUUAUGGACCAUUAUCGAUCCAUCGGAAAACAUUUAUCAUCAUAACAUUUAAAAAAUUAAUCUCAAUCAAAAUCAUAGUAAACCUAUAUAUUUGGUCCUUAAAUCAAACCUUCAAGGCCUUAAAAAUAACUUAGAAGCAAUUCAUGACUAAUUUGAAAAAAAAUAGAAGAUUGGGAAAAAUUUGGAAAAAUUGAAAAAUAGGGGUCACACGGCCGUGUGACAUUGCCCAAGCCGUGUAACAAUUGAACAAGGGGACACACGGCCGUGACCCAGCUUGUGUCUUUUCCCGUGUAACUCACUAAGUAGGGUCAAAUGGCAGUGUUGCAGGCUGUGUACCAAACCGUGUAACUCUCUGAGUUGUAACAUACGACCGUGUAACUCACUAACUUAAAACAUUAGAAAUUUACACAUGACACAAGGCCAUGUAGCUAGGCCGUGCAUAUCACACGGCUGUGUGACAGCCCGUGUCCCAAGCCGUGUGAUCCAUAAUUUGACCCUAAAAUAAGCCAAUUCAAGGCCAAAAUACAUGUAACCAAUUAUCCUGUUUGUGUACACAUUCAAGGGAUUUAAACAUCAUUCAAACAAACCUAGACAUGCCAUUUCAAACAUCCUAAUUUAUAUAACCAAUAUGUCAUUCAAAGGCACCACAAUUGUAUCAAAACAUCAUGGAUCAAACCAAAAUAACAUGGCCACUUUUCUAGCAUAUAACCUAGUUCAAUUAUCUACCAAAUCAUAUCACAAAUGAUCAUUUCCAAGCCAUUGUAAACACACCAAAAGAGCCUUAUAUACAACUACUUAAGAAUGGCUAAAAUGACCUAACUUGAACAAGCAUAAAAAGUUCAUCAAAUCCAAACAUAAACUUUACAAGCAUGAACAUACUAAAUCAACCAUUUACAUAUUCAUGAACUGCCAUUACAAAAGGUGCUAUACAUGCCAUUAGUAACCUUGGCCAAAAUACUCAAAAACUACAAAAAUGGUUGCUGGAUAGUGUGAUAGGUCUCCGACGAGCUUCCAACCGAUCGAGCUUUCGAUUAUCUAUAAAAUAAAGGAAAGUAACUACGUAAGCAACUAGUGCUUAGUAAGCUUAUAUAAACUCAAACAAAACUUACCAUUUCAUCAGCACAAUUCAUAGAAUAAGCACAAUAUCAUAAUUGAGACCAUAAGCUUAGCAUAAGCCUAUACGAGCAUCACCAACUUACAAGUUACUAUGCCUAUCUAUGAUACAAAUAUAUUCAAUCAUAUAGUAAGUAAGUGUAAUAGCCCGAUUUUCAGUGAUGUUGGAAAAGUGGUUUGAGACCACCAAAUCUGGUAAAUGAGCUCAUAAAUUUUAUUAUUUAAUAUUUACGAACCAAAUGAGGUUUUUAAAAGAUUUUUGAAUUAGUAAGUUUGUGGUUAUAAGGAAUUAUUAGAUUAAUUAAUUUAGAAAAAGAGGUAUCGAGAUCUCGGUGUUAUAAACCGAGCCUUAAAUAUUUUUAUAAAUAUUUACGGAGUGUCAAUAAGUAGCAUUAAAGUUUCUUUAGGAAUUUUUAACGUUUUGGUAGUGAAUUAAUUAAAAAGGACUAAAUUAAAAAAGGUGUAAAAAUUGCUAAAGUGAUUAAAUGGUCUAAAUAGUAAAUAAAGGAAGGCUAAAGGGGUAAAUAGACCCACAUGAAUGGCUGAGGCGGCAUAGCAUGAAAAAAAUCAAGGAUUUUAUGUGAAAUAAGGGCAAAAUUGUAAAAUUUUCCAAAUUAAAGAGAAAUAAAUGGCAAAUUGAAAAUUCUAGACAAAUUCAUUAUCAUUUUCAGCUUAAAAACAACCAUUGAAGAGGGUUUAAGUUGGUUUUUCAUUUUUUAGUUUCAUGUAGUCUAAUUCUUGCUUUUUCCUUGAAAUUUUUUUGUUUUUGGACUUCUACAACUUGGUCCAACUUACUAUUUUAUUAAGGAAUUUUGGAUGAAAUCAUGUUUUAGGGAUUAAUUUGUAAAGUUGUCAAAUUUAUGUGAAGUUCUAAAAUUUCAUGAAAUUUACGGGUUAUUAUUAAUAUAUAUAUAUAUAUAUAUGAAAUUAUUUAGACUUGGAAUAAGGAAUAAAUUACAUGAAUUUCAUUUUCCAAGCCUAGGGAUGAAAUAGUCAUUUAGUAAAAGUAUAGGGGUAAAAUAGUAAUUUUGCCUAAGAUGUGACUUGGAUAGAAUAGAAUGUAAAUUGUAUUAAAUUGAGCUAAAUUUACUCGUAUAGAUCUAGAUAGACCAAGUACGGAAGUAGAUUGUGGUAAAGAAAAAGUAUUAGAUUAGUAGAUUACAAGUCACGAACAAUUAGUUUAGGUAAGUUCAUGUAACUUAAUUUUAUAAUUAUAUGUUUGAAAUGAUUUGAAUGAAUUGUAUGUGAAUUGUGUAUUGGCCAUGUAUAUGAAAUUUGAUCACAUAUCCGGAAAAUACCUGAUAAAUGUUAAAUCCUGUUUGAAUGAAUGAAAUUCAAUUGGAUACAGGGUUCUGUUUCCCGAAACGGUAGUGGUCCUACAUUUGUUGUGGGCAUACCAUAGCUCGAAAGAGCAUCCCGAUAUAGGCCCUCUCAAGCUUCCCGUUAUAGUGUUCUUGCGAGCUUCCCGUUAAAUGCUCUUCUGAGCAUCUUGACUGGUUGUGAUCUGCAUAUGUUGUAGACACACCCACGCUCUUAUGAGCAUUCUGUUUAUAGGCUCUUUGUGAGCUUCCCAUUAAAGGCUCUUCAGAGCUUCUCGUUAGUGCUCGCUUGAACUUUUUGUUAUAUGGCUAUCUGGUGUUUUCUGAUUAAGUGCUCUUUGGAGCAUCCCAUUAAGUGCUUUUUAGAGCUAUCUGACAUAGGCUCUUUAUGAGCUUUCUGUUAUAAAGCUCGAAUAAGCAUCUCGUUACAUGGCUUAAUGAGCUUUCCGUUAUAGUGCCUGAGAGAGAGCUUUCUGUUUAAGUGCUCUAAUGAUUACUGCCGAACAUGAAUUGACAGAUUUCUAAUUUGUACACUUUAUGUGUACUACCCUUGUAUCUAUCGAGAUUUCAAAUGAUUCAACAGGUGAAAUUCUGACAUGAAGACAAGUGAAAAUAAAAAUGAAAUCAAAAUCUGAAAAAUACAUGAAAUGCAUGGAACUUGGUAUUUGAUGAGCCAUCUUUGGUAUUGGUAUUUACAUGAAAUGAUUAGCCAUCUUUGGUAUUGGUAUUUACAUGAAAUGAUUAACUAACAUAUUUGUUGAGAUUAUGUGCUUAGGCUAUGGCCAAAUUGUUUAGAAUGCAUGUGUAUGUUUACUUAAUGUACAAAUGAAUGGUAAGUUAAUUUCUUGUUAUACGGACUUACUAAGCAUAAUAUGCUUACUCUGUUUUACUUUCAUCUAUUUUAUAGUAAUACUAAAGCUCGCUGGAUUGGACGUUUGAUGGAGAUCACUCACACUAUCCACCGACACAUUUCGGUACAAAUAUGAUACUAAUUAUAGAUAUAAUGGCAUGUAUAGCUUUUGGUUACACGGCCGUGUCCCCAGCCCCUGCACCUUAAUAUUUUGCAAGCUAGAGAGUUACACGGGCUGGGGACACGGCCGUGUGAACUGUAACAGCCUAAUUUUCAGUGGUGUCGGAAUGGUGAUUCGAGAUCACUAAAUCUGACAAAUGAAUAGAAAAUAUUAUUAAUUUAGUGAGAAUAAGUAAAUGUGAAGUUGGGAAAAAUUUUGAAAUAGUGAAUAGUGUACUAGGAAUGAAUAUUAAAGUAAUUAAAAUUGAAAACGUGGUAUCAAGACUUCGAAGAUUUUAAACCGAGCCAUAAAUAUUUUUAGAAAUAUUUAUAGAGUGUCAUUGAGUUGGUAUUAAAGUUUCGUUAGAAAAUUUUAACGUUUGGAUAGUUAAUUAACUAAAGAGGCCUAAAUUGAAAAUAGUGCAAAAUUUGUUAACUUGUGAUUAAAUAGCUUAAGUGACUAAUGAGGAGGGAUUUAAAAGGCAAAUAGGCCCAAAUUAUAUGAGCUGGACGGUUGGGUAAGAAAAAUCAGCAGCAUGUAAGGAAAAACAGGGGCAAAAUUGGAAACUUAACAUAUUAAGCAUUUAAAACAAAGACAAAAGUGAAAAAUCUAGAGAUCUCUUCACAAUUUAUCAGCAAAAAUGCCAUAGGAGAUCUGAAACAAGCUGGUUUUUAAUAUAUUUGAAUCAUGUAAGUUUAACUCUUGAUUAUUUCUUCUAAUUUUUGUGAUUUUAAUACUUUUACAAUUAGGUCCAACUAAUUGUUUCAUUAGUUAUUGAUCUUAUGGCUGGUUUUGAAAGUUACCAUUGAUGAGUACUGAAUUUUUAUGAUGAAAAAACAUGGAAUUAAAGCUUUGAUUUUGUUAUAUGAUGAUUCUAUUAAAGUAAUUUUGAUAGAAAUUGAUUUUAGGGACCUAAUUGUGAAAAAGUUGGGAAUUAGGGUUUGGUGUUGCGGUUUUGAAUAUGAAAGGUUAUGUAGUAGUCUAAAAUAGUUGGAAAAGGUGUUGAUUGAGAAAAAUUAGAUCAAUUGAGGGGUUAAUUGAGUAGGGACCAAAUUGUAAAAACUGUAAAGUUUGGGGUAAAAGUGCAAUUUUGAUAAUUUAAGGGCAGAAAUUGUGAAAUGAAUUAGUAUUGAAUUAGAUGCUAAUAAAUGGAAAAAUUUAUAUUAUAGAUCGAGAACCGGAAGCAAGCCGAGGAAAAGAAAAAGUAGUUGACUAGUCCCUGAACUUUUACAAAUUCUGCAAAUCGGUCCAGGUAAGUUCAUAUGGCUGAAUUUUUAUGAUUAAUUGUUAAUGUGGAAAUGAUAUAUUGUAUAAAUUCGUAUAUUGUUACUGAAUUAUGAUUAUGGUAAAAAUGAGAAGAAGAUGAGAUUGUUAGUUCAAAUUAAGGGAUACUCAGGAUUGAGUACACAUGUUUGGCAACCAACGACGAAUUGACGGAUAAGUCCAUGGUGGAUCCAUGGCAAAGUGUGAAAAGUAGGUAUGGUGUUUCGGUGAAGAAAACCAUACUGAGUUGUGAAAAGUAGGUAUGGUGUUUCGGUGAAGAAAACCAUACUGAGUUGUGAAAAGUAGGUAUGGUGUUUCGGUGAAGAAAACCAUACUGAGUUGUGAAAAGUAGGUAUGGUGUUUCGGUGAAGAAAACCAUACUGAGUUAUGAAAAGUAGGUAUGGUGUUUCAGUGAAGAAAACCAUACUGAGUUGUGAAAAGUAGGUAUGGUAUUUCCGUGAAGAAAGCCAUACUGAGUGAUAGGAAUGUGAAAUAUUCAAGCAAAUUGUGGCACCGGACAAACGAUGUACUCAACUCCGUAAGACUAUCCUUAAUUUGACAGAUAUUUGUAAGUGCAAUUGAAGCUAAAUGUCGGAAUAGAAGUUGACUUCUGAUAUUGAGCUCGAUUAGAUAUAUUUAUUAUUUGAGAUUGUGGUUGGCAGGAAAUGUUGAAUUUUUGUUUGUUUGUUAAUGUGGUUAGUGAAAUUCUAGUAAGAUUUUAUUAUGAGCCUGUGAACUUACUAAGCUUCCAUAAGCUUACUUGUGUGUGUUUAUUGUUUCUUGUAGAUUGAUAUAUAUAUAUACAUACGUUCGGAGGAUCGGAUCUACAUCAACGAUCACACUAUCCAGAUUUACUCCGGUAGAUUUUGUUAAACAAUUUUUUUGAUUUAUAUGGCAUGUAUAGGGAAUUGAAGUAAAAAGUAAUAGAAUGAAUGACUAAGUAUGCAAAGUAAAUUUGAAUGUUAUGGUUGUGUUAGAUAUCGAAAUAUAUAUACAUGUUUUUAUUUUGAAAUGGUUGAUUGGUUGAACUUCAUUAGUAUUUAAAUGAAGUAGAUGAAAUACUGGAAUUGGUUGUGAUUUGAAAUUUGCAGGGAAGGUUAGACAAUUAUAAAGGGGUUAUAUUGAAUUUUUUUUAAAAAUUGCAAUUGUGCAGUUCUUGGACAGCAGCAUUGAUGUAACUUUUAAAAUUCACCAAAAAUAGUGGAAAUAGAAUUAGAAGUUGAGUGAGAUAUGAAAUUAAAGAUGAAAGAGUCUACUUUCAUAUGAAAGAAGUGGAGUAAGGAAAAGAAUUAUAUACUUUUAGAUAUUUGAAUUUUAGUGAAACAGGGCAAGAAUGUUUUUGAAGUCCCCUGUUCUGACUUUAGAAAUUCAUUAAAAAUUGUACAGAAGGAAUUAUGAGUUAUAAUUUAUAUGUAUAAAUUCCUUAAUGAGUAUAUUUUCAGUAUAAAUAAGUUUAAUCACCAUAUGAGGUCUGUAAUAAGAGAUAAUUAAAUUUUAGUGAUGAGUGGUCAGGAUAGUCGAUUAGUGAAACAGGGGAGACUUCAACUAAUAAACUGUACUAAUUGGAUAAAGAAAAAAUUCUGAAAAAUUUAUGGUGAAUAGAUAUAUGAGUCUAGUUUUAGGGAAAAUUUAUGGAUCUAAAUUUCGAGUUUAGUACCUUUAAUUAUAAUUAUUUUAGUGACUGCUGCACAGGUGGACAACUUUAUUAUGAAUGAUGAAAUUAAAUUUGAAAGUAAAUUUUUAUGCCCCGAACUUUUAAGUUAAGUCAAGUAACGCCUCAUGCUCGACUCCGGCAACGGUAUUGGGUAAGGGGUGUUACAUGAACUACUUCAUAUACCACACAACCUAGGACAUGGGGGUGUCACUUGGCCGUGUGAGCCACACGGCCUGACCACACGGGCGUCUGACCCUUGCACCUAGGAAAAAUUUUACAAUUUCGAGAAAAAUUCUUUGAGUUCCUUAUUUAGUCCCGACUAGUUUCUAAUGUAUGUUUUGGGUCUCGAGGAACUUAAUAAGGAAAUUUACGAUAUAUUUUUUGACAUGAAUGUUAAAAUGAUAUAAAAUGUCUGUAUUUAUUCCUUAAGUUCUGGUAAUGCUCCGUAACCUAGUUCCGGUGACGGAUACGGGUUAGGGGUGUUACAGUAAGAUUCACAUAAACAUCAUUUAAUUCAUCAACUUGUUUAUAUGAUCAUGAAUCGUUUCAUUUGUAGACUUACCGUGUCAUUUCCUUUAAUUAUCUGUUGAACCAUCUAGAAUUGCAUCGGAUACUCGGGAGUGUUCACACAUAGUGUGCCUUUCUAUAUAACCGUAACUUUUCCUUUUCAAUAGUGCUUACACGAGCUGUGAAAUGGGCCUGCUUAUACGAGCUAUGGGUCGGAAUGUUAGCUACACGAUGCUACUCACAUGAGCUGUGGAGAAUCCGUAACAAAUGUAGGACCUCAACCAUCAGUAGGAAAUUCAAGACCAGCACCCGGAACAUCAAAUCCCUAAUGACAUGUCAUUCGUAUCCUAAGAAUUCUUACGGUUCAAAGAAGACUCGAUAUCCAUCAAUUAUUUAAACAUCGAUACAUACACAAUUACAAGUCCGUUAUAUUAAUGCAACAUAGCAAAUAAUAAAUUUAGCUAACAUUAAUACAUUCAUAAUUCAUACAAACAUACCUCGAUAACUUUGGUCAAAAAAGUAGAGUCGAACACUAAUCCAAAACUUUAGUCUUUCCUUAAUUUAAGUCUGAUUGUGGUUUAUCUUGAUCUAAAUAAAUAAUUUCAUUCAAUUCAGUACUUCUACUAUUCAAUUUAAUCCAUAAUUCAUAUGUAUGUAAAAUUACAAAAUUACCCCUAAGAUUUUAACUUUUUACAAUUUAGUCCUUAAGCUCAUAAUUUGAAAUUUAACCAUUUUAAUCCUUUAUACAAGCUAGUCGAAUUUCUUAAGGACUCAUACCAACCCACCUAAACCAUUAUUUCAUAAUUUUACCAUGAAAUUUUACUAUCUUCUCUAAUAAAUCCCUAAAUGCAAUUUCAUAAAAAAUCACUUAACAAAACAUGUUUAUUUUACAACCAAGAUUAAUAAUCUAUCAAAUAACUUCAAAACCUAUUAAAAAAACAUGAAAAGUCCCUCAACCUUUAAUAGUUUUGCAAAUUAACCCCCGAGCUACCUAGAUUAAGCUAAAAUUAACUCAAGAACAUAAAAAUCAUUAAAAACAAAUAUUGAAUUCAUACCAUGAAAGAGUAAUAUGCUUGGCCGAAACUUCCUUAUUCUCUAAUGGCUAUUUUAGGGUUUGAAAAAAAAAAAAGAAGACAACAUCUUAUUUUGUAUUUUAUUUACUUAGUUUUUCUUUUAUUUACCAAUUUACUACUUUAACCUUAUUAUUAAUAAAUUUUUUUUAAAAAAUUUAUUAAAUUUACCACUCAAAUCCAUUAAAUUUCAAUAAAUUUACUACUUUAACCUUAUUAUUAACCACUAACUUUAAAUAUGGUAUAUUUACCACUAAGUCCAUUAAAUUUCCUUUCCAUAGCCAUUUAGCCCUUUUUAACUAAUAGAAUUCAAAUUUUACACUUUUUAUGAUUUAGUCCUUUUUACCUAAUUAACCAUUUAAACUUCAAAAUUUCUUAACGAAACUUUAAUAAAACCUUAAAAUAAUCUCGUAGGCAUUAAAUAAAUAUUAAAAUAAUAACUCACUCGUCAAAAUUGUGGUCCCAAUGCCACUUUUUUCGACACCAUUGAAAACAGGCUGUUACAACAACUAAUCACUAUGAAUAAUGUCGAGUCUUGGUUAAUAAUCAAGUGACAUACCUUUUGAGUCACUUGAUAGUUUUAAUUUGCAACUAUUGGAACAUUAUAUAUAUUUUAUAAAUUUUCCAACGAUCACUCUAAAAGAACAAUUAUUAGUCAAAAUAGUUGUUGUUCAAAACAACCAUUAUUUAAGAAUAGUUGCACUUAGAACAUCUAUAUUCAGAACAGGGCUUCAGUUUAAAAUAGUUGUUAUCUAGUGUAACUGUCAUUUGAGAACAUCUCUUGUUUACUACAAUAGCAUUUCAAGAAUAAUUAUGUUUAAAACAACCAUUGCUUGGAACUUCUAUUUUGAAUAUUGUGUUUUUCCGGAAGAGCCAUUAUUAAGAAUAAGGUAUUCCAAGAAAUGUAUCACCAUAAAAUAACUCUUGUUUAGAAAAACCUUUACAUUGAAACAACUCACAUUUGAAACGAGCCAAAAUAAUUCUUUUUCAAUAAUAACCCUUAUCUUGUAUUUCAAGAGAUGUUUAACGGGAGAUGUUUCACGAGGUACUAUUUCAUAAAAGUAGAAGAAAUGAAAGUAACCCCGAAAUAUGAGAAGUUCUUGGGCUAGUUUUUUACACUUGAGAUGUUUUGAAGAACUUAACUUUAGAGAUCAUAUAUAGAGGUAGUUAAGAGGUUUCCUUUUGACCUUUUCCUGUAACAGUGGGCACUUUUCAUUCUGGAAUUGAGAUAGGUUGUAAUAACCCAGAGGGAACUUGGUGUUUGACCUUUACCCACUGACAGGUUAAACAUUUUGCAACAUAGUCAACGAUUUCGCUUUUCAUUUUGGGCCACCAAUACAUUUCUUGCAAGUCAUGACACAUUUUUGCUCCACCAAGAUGCAUAACAAAGGAACUAAUGUGAGUCUCACAUAGAACCAAUUCUUUUAAUUCAACAUAUUUAGGAACACAGAUUUGAUUACAUAAUGUAAGGAGAUUAUUCUUAUCUACAUUGAAAUUUUCAAUGAUGCCUUGCUGAACAAGCUUUUUUUUCUUAGAUAAAUUAAUAUCAACAAGUUGUGCUUCCUUUAUCCAAUCAAGAAACACGAGUUUAAUUCUCAAUUCAGCCAACAGGCUACUAUCAUCACAAAUAUUGAGUUGAGCAAACAUUGCCCGCAAUUCAAUUGCUACCUUUCUAUUCAGAGUAUCAAAUACAACAUUUGCUUUCCAAAGAUGGUAACUAAUUACACAAUCGUAAUCCUUCAGUAGCUCAAUCCAAUAAUGUUGUCUCAGAUUGAAAUCCUUUGGGGAUAUGAGGAAUUUGAGACUUUUGUGAUUUGUACAAAUAUAUUAUUUUUCACCACACAAAUAAUGCCUUCAGAUCUUCAAAGUAAAAACCACAGUAAUCAAUUCUAAAUCAUGUGUUUGGUAACUGCAUUCAUGUUGUUUUAAUUGAUGAGAUGCAUAUGCAAUCACCUUGCCAUCAUUCAUAAACACAAAACACAAACCAUUCAAUGAGGCAUCAUUGAACACUAUGAACUCUUUCUUUAACAUAGGCAAGGUUAGGAUUGGCACUUUGGUCAACAUUAUUUUCAACUUCUCAAACUUUCUUGGCACCAUUUAUUACAUUCAAAUGACAUGUUCUUUUGCAGGAGCUUAGCCAUAGGCAAAGCUAUUUUGAAAAACCCAUUCACGAACCUCCAAUAAUAUCUGACCAAACUAAGGAAAUUUCGAGCUUUGUUAUACUUUUUGGUGCUUUCCAUAGAAGGAUAAAUUUAAUCUUUUUAGGAUCGAGUCGAAUGCUAUCAACAAAAAUAACGUGCCAUAGAAAUGCCACUUCAAAUAAUCAAAACUCACAUUUAUUGAGCUUCCAGUAUAGUUGUUUCUCUCGCAGCACUUGCAAUAUAAUUCUCAAAUGCAUUUCAUGUUCAAUCUUUGAUCUCAAGCAUAUUAGGAUAUCAUCAAAGAAUACUACUAUGUACUAAUCUAGAUAAAGUUGGAAUAUGAGGUUCAUGAGAUGCAUAAAUAUCAUAGGGGCAUUUUUUGUUCUGAAUGGCAUCAUAAGAAAUUCGAGUGACCAUACCGCGUAUAGAACACUAUUUUUGGCACGCCACUAUCUUUUAUCUUUAACUGAUAAUAUUUGAAUCAAUCUUGGAAAAGACUGAAGCACCUUUCAAUUGGUCAAAAAAAUCAUCGAUACACGAUAGAGGAUAUCGAUUUUUUAUUGUCAACUUUUUCAGCAAUCUAUAAUCAAUGCAAAGUUGCAUUGACCAAUCAUUCUUCUUGACAAGUAGUAUUAAAGCUCCCCACGUCUAAAGCCACUAUAUAGGAGAUCUUGCAACUGAACUUUUAGCUCAUUUAACUCUGUCGGUGUCAUACGGCAUAGAGCAAUUGAUAUUGGAGUUGUACCUGGGUAAACUUCAAUUGCAAAUUUGACCUUGCGAUCAAGAGGCAAUCCUUCCAAUUCCUAAAAAAAAACAUUCGUGAACUUGUAUAUUGUUUAAAUAUUGCUUAUUUAGCUUUCAUCAGAGUUAGAGUUAAUUAUAUAGGCCAGAAUCACAUUGAAAUUGCCAGAUGGCAUCAGUAAAUUAGUAGGGAACUAUCUAUUAUGAAUUUCCAAUGGACACUGUUUACAAACUUGGUCAACGAGCAGAAUUUUUCCCCAAGGACUCGAUACAACCAUUGCAAAUUUUGCCUUUUUAGAUUUCAGACUUCUUGAUUUCACAAAACCAUAUUUUAUUUAUGAAUGGGAUGAACCAAGGUGAAUCAAACUAUAUACGGGUCAUGAGAGUAAAAGAAAUAUACCUACUACGACAUCAGUAGCAUCACCUUUCUCACAGGUAUGAACCUCAUAGGCUCGAUUUGGGACACUAGCCUAAGAUUGUUGAACUAUUGACUUGGUCCCUUUCUCAGACCACCCCUUAAUAUAGAACCAAUACGAGGAUUUCCCCAGCCCUUAGCAGCAAACCUCUAAGCGUUAGCAGAUAGAUCAUUAUCAUUCAUUGCGUAAAAUCAGGCAAAGUGGUCUUGAGAUAUACAAAAAAGCAAGCCCUUGUCAACUUCCAACACUUCCUCCAAUUUUUUUCCACAAUUAUUACAGUUCAAAAUAUCAUAAUCUCUAGCGAGACCUCUUAUAACACCCCUAACCCAUAUCAAUCACCAGAAUAGGGUUACAAAGCAUUACCAAAGUUUACAUUUCAAAACUAUAAAAAAUAUAACUCAUUUAAUUCACAACAUCAAUCAUAGCAAAUUCCAUCAAUAACAUACAUAUUGUCCCUUAUACGAGCCUUCGAGGCCCUAAAAUCACAUUAGAAACAAAUCAGGACUAAAUAAAAAACAUAUAGAAUUUUCAGGGAAAUGACGAAAAUUUUCAACCUGCAGGGGUCACCCGGUCGUGUGACUCAUAUGGCUGAGACGCAUGCCCAUGUCUCAGAUCGUGUGGGCAUUCGAAGUAGGGACACACGGCCCUAUCCCAGCCUGUGUUUGUGCCCGUGUAACUCUUUAACUUGGGUCACAAGGCCAAGCCACUCACCCGUGUACCAGGCCAUGUAUCUUUCGAAAUGCAACCUUUAAAAACCUACCUAAGACAUAUGGCCGUGUUGCCUGGUCGCCCGUGUCUCUGACCUUGUGAAUGAAAAACAAGACAUUUCCCAACCCUUUUUGUCCCAGCCUGUGUCUGUGCCCAUGUAACUCUUUAACUUGGGUCACAAGGCCAAGCCACUCACUCGUGUGCCAGGCCAUGUAUCUUUCGAAAUGCAACCUUUAAAAACCUACCUAAUACACAUGGCCGUGUUGCCUGGUCGCCCGUGUCUCUGACCUUGUGAAUGAAAAACAAAACAUUUCCCAACCCUUUUUCUCACCCAUUCAUGCACACACCUAUAACCAAUUUACCAUAUGUAAUCAAGCAUCCCAAAGUGCACCAAACCAUGCAACAACAAGUUAUCCAGAUUGGUACAUAAUCAUACAACCAAUAUGCCUAAAAGGCACCUCAAUCACAACAGUUAAACAUGUAUAACUAAAUGCUUAGUUUACUCUAAACUUACCAUUUUGUACACAUAUCAAAUCCACACUCAUAUGUACUAAAUUUACCAUUUAACAUUUAGCAUCAUAAUCUAUAAAUACCAACUAAAUUUUUAAUACCAAAAUGACCAUGUUCAACUUACAUAAUCUAAAUAUCAUAAAAACUAUAAAGUCAUCCAUCAAAGGACUACCUACAUAUAUCCACAUAUCAACCAUUUCAACCACUCAAAAUAAUAAAUUUACAAGCCAAUAAAUAAUGGCUAAAACAUCAACCAAAAACACCUAUACAUGUGCAUAUUUAUCCAAUUAUCAAUUAACUUGUUUCCAUGCCAAAGCAUAACAUAAUUGAUACAUAAUUUCCAUACCAUAUUAGAUUCAUUCCAUAUCUAGUUUAAAACCUUUCCCAAAGCAUACCAUAUCUUGACUAUGUUGAGGUCAAUUCAUCAUAUAUCACUUUGGCCAUUCAAACAUGCUUUAACACAUUAUCAAAUUAGCACAUAUCAACAAGGCACCAAAUGUACCAAGGCUACAUCACCCAAAACGACAUAUAAAUGCCAAACUCAUCAACUAACAUUCAACUAAUCAUCAACCAUAAGUUCACCUAUACAUGCCAUUAUAACCUUGACCAAGACAUCAAAAUCUACCGAUAUAAUCAUUAGAUAGUGUGAUAUAAUAAUUAUAACCUUGACCAACCCGAUCAAGCUUCUGAUAAUCUAAAAAGUAAAGGAAAAAAAACUACGUAAGCAAUGUAUGCUUAGUAAGCUCGUAUAAACUUUAAGUAUAAAAAUUCCAUUUCAAUAAUAAACUUAUUAGAAUAGACAAAAACCUAUGCCAAUGCCAAUAAUUCAUAAAUACAUAUGAUCAUCAACUCACAAAUGGGUAAAUUCAUUAAUAUCACAUAUAUCUAUCAUUGAUAAUGUGAUAGGAUGUUAUGGGACAUAAUGUAUAAUCAUCAACCUUUCUAUAAGAUUAUACACCUUUUAAUUUAGUUACUUUUCAUUCUGUACUCAAUACUUAUCAUAAGCCUAAACAACAUUAUCAAUUCCCAACUUAUUGUAUUUAUCCCUGAUCUAGAUAUAUUCAUCUAUAGCAUACGCAAUUUGUUCACAUAUAAAUACAUCGUUUAUCACACUAAACUUUUUAUGACGUCAUAAUACAUCCCAAUUACGUACUUACCAUUUUGUCCCCUUUUCUUACUCGUUACAUAUGCAUAGUACAAGCAUAAUUGUAAACAUCAAUCAUAUCCACAAGCUUGGCAUAAGCCUAAGCACAUCAACAACAUAUGUUAGUUCAUUUGAACGUGAUUCAUAUAAAUUAAACAUGGAUAACCAUUAUACUUGAGCACAAUUCAAUUGGAUUUAUCAUCCAUCUCAAAAAAUAUCAUGUUUUUCAUGUAUCACCAUUUCAAUGAGUUUCAUGCAUACCUAUCUUAGUUCAUAUUGAACACUUACCAUUUCAUUUGCACAACACAUAAGACAUAAAUAUAGUAUUAACCAUAUUCAUAAGUAAGUGAAUAAACACAUAAUUUAGCAUAAAUCACCGCAUGGUAAAAUAACUUUCAUGAAUAUAGCAUAUAAGCAUUCAUACUUUCCAUGAACAUGGUUAUACACACUUUAAUCAUUAGCAGCUCAUACGUUUCUAUACUUUCAUGACAUUGCCAAUUGGAAAACUUACCAUUCCUUCCCUUUAUAUGCCCGUUGAACCACUUAGAAUAAUAUCGGAUACACGAGAAUCUCACACAUUGUGUACUAUCGGAUACACGAGAAUCUCACACAUUGUGUACUAACAUAUGGUUGAAACCAUUUCUUUCUCUUUUAUCAAAUAAAUUCUCUCUCUCGAGCCAUAAGUUGGUCUGCUCACACAAGCUAUCGAUCGGAACGUAGCUACAAAGUGCUACUCACACAAGCUGUCAAGUAACCGUAACACAUGCUAAAAACUCAGCCACCGAUAGGACAUGUAGGACCAGCACCCGAAACAUGGUAACCCCUAAUGACAUGUCAUUUGUAUCCUAUAUAUUCCUAAGGAUCAAACAAGGUUCGAUAGUCGUCGUACGUCGUUGAAUUUUAAUCGUUUCUUUACUUGAUAAAUUGUAUAAUUAACAUAUAUAUAUUGAUGAAUUUUUGAUAAAAUCAUAUAAUAACAUUCAAUUUAGCCAACAUUAUACAUAGUGUAGUUUAUACGAACUUACCUGGCUAUUUUGUAGAACUGUCAAAAUAUAGGGGCAUUUUGGUAAUUUCUCAUUCACUUUGAUUUUCCACCCGAUCUUAAUCUAAAUUAAUAAUUUCAUUCAAUUUAUUAAAUUAGAUAGUAAAAAAAUGUGUUUUAUGCAAUUUAGUCAUUUUUGACUUUUAAAAAAUUACCCUUAAAGUUUUACUUUUAUUUAAUUUAGUCCCUGAGCCUAAAACGUGCAAAUUAGUCAUUUUUAAUCCAAAUCCAUGCUAGCCAAAUAUUCAUGGCAUUCAAUACAGCCCAUUUUUACAACAAUUUCACAAGAAACCCUUGUAUUUUUACUAUUUCAAUAAUUUAGUCCCUAAUUGAAAAAUUCAUCAAAAAUCCCUUAGCAAAAUACUUUUAAAUACCAACCAACAUUUUAAUUUCAAAAUUUAACAUAAAAAAUCACUAGAUUCAUCAAUGGAAAUAUUCAAAAUCCUAGUUACAGCAAUCUCAAAAACAUAAAAAUUAAAAGAAACGGGGCUAAAAUGACAUACCAAUUAAGCUUUUGAACAUGCCGAAACAUCCAAGCAAAAGAAAUGGCUUCUUCCCCUGUUUUCAAAUCAACAAUGAAGCUUUUAAAAAGAUGAAUAAAACUUUUGUUUUAUUUAUUUUAAUAUAAUUAUCAAAUUACCAUAUUAACCUUUGUUAAUAAUUAAAUAAAACAUCAAAUUCAUGUCCAUUAUUGUCCACUAACAUCUUGAAUGGUCUAAUUACCAUUUAAGUCCUUUUUCCUUUAUUCAAUUAACCAUUUAAUCACUCAAAUCAAAUAGUGAUUAAAUUUCACAUCUUUUACAAUCUUUUUAAUUAAUUAACCAUUGAAACGUUACAAUUUUUUGAUGAAAAUUUAAUACCACCUUAAUGCCACUUUGUAAAUAUUUAUAAAAAUAUUAAUGGCUCGGUUUAUAGAAAUGAGGUCCCAAUACCUCAUUUUCUAAAACCAUUUGACCUUAGAGGCUUACCACUCAAAAAAAUUGUUUAAAUAACAUAAAUUAUCAAAUAAAAAACCUUUUUAAAAUCACAUUUGACUCGUAAAUAUUAAAUAAUAAUAUUUUCUAACUUACUCAUCGAAUUUGGUGGUCCUAAAACCAUUAUUUUUGACACCACUAAAAAACGGGUUGUUACACCUCUAACACUGCCCAUAGAUAUUGACAGCCGACGAUUUUGGACCCUUUUUGAUCAACGGGCUUUGGGGUCACUUUCUAAGGCUCACAAAACUCUCUAGCUCGCUUAGGUAAUGAAUACGAACUAGAAUUCCUUAUCUACUUCUCGAAGGCUCGAAAGGGUUCAAUCCUAUUGUCAAGGCCCAUAGCCUACUCCACAAUCUUGGCUCAUUCAAUUAGGUCAGAAAAUUAUUUUAUUCUAUGGAGGACGGAUUAAACUCUAAGCUCAUCAUACAAUCCCCGAAGGAAUCCCUUACAACUUUCCUCUUUAUAAGUAUUAGAUUUAGAGCGUAUUUGCUGAGCCAUAGAAAUUCACACUUACAAUCAACUACUAAUAUCUCACCCUGUUUUAACAUUAUUCCUGCUUCUGAUCUUCCAAAUAUAACUCAUCGACGUACUUUUUCUAGAAUUCAGACUGAAAGAAAUCCCAAUUAAUUUGAUAAGUUAAAACAUGCUGGGUAACUAUUAGCCACCACUAAUAUGCCUCCUCUUUCAAGAGGGAAACUGCUUACAUGACACAUACACACGAAAAACACUCGAGCUAUUGUAGUACCCAGUUUUUUAUUCGAGCAAAACCUCAUUUGUCUACGGAUCAACCUUUUUCAGUCUUUUAAACUUAGUGGCACAAUCUUUCAAAACCCUUUUAUCAGAGCUCAUCUAACUACGAGCACUGAUGUUACUUGUGGAAUAGCUCUCGCCACUCACUAAAGAGCUUCCGCUAUAACGUGAAGUAAAUCUUCAUCCCUAACCCUUUAGUCAAUGUCUUACAACUCUAAAUUGAUGAUCAUCGGCUAAAUCAAUGCCAAGUGUCUCAAUCCCAAUUCUAUUUUUACUUUCACCGAAAUGAUUAUUGCUAUAUACAUCAUCACUAGCCUUGUUUUUGUUUUUAUUCCUCUAACAUCUUUAUCUAUAAAAUAGAAAAAAAUUUAUAAUCAAGAUCCAAAUCUUGAACCAGACAUGACUCGAUUUUGGCAUGUACUUCUAGACUUAAUUUUUGAGCUUGAUUUAAUCUUAAAAUUGGCUAAACCUAUAGCUUUGAUACCAAUAAAUGUAACACCGUGAUACCCAAUCUAAUCAUCGAAUCCAAGUUACAAUGUGUUACAUUCUUUGUGAGAGCAAGUGCAAUCAAAAUUUGUAUGAUUUAUACCAUUAAAUAAUUAAUUUUCAAUCAAAACAUGCAUGUAAUUCAUUAAACAACCAUUUUUGUGUCUUACGUGAGCUUAUGAAAGCUCUAAAACUAACUCAAGAUAGAUUUAGGACCAUUUUAUAAAAAUUUCAAAACAUCAAGUUGAUAUCACGAUGUAACAUAUUGAAUAGGCCUCGUUGCAAAAUCGAACUCGGUAUCAUACUCUGGUAAGGAAACUUGGGCUUGUCAUAACAACCACCAUUCAACGCUGUAACGUGACAUACUAUUUUCAAAUGGUUGAGUUUUGGUACAUGUUUGCAACUAUCUAAAGCUUUUCCAAUUCAUUUGCAAUUAUAAAUACAACCAAAUUCAUAUACCUAAUGAGUUCCAUAAUGUCUAAAGUACCUUUUAUGCACCCAUACAUUCAUUCUUUUAAACAAUUUUAGUCAAGUCCCUUAUUGAGCUAAUUGACAUUUAUUUACCCUAUGCAUAUGAACACAUUACCAAUUAUACUUCAAAACAUAACCAACCAUAAGUUGUGACAUUCAUCAUUUCAUAUGCAUAUAACAUAUGAAUAAAUCAAAAUACUAAUCUAACUCAAGCUAGGUACAUGCUGACUACCUCUUGGCAUAAUAUUGUCAGGAAUGAGAAUAUUACAACUAAAGAUAUGAAUUAAAGCGGUGUCCACAAGUAUAUGAGUUAGGUUGUAAUAUAGUUUGUACAAAAAAAUUUAGAAAGUACCCCGAGGAUUGUAUCCAAAAGAGGCUUGAUUAAACUAAAAUUAGCUCCUAUGCUAACAUGUUUAACUAGUCUUUAACCAAAUUAUAUUACAAUGAUUCAUAAAGUAAUGAUAAAAAUGAAUUUAAAAGGAAGAAUAAAAUAUUGACAGAAACAUGUUGUAAAUAUUAUCAUAUCUAAAGGCAGAAGACAAACUCAUUUCAGUGUUCAUAUUGAACUCCUAUUUCAGGUUCUAUUCAAUCAACUAGGCAUUAGCCAAACAGGGCCUUUCAGCCCUCCGCUAACCUAUUGAGUCGGCAAGCAUUGCUUAUCUCUCGAUGUCACAAGUCAGAUCAGGUCAGGGUAAAGUUUUUGAUCUGUCCUAAUUUAGUGUAGCAUAUUAAACUAGUUUUCACACUUCAAAAGCUUGAAAUUAAACAUAUCAUUAGGAUUUAAUUAUGUUUUAGUAUGUUUUGUUAAAAUAAAUAAAAUGUGUAAAAAUGAUUCCUUUAUUGACCUUAGGUGUCAAAUAAGGCCUAAGGGUGAGCUAUUGAACUUCAUAAGUGUGUAGGAGACCAUUAGAAGGUGUAACAAACAUAUGCUAGUCACGAUGUCGCAACAUGGAAUGCUCAAUGUCACAACAUAGGGAGUAGAAUGAAGGAAAUCAUAAGACUAUUUUUGAUGUCAUGACACAGCUUAAGGGUGUCGCUACAUACCCCUGAAGGUAUCCGAAAGAGGAGUAUACUGAUUCCUAUGUCCCGACACAGGUUCUGGUGUGUCUUAACAUCGACUCUGGACGGCAAAUAACACGAGCCAAGGGGGCGUUUUGGUUCACACAAUUAAACUUAAAGCUUAGGAAAUGUCAGCUAACCUAGGGUUAAGGACAAAGACCACUUGAAAUCUAUACAUAGGCUCCUUUGUCACAUAUAAAAGACACAAAUUACUUAACUUAGUUUUCUGCUUUUAAUUUCAAUUUAGCUUUUCUUUCUUUUUUAGGUUUUAGAUUUAUUUUCAAGUUGUUCUUAUUUAUCUUGAUAGAUCUGAUUUGUGGAGACGGUCAAACUUUGUGGAUUAAAUUUAUUCUUAAUAUAAAUUAAGCAUUUUUAAACUCUACACUUCAAUUCAAUUAUCAUGUUUUCUCUUUAUAUCAAUUUCAUAUUGUUUAUGAAAACCAUGAGGAAUUAAUCCUUCUUUGAGGGAUUAACGAGUGAAGGUAUGAUCCAUUAUCUUUUUUUAGGGUUACUCAACAGAUCAACUGUUUGGAAAAAGAAAAACUUAAAACCCUAGGAUUGACAACCAUAGGAAGUAAUCAAGGUGGGAUUUAACCCAAAAUUGAUAUGGUCUAUCCGUGAACACCUUCUCCCCAAACCAGCCUAGACUAUAAGGUCAGAAGAUAAGUAGUUCUUGCUGACUCAUUAUUUGAGUGGAAGAUCGAAAGAUCCUGCUGGGAUAUUGGCUAGUUGAUUGAUAAGGAACACGAAGUGACAGUUGGUGGGAAAUACCAAAACGAGCUAAUCAUCCAUAACUAGAUUUGAUAUAUCCUAUCUUUGACCUCUUAAAUUUUAUUUCUUUAUGUUAUUUUAUUUUGUUAUUACAAAAAAAAAUCUUAAAAAUUCUCUUUUAUUACCAUCAUACUAUAACUAAAUUAAAGUACUAAUUAGAUUUUUUAGUGUUUAGGUUAAAAUUAAUGCAGCACUCGCCUCCCUUGUGUACAAUCCUCAGAGUACUCACCUACUAUAUUAUAACUAUAUUACAACUAGACCUAUAUACUUACGGAUACCACCUCAUAUAUCUAUAUCUUUUACUGCAAUAUUCAUACUCUAGACAUUAGUACGUCCGAAAGUGGUCAAUUUUCACAGUAGAAUAUACUGAUUACGGGUUCAUAUCUACCAACAUGACUUCCUACGAUUGUCAAGCUUAGGGUUUAAUUUUUUCCCAACCAAUUGAUCCACUAAGAAACCUUACAUAGUCGCCAACUAAUCCCACAUCCAUCCGUUAAUCUUCCUAAGGGAUUAGCUACUCAUGUAUCUAACAAACAUCAUAAAUUUGAAUUGAAACAUAAACAUUUACAAAAUCAAAUAAAAAGAUUAGGAAGAUCCUAAAUAUAUUGAAGCUCAAAAUGUAAUCCUUAACAAUGUCUGAUGAAUCCACAAAUUGAAUCUUCGAAGAACAACACAAGAAUGGAACUAAAAUUUAAAAGUAAAAACUAACAAAAGAAUUAUGGUGAUACUAAAGUGAGGCAAAAGUCCCAUUAAGCAGUUUUGAGCAAUAACUUUAUAGGCCUAGGUUAACAGCCUCUUCUUGACCUAAAAUGGGUGACUAAUCUUCAUUAAAUUAUGUUGUGUGAACAAAAACACCAUUGAUUAAUUAAGUAGCCACAUCGUAUUGGUGUCGCAACACCCUCAUGCUUGUGUCAUGACACUGAUGACAGAUUGGUUCUUUGGGUGUCUCUUCAAGUCUGUGUUGUUACAUACUUAGCAAAUUGCUCAUUGUGUAUUCUACUUGUUGUGUUGCGACAUCCCAGCUCCAUUGUGCAACAUCAGGAGUAGUCCAUUGUCUUUCUAACCUAAAGUGAUUUCCUACACACUCACCUAACAUGUUAGUCCACCUUUAGGCCAAAUUCGUCUUACAAGGUCAUAUAAAAUACCUAAAUUGCUCACUUUUUUACCUAGUGCUAUGGAUAAAAAUUGAGUAAAAAUAUAACUAAAUUGCUUUCUAACAAGCUCAUUAAGUAGAGAAAGAGGUUUAAUCUACUACAACAAAUUAUGGUAGAUCGCAUGUCGUAUAACCAAUAAAAGGAAACUAUACAAACAUUUUUUUAGUCUGGGAUCUUUAUCUAGAUGUUAAAGUUGAUGCUCAAGAACUUGAUAUAAACCUAAACUGCACACGAAAAAAGAAACUGUAAGCUGAGCUAUAUAGUGAACUAUGAAAGCUCAGUGUGAGUUCCAUCACAAGGAAUCUAAAACAAAACAUUAAAUAAAACAUUUUAAUAAUUCCAAGAAUAAACACAAUCACAAAGCACUUUAGGCUAACGAUUUUUCACAUAAAACACUUCACUAUAAAUUUCUCAGAAUUCAAAAUAAUCAUAAUCAAAUAAUAAUUGAGAAUAUUGUUUUUUUAACUCAACACAAGAAUAAUUGGAGUAACGAUUAAUCGUACAAAAACACUGUUCAUCGAAUAAUUCUUUAUAGUAAUUUCACACAUGUCAUUAUUUUAGAUUACACAACAAUGUACAUAUGUAUAUAUAUAAUUCAUGUUAGAAAUCACAGUUUUGUAUGCACAUGUUUUUACGAAUGCCAAACAGUUUCGAUUUAUAAAAAAAUCCUACCCCACCCAUACAUUCCACAUUUGGGAGUUCCCUAGAACUCCUACCACCAUCACUCGAAAUUGUGAAUUAACAACCAUUAGUUUGCAGUUUUACUACCAGUGGCUGUGAACACACGACAAAACACCGUAAAUGGAAUCUGUUAUAGCUGUGGGUACAUAGAAAAAUAUUGUAGGUGAAAUCUGUCGAUGACCAUGGAAACACAACAUGUUCGUAAAUGAUAGUUGUCAGAUGGUUGUGAGUGCACGAGAAAACGUCACAAGUGGAAUCUGCUCUGGCUGUGGGUUUACAACAAAAUUGUCGUAGUUAGAAUCUGCUAAGGUUGUGGGUACACAGCAAACGAUAAUGCAAAUAUAAUUCCAUUUUUCCUCCAAUCAUAUCAUCCCUCCCCAUGCUAUGCAUUAUGGUAUGCUCAUAACAGUUUCUUAUGGUAGUAAUUAAUAUGCACAUUACAGACCAAUACAGUAGCAUUUAAUAUGCCUUUAAUGAAACAAUAUAGUGGUAAACAAUAUGCUCAUAUCGGUUCAAUUCAGUAGUAAUUAAUAUGUUUGUGAGAAAUCAAUCUUAGUAAUGGGAGUCAUGUUUCCUAUGGUUAGUUUAACUAUAUGAGGCAUUUUAUACACUCAAUCACAACUACUGAUACAAAAGGCAUAAGUAUUGUUAACAAAUCAUGCAAAUACAUAUAAAUAUAAUUUGAUUUCUGUAAACGUAAUUAUAAAUUCUAGCAUAAUUUAUUCUACCAGUGACUUAAUUGCAUAAAAUAUUGCACUAAAAUUAGUUUUGGAACAAUUCAGGGUCUAAUCUGCACAAAACAUAAAAUUAUGAGUAAAACUAUAAAAUUUAAGAAAUAAGGGCACAUGGUCGUGUGGUCAGGCCGUGUGGAAUGGAUCAGGCUGUGUGGGUUGCAUGGCCAUGUGGUCUGGGCUGGGUUUGAUUUUGCCUUAAUUUUCUCGUAAAAGAACAUACAACUGACUUUCGGGAUCUCUUAUGACAAUCUUUACAUCCAAAAUUGAUCUGGGACACCUACAACGGGUCUUUCAAUUGAUAAAAACACAAAAAUUAAUAUCCACCUUCAAUAUUUGUCGAGUUUUAACAAGAUUUCGGGAGAACCUAUUAAACAUUUAGAAUCGAUUUGAAAUAUUGUCAAGAACGAUGUUAUUCCAAGAUUUCAAGGUUCUACAAAAUUAAAAAUAAGAAUUCUUACCAAUCUUGGGACAUUAGAAAUGGAUUUUGACGGUGUUACACUAAAACAAUAUGAAGAAUGGAUUGAAUAGGAUAAAAUUCAGGUUCGAGAUUUCAACAAUAAAUUUCUAGCAAAAGAAUAUGAAUGUAAUGGCCUAAAUUCAAGGUUAUCGGAACAGUGGUUUCGGGACCACGAAUCCGAUGAAGAAAAAUUUAUUUUUCUUAUAUUUUUAUGGUGUACGAUUUCACAAAAUGAUAUCAUGAAAAUUUCGUUUGAAAUUUUCGACGUUUGGGCAACUCAAUUUAGUCAAAAGGACUAAAUUGUAAAAAGUGAAAAAGUUGAGUUCUACAUGUUACAGGUGUCCAAUUGUUAUGAAACUUUAAAUUGGAGGUCCUUAUAUAGUAAUUAGACCAUUGGUUAAGUUGGUAGACAAAAAUGGACAUGAGAUUAGUGAAAUAGGAAAAUUUUAAGUUAGGGGCAAUUUGGUAAUCUAGUAAUUAAAAUGAAUUAAAAGGGAAAAAGAUGGCAAAUUGUGCUCAUCUUCUUCAUUUGGACGAAAUCAGCAAGAGGGGAAGCCAUAGUUAGGGUUUUCAAACUUUCAAGCUCCAUAGUAAGUGAUCCCAAGCCCUGUUUUUAAUGUUCCUUACGUUUUUGUAGUCCAGGUAGCUUAAUUUAGCUUAUUCUAGCAAUAAUUUAACCUAGGGUUUAUAUUUGGAAAAAUACCCAUACACGAAAAGUGUUUAUUUUGAUGUUUUAUGAUAGAAUAUGGAGCUAGAAAUUAUGUUAAACAACUUUUGCUAGCCGAUUUUAAGCGAAAAUGAGUAAAACGACAUAAUCGGUAAAAAUACCUAAUGUUCAUAAGUACAUGUUAGAGUGGGAAUUUGAUGUUGGCAUAGAAGGGAAAAAUGUUCAGCAUGUCAUAAAACAUAAGAAUAAGGGAUGAAGUUUAAUUUCUGAGCCUUGGGGAAAAAUGUAAUUAUGUAAAAGUUUAAGGGCAAAAUGUAUUUUUACAAAGUUAGAGUCGAGGGCUGUUUUGAUAAAUUUGAGUAUUAAAUAAUUUAAAUUUUCUAUUUUAGAUAAAGAAGAACGAAACUCGAGGUUAGAUAAAGGAAAGAGUAAAGUUGAAGACUAAGUUGGUGAAUUUGACUAUAUUUAGUGCCGAGGUAAGUUUACGGUAAAUAAAUGCAAUAUUUCAAUAAUUAUUAUUAAUGCUGCUAUUUUCCAGCAACUAUGAAUUUAUUUCAUGAAUUUAUUUGAUGAUGAUCCAAGCAUGAUAGAAAAUUAAAAUUAAAAAGUCCUGUUGAUACAUAAGGAUGGUACUGGAUACGAAUGUCAUGACAUUUGGGUAAAGAGGUCCCAUGUAAGACCAUGUCUGGGACAUGACAUUGGCACCGAGAUGAGAGGUCCCAUGUAAGACCAUGUCUGGGACAUAGCAUUGGCCCCGAGAUGAUAGGUCCCAUGUAAGACUAUUUCUAGGACAUGGCGUUGGCACCGAGAUGAGAGGUCCCCCGUAAGACCAUGUCUGGGACAUAGCAUGGGCACCGACAUGAGAACACCCCAUGUAAGACCAUGUCUGGGACAUGGCUUUGGCAUGUUAUUAUCGGAAGAGGCCCAAGUAUCCUUAUUAUUCCAAUGUAGCUCAACGGACUAAUAAACGAAUCAUGUUCAGGAAAGUUCAGUUAAAAGCAUAAAUGGCGAGCUUAGGUAAGUUAUAAGAGUUAAGAGCUUAUUAUAUUAUCAAUUGAUACUCAACGUUUCAGCAAUGGAAGAGUAAGUUAUGAUCACGAGUUAACUAAGUAAACAAGCAAGUGAAUGAGAAUGAGAUUAAUUAAAGAGUAAAUUAGAGACCUUGACAUUUGAGUAUAAUUAUUUGUGUUAAAUGUUGUUAUUUAUUUGCUAGUAAACUUACUAAGCUUAAUGCUUACUUCUUUUAUUUUUCUUUCUCUUAUAGUAUUGCAAAGCUGCUUCAAGGAUCCUAAAGAAGUCGGAGAUCGUCUACACUAUCAAGAACAAUUGCUCAGUAUUUUAUGAUGAAACACGUUUGAGUUAUGGCAUGUAUAGAGACUUAGUUAUUUUGCAUGUUUGUAAUUAUGAUUUUGCUAAAGGAUGGUGUGUGAGUAUUUGAUGAUGAAUGGUUAUUAAAAUGGUUAAGUAUGAAGAUGUUUGUUGUUAUAAAAGUCUAGGUGAUAAAUUAUGCAUGGAAAUCAUGAAAGGGUAAAAUCUUGUAAAGAAAAAGAAUUCAGGCAGCACAGUGACGUGACUUUGAAAAAUCACCUAAGAUGGUAUAAAAUGAAUUAGAGAAUGAAUGAUAUAUGGAAUGAAAUCUUGUUUAGUCUGUUUCCAUGUAAAAAUAACUGUUUAGCAAAAGGAAAUUUAUAUUUUAAGAUAUGUGAAUUUUAGUGAGACAGGGUCAGAACUGUUUUUGGAGUCCCUUAUUCUGAGUUUAGAAAAUCACUAAAAAUGGUACAAAAAUAGUUAUGAGUUUUAGUUUAUAUUUAUAGAAUUCUUAUUGAGUCUAUUUUCUUUAUAAAUAAGUCGUAACACUAUAUGAAAAUCCCACAAUGAGAAAUUUUAUUUUUAGUGACAAGAGUUCAGGGCAGUCGAUUGGUGAAACAAGAGAGAUUUUAACUAAUAAACUGUACUAAUUGGCUAAGCCAAGAAUUCUAAAAAAUUUAUGGUAGGAAGAUAUAUGAGUCUAGUUUCAGGGAAAAUUUACGGAAUUAAAUUGCGAGUCUCGUAGCUCGAGUUAUAAUCAAUUUAGUAACUGCUGCGUGAUUGGACAGGUUUACUGUAAAUAGUGAAAUUAAUUUUCAAAGUAAAUUUUUAUGCUCCGAAUUAGUAAGAUAAGCUAAGUAAUGCCUUGUGCUUGACUCCAGCAAUGGUCUCGAGUAAGGGGUGUUACAAUGAAAAAUUAUGAAAAGGAAAAUUUGGGAAAAUAAAACAUAAAAGAUGUAUUUAAAGAAGAGAGAAAAAUAAUUCUAGAUAGGGUUGAAAAAGAUAAUCAAAAUCCUAUUAUGAUUACGAUAGGGACCAAAUGACAAGAUUAAGCAAACUUUAGAGGGCUGAUUUGGUAAUUAAAUCAUUUUUCCGAAAUUAAUAAAAAUGAUAAUUGUUGAAAAAAAAGGAAAAAUGCAAAAGAUGAAACUUAAACCUUGGUUUUUUAAAAGUUUUACUAAGCUCUUAAUCACUAAUACUAGGGCUAAAUUCAUGUUAAUUUUAGUUAAUGAUUGUAUAUAUCUAUCUCAGGUUCAACUUACCUAUUCUUUAUUAGCUUAUACAUUUACUCAUUUUUUUAUUAGUAACUUAUUUAACUUUAUAGUUUUUAACACAUGCCUAUUUUAGUUUAUACAUUAUAAUUAAUACUCAUAGUCAUAUCUCAUUAUUAAUAUUUUAAUUUAUUUUACCCCUUUUCUAGUUAGGUUCUAACUCAAUUAAAACACACUAUUUUUGAAUUAAAACUUGUAACCAAGUUUUGUUUUAGAUUAAUUAAUAUAAAAAUAAAUGAUUAUAUUAUUUUAAUACUUUGAUUUAAUUAUUUUUUACCCUAAUUUUGAUAUCUAUUUCAACCCCACGAUUUAAUAACUUGAUUCUUUUAACCUCCUAUAUUUUGGGGCGUUACAUUAUUUGGGAUUCUUUAGGUUUACGAGAUGUUUAAAAGUUUUAAAGAAUCCAAAAUCAAACUGCAUGGGCUAGAUCAUCAAUAUCAAUAACAUUUUAGCUGCAAGAUAAUAGCACCGAGAAACUUGCUCGGACGACUUGCUCGUGUUGCAGUUAAACAUUGUAUUUUUUUAAUUUGUAAGACACAAUGUUGUCGGUCUUGAACAAAAUGAUAUAAAUUUUUUUUUUUUAGUAUUGAGAAAGUUGCUCAUGUUGUAAAAUUACAUAUUGUAAGUUAAGUGAAAUUAUUUUGGAAUAUUGCAAUUGUAAAAUUAUAUUUUGUAAAAUAUAAUUUUUGAAUUAUGUAAAUUAAUAGUUAUAUGAAAUGUUGGCAAUGUAAAAUAAUUUUCAUGUAAAUAAUUUUUGUAAUGUGAAUUAAUCAUUUGAUAAAGGGCAUUUUUAAAAUAAAUCAAGAAAUAAAGGGCCAAAAAAUAAAAAAAGGGUUUGGGAAACAAAGAGAAAGAAAAAAAAAGAAAGUGAGAGAAGGAAUUGACUCAAAAAAAUGAGGAAGGGUUGAUUUGUAAAAAAAAUAUACUGAAGCAUUUUUAAAAGAAAUAAAAAACGAAAGGAUCAAAAAAUAAAUAUAAAAAAAGUUUAUUGACCAGUCAUAUCGCGUCAGCUGUGGCAUUAGUAGGGGGCUUGUGGGACUUUCCUUUUUUUUUUAACCGUUCAAUGUAAAAAAACAAGAAAAAACUUACAAGAGAGAAGGCCAACCACUUUUAAAAGGGAGAGUGGACUCUUUUUGGUCCCCCUUAGAGUUUUGAAAUAGAAGAAGAGAAGAUAAGAGGAAAAAAAACAGUUACGUUUGUUUGAAAGGUAAUAAAUACGAUUAAGGUAUGUAAAUAUUUUUUGAUGUGCAUGUAUUAUAUUAAAAGUAGUUAUUGUAAUGUAAUAAUUAAUUAUAUUUAAUUUAUAUACUUUUUUUUUAAAUUAUGCAGAUAUCAGGAUAUCUUCUUGAGUAAACGUGGAUUACACUUUAUCGAAGGUUAACGAAACAGUAAAAUUGUUAAAUCACAAAUUAUAUAUUCACAUUAUAUAUAUAUGAUAUUUAUUUAUAAAGUGUGGUAUGUUUAUUAAAAGCUUGGUUAAAAAUUUUGGUUUCUACACUAUACUAAUUCAAAAUAGAUUUUAUAAUGGUUGGACACAGUUAGAGAAAUGUAGAGUUUUAGAUUAAAUUUCAUUUUGAUGUAAUAGGCUGAAAUGCCCGUACAGCACUAAAAAUUAGGUUUUCACAAAAAUGUUUAGAAUGCCAAUUGUAACAGACUGUUUUCAGUAAUAUCAGAAUAAUGGUUUCAAGACCACAAUUUCAACGAGUAAAUUAUUAAUUUAUUAUUAUUUUAAUAUUUACGAUAUUAUAUUUAGGUCAUAUUAAAAAUUUGUUAAGAUUUUUUUAUGUUUAAGUAGUUAAUUAAGUAAAAGGACUAAAUCGUAAAAAAGGUAAAAAUUGAGUUCUAUUAGUUAAAAGGGUUAAAUGACUAUGAAACCUUAAGCUAAAGGACUUGAAUGGUAAAUAGAACAAUUGAGGGGAUAUUGGAUGUUUAUGGGCAUGGUUUUGAUGAAAUUAUUAUAAUUUUAAAGGUUAAAAUAGUAAUUUGAUAAAUAAAGCUAAAUAACUUAAUGAAUUAAAUCAUCUUCUUCCCCAUUUUAUUUUUCCAUGCAAAAUUACCGUAGAUAUUGAACUUGAGCAUUUGGUUAGCUUUCCAUUUUGCAUGUAAGUGGUUUUAAGCUCCGUUUUUAAUGAUUUUUUUUUAUGUUUUUGAGUUUGUAGUGGCUUAAUUUAGCUAGUCCGGGGGUUAAUUUAUAAAACUGUUAAAUGUUGAGGGUUAUAACAUGAAUGUUCUUGAAUGGCUUUUUUAUGUUAAAUGAUACAUUAUGAAUCUUUGUUGAAAAAUAAACAAGUUUUGUUAAGUGAUUUUUGUUGAAUUUUGGAAUUAGGGACUAAUUUGUUAAAGGUAUAAAUUCUAGGGUUUUAUUGUGAAAUGAUGGUAAAUAGGAGUUUUUUAAAGGUCCCUUGCAUGUUUGGUUAACAUGAAAUUAUAUUAAAAUAGUUAGAUUUUAAAUUAUAAACUUAAAGACUAAAUCAUAAAAAAAGUUAAAAUGUUAGGGGCAAUUGGUAAUUUUACAUAAAUAUGAAAUGUGGAUUGAAUUGAAUGUUUAAUGUUAAUUUAAGUACUUAAUUGAAUAUAAUUAUCUAUUUAGAUCAAGAUAAACUACGUACCAACCUAAAUCGAGAAAAAGUAAAAGCUUCGGAUUAGCACGAUUUAACCUCCACGCCCCUAGUCAUUGAGGUAAGUUCAUAUGAACAGUUAUCGUAUUAAUAUUAUUUAAAUUGAAUGUUAAUAUGUUAUUUAUAAUGUGAAUGGAUCGAUGUAUAAACAUGUAAAUGCUCUGACGGACAUUGAGUUCUGGUUGAACAUUAGGAAUUCUUAGGAUACAAAUGACAUGUCAUUAGGGAUUUCAUGUUUCAGGUGAUGGUCUUGGCUGUCCUACUGAUGGCUGAGGUCCUGCAUUUGUUGCAGAUACUCCACAGCUCAUGUGAGCAAACGUAUUUCACAGCUUGUUUGAGUAGGCCCAUUUCACAGCUUGUGUGAACAAUGAUGUAAAGAAAAUGUUACGGUUAUAUGUAAAGGCAGACUUUGUGUGAGCUUUCCUGAGUGUCUGAUGAAAUCCUAGAUGAUUCAACGAGCAAGGAAAAGGAAUGAAAUAGUAAAUAUUCAAAUGGGAUUAAGCAUAAUCUUAUGGAAGGAAUGCAUAAACUAAAUGAUGAAUUUCAUAUGGAAAUUGACCUAUCUUAUGGUUAAUUCAUUUGAAUUAUGUACAAGUGAGCUAACUUGUGUAUUUGAUGGUGAUAUAUAGGCUUAUGUUAAGCUUAUAGUUUUGGUUGACAUUAUUAUGCUUUAUAUUAUGCAAAUGCAUUAGUAAGUUGUGUUUAGUUUAUACGAGCUUACUAAGCAUUAAUUGCUUACGUAGUUUCUUUCCUAUGUUUUAUAGAUUAUCAAAAGCUCGAUUUGGUUGGAAGCUCGUCGGGGAUCUAUCACACUAUCUAAAGUCAAUAAGGUAGUUUCUGUGCGUUUUGGCCAAGGUUUAUAAUGGCAUGUAUAGGAUGGUUUGAGAAUGGUCAAUAUUGGUAUGUUUUAGGUAAGUAAUUGAAUAGGUUAUCAUGAAUGAAUUGGUACAAUGUUGACAUGUUUUGAUAGUUAAUGACUUGGUAUAUUGUGGUGCCUUUGAAUGACAUGUUGGUUGGUUGAAUUAGGGUCUUGAAAUGACAUUUUGUUGUGUGUUUUGGUUAUGUUUAAGUUUCUUUAAGGUGUGCUUAAAUGGGUUAAAAGAUUGUGCAUGGAAUGGUCUUGGAAAUGACUUGAGUUUAGGUAAAUUUGAGUCCACACAGUCUGAGACACAGGCGUGUGACUCAGCUGUGUGAGACAUACGGCUUGGCGACACGGCUAUGUGUCAUCUAAUGAUUUCUUAGGUUUCACGUCACCAAUGUGGUCAUGCCAAAGAGAAUGGCUCCACCAAAAUAAAUAAAUAAAAAAUUAUUUUUAUGGUGGUCACGCAAAUCUCAAUUGACACUACUAAUUUUUUUAAUUUUUAUUAUUAAAAAACAACUUAAAAAGAAAGUGUGAAAAAAAAUGUGGAAGGUGGUGGCGUCGUUCGCUAUGGUACCACCUAAUAAAAUAAUAAUUUCACUUUUACACUAAAAAAAUAAAAUAAAAUUCUGACACUAGUGGCGCCAUUUCUUUAUGGCUCCACCAAAUAAAAUAUCAAAUUUAAAUUUAAAUUAAAAAAACACACAUUAAAAAAAAAGUUGACACAUUUCACUAGUGGCCCCAUUCUUUAUAACUCCACUAAAUAAAAUAUUAUUUUUUAUUUUGAAAUUAAAAAAAAACCUAACACAUUAAAGUGGUGGCACUAUUCUCUAUGACUCUACCACUAUUAUUUUUUUAGCCUCGAAUUAUUUAGAAAUAUCAAUAUUUUCCAUAUAUUUAUAAAUGUGGUGUCAUUCUUUAUGACCACCAAAAGAAUUAAUUUUUUUAUUGUACCAAAUAUAGAAUAGUAUAUAAAUUUAAGUAACGACAAAACAAAUGUUGUUAGCUUUUUCCUUGGUCUACUAUUUCGACUGCAUGUAGAAAUAAUGCAUUUAUAUAUAUUUAAAAAUAAUAUAAUAUAUUCAUAAUUUUAUAGAUGCUCCUGGUUCAAAUAUUAAUAUCUAUAAUUUUUUUAUUUUUAUUUUUAAAUAAAAUAUUAAAAUUUCAUAAUAAUAUAACUUAUUUAGGGGAAUAAAUUAUGUUAAGACGAGUCUAAAAAGUGUAGUUUGUAGGUACCAAUAAAAUAGUACCAUAUCAUUAAAUUUUAAAGUUAACAGAAUAUUAUUAUACACUCAACCAUUUCUAAUAUCUUCUCUAACUUAAUUUAACUUUAAUUAAAUUACUUAAAAUAAUUAAAAUUAUAAACAAACAUUUUUUUCUUUUACAAAUCUUAAUCAUUUUUUUCUUUUUUUUUCAUAAGUUAAUAUAUAUAUUUUUUAUUUUUGCGCAACCAAUUUAAAAAAAAUUAGUAAUUUUUGUAUAAUUUUUUCUAUAUCAUUAACACAUAAUUUUGGUAAUUAUUUUACUCCGAACCCCAAAUCUUGAACUCAAACCCUAAACCUUAAACCUUGAACUCCAAGGUUCAGGAUUUGAAGUUUAAGGUUCAAGAUUUAAGGUUUAAGGUUCAUGGUUCAAGCAUUUGAGUUCAAGUUUAAGGAUUCAAGUUUACGAGUUAUGAGUUUAGGGUUCAGUAUUUAAAGAUUUCAGGUUUUAUGUACUUCCACUGUUAAGUUCAAUUUUGAGCUUAACUUAUUAAACUAAUUACCUUAAUUAUUGAUGAAUUCUUGAUCAAUUGAUUUUUAAUUAGCCUAAUUUACAUUCUAUGCCUUGAUAAUUUACUUUCGUUUCGAUUUAACAAAUUAAUUGUGUUUUAAGACAUGUUGCAAGGUAGAAUUCACUUCCCACGGAUAGAGUUGAUGGAAGAGGCUGGACGAAUGCCGACUUCUCUAAAAUCGGCGAAGUCGAAAUACAAAUUCGACUGCAAAAGAUCUUGACAGCAAGAUUCGGUCCAACAUAAGGUGCAAUAGACCGACAUCGUGCGGCCAGCCAGCAAGGGAAUCAAAGUUAAAUUCGAAUUCCCCUCUUUCUAGCUAUGACCGAUUCAACCUUGAGAAGUUAAAUAGGAGUGAAAGUCUAAUUUAGUUGAGUUGCUCUUAUGCGAUAAGUGAGCAAAAAUCAAUGAGCAGAUCGGAUUAUGAAUUUUUAUUUACUUACCCGAUUGGAAGCUAAUUUUAUUCCAUAAAAAGAGGACAAGAAGUAGGAGGCUAGAGAUGGAGAAAAUCGCAGGCAUAGUUCGGGUUACUCAAUUUCAGAAAUUUCUCUAAUUGAACCAUCAAGUGCCGAACAAGCAGCUGGAAAGUAGUCCAAAAAUUCAGCUAGUUGAGAGAAGGAAAGCUAGACAAUUAGAGUAGUAUUUCUAUACAAGAGUGGUUUGAAAUUCAUGUUUUUUUUUUCUAAUUCUUGCUCUGUUUUAUUUGCUAUGAGUGGCUAAAUUAUUCAUGCUUAGUUAGACACUUAUGAAGCCAAGUACAAGUUUAUUCAAAGAAAUAUUUUGUUCUGAAUUCCAAUUCGGUAUUCCUUAAUUGUUUAUUCUUAUCGUUCAAGGAAUUUUUCUAAAUCAAUCACCGAGUUAAUUUAGGAAUUUUCUUACAAUCAUCUAAGUACAAAUUGAGCAAUUGAAUUUCUUAAUUAAACUUAGAGUUGGAGAUGACUAAUGGCCAGCAGCUAAUUAAAACAACUAUGGAUUUAAUUUUAGAAGCCACUGGAGGAUUUUCUAUGGUUAAUGCUAGGUGAAGCCUCUAAGAUACUAAAUGCACCUUUAAUUAGUCAACAAAGAGAUAAUUGAGGGUAGAUUUUCAGUUAUGAACGUUCUCUAAUUGGAUUAAAAUUACUAGAGAUUGGAAGUCUCUUCGUAAGUGAUUUUUCAGCCUUGCUGCCGAAUUAGUCUACUAGGAUGAUUUAAGGUCGCAAAUGACUUGUACUUGGUGGAUUAAGGAGUCAACAACUAAGCAUUCUUUCUCUCUAUUUGAUUAUUAAAUUCAAGCAUUCCUAAUUCAAAUUUACUUUCGUUCAUUACGUUAGUUUUUAAAAAAAACAUUGAAACAAGAACACCCCCAUUUUUUUGCAUGCGUGUGUGUGGUUUACAUUAGUUUAAUUUCAAUUCUUCUCAAAUAGAUUUAACACGAGCUUCUUCGAGGGACAAUUCCCUAUUUACCCUAUAUUACCAGUUAAUAUUGGACUAGUAGCGGAUUUAAUUUGGGGGAAGUAACGAUAGCUACCAAAUUUUGGCACCGUUGUCGGGGAAGCGACGUUGUCAAAUCUAUUUGAUUUUCAGAACUUAUUUUGUUUUCUUGUUUUUGUUUAUGUAGAUAGAUUUAUUCCUUUAGUAUAUGUUAUUAAGGAGUAGACGACGAACAUCAAAGUCCUCUGCUAAGACCACCGAUCAACAAGCCGAAUCCUACAACCCCCACGUCGAUCCUAACGAUUUAGAAGACAUCGCCAUGGCCAACCAGACCUUGAAGCAGUUGGUUGCACCUAACCUGGCUGCUCAGCCUCCAUCUAUCACUUACCCCACCCUUGACAGGCCCUUAAAGCUCAACUCGGGAUUCUUAAAUUUGUUGUUGAAAUUUAAUGGACUACCAGGUGAGGAUCCAUACCGUCAUAUUAAUGAAUUUAUUAUUACUUGUUCAACCAUGCAGCCAGACGGUAUUGAAGAAGAACAGAUCAAGCUCCGAGCCUUUCCUUUUUCAUUACAAGGAUUGGCAAAGGACUGGCUAUAUUACAUGCCACUAGGUUCAUUCACGACUUGGAUAGGGCUGCAUAAAGGCUUUCUUGAGAAUUUCUUUCCGGCAUCCAAGAUAGGGUUGAUUAGGAAGGAAAUUUGUGGAAUUAAAAAGCUGGUAGGUGAGUCAUUAUAUGAGUAUUGGGAAAGAUUUAAACAGUUAUGUGUGAGCUGUCCGCAACAAUAGAUUAGUGAGUAGCUCUUAGUACAAUACUUUUAUGAGGGGUUGAUGCCACAAGAUCGAGGAAUGAUUGAUGCAGCGAGUGGAGGUGUGUUGGUCGAUAAAACACCCGAGCAAGCUUGAAAUUUGAUUGCUAAAAUGGCACAAAAUACCCAGCAAUUCGGUCUAAGGAGGUCUGAUUUGGGUAAACGAAUGGAUGAGGGGUAGUCGAGUAUGAUGGAGGCUCAAUUAGCUAACUUAACGGCUAUGGUAAGUAAGUUGAUGACUAGAAGUAAUUCGAAGGCUUCGCUGUGUGGUAUUUAUUAUUUGGAAGGACAUACCACGGAUAUGUGUCCGACAUUGCAAGAAGGUAUAAUCCAUAUUCAGCUACUAAUUACAAUGAGGGAUGGAGAGACCACCCUAAUUUUAGAUAUAAAAACUGAGCCACACCCCCUAGAUUUGAGCAGCAAAAUUCCCGACCAUAUAAUAUACCACACCAGCCCCAUCAAAACCUUAAUGCUGAGACUAAGACUCAUACCAUGCUUGAACAAAUGAUGAAGAUCAUGUCCAACCAAAAGGAGACCGAUGGGAGAUUCCAAGCUUUGGAAUCAGUGGUGAAGUAAUUGCAAACAAGAGCUUCAUCGACCGAUGUUAACCUUGGAAACUUGCAAGCACUGGUGAAUAACCAAUUGCCAUCACAGCCAGUAACAAAUCCGAGGGAUAAUGUUAGUGCGAUAACCUUGCUAAGUGGAAAAGAACUGAGACCUAUACUGAAAAAGGUCCGAAAUAGUGAUGAGGAGGACGAGACCGAGGUAAAAAAGUUCUGAUUCGGUGAUAAAAUAGAGGAGAAUUUAGCCAUGGCAAAGGCUGAUUUACAACUGUCACAAGCAGCCCCAAGGGAGGUAGAAAAAUCACACCUUCCGCAGCCCACUGUUUCGCGCGAUGCAACGAAUUUUGAGCAGGAAACGCAGGCCUUUGAGCCGCAAGUAGAAGGAAGUUUGAACGCUACUGACCAGCAGCGAUCUUAUGUGCUGAAAGCCCCGUUUCCAUAGCACUUGAGGAAGGAAAAAUUAGACGACAUUAGUGCUGAAAUUCUGGAAACGUUCUGCAAGGUACAAGUUAACAUUCAAUUAAUUGAUGCAAUUAAACAAGUGCCUAAAUAUGCUAAGUUUUUAAAAGAAUUAUGCACAUCUAAAAGGAAAUUGAUUAGAAAUGAGAGGAUUAGUUUAGGUGAAAAUGUAUCAGCGGUAUUCCAAAAGAAACUCCCACCUAAAUGCAAAGAUCCUGGAAUAUUUUCGAUACCUUGUAAGAUAGGAGACCUUAAACUUGAUAGAGCUAUGCUUGAUUUAGGAGCUUCUAUAAAUGUCAUGCCUAGGAGUAUCUACGACAAAGUACAAUUAGGUUCAUUAAAAGAAACAUGAUUGAUAAUUCAACUUGCUGAUAGGAGUAAUUCCUACCCUGAUGGCGUCUUAGAAGAUUUCUUAGUGCAAGUAAAUGAGUUAGUCUUUUCGGCUGAUUUUUAUGUUUUGGACAUGGGACCUAGUGAUAAUUCGAUUGAUGUACCCUUAAUUUUAGGCAGACCUUUCCUUAAGACUGCUAGAAUAAAAAUUGAUGUACAUAAAGGGAUUUUAACUAUGGAAUUUGAUGGUGAGAUAGUAAAAUUUAACAUAUUUGAUGCUAUGAGAUAUCCCACUGAUACUAAUUCUUUGUUUUCCCUUGAUGUAAUUGAUAAUUUUGUUCAAAAUGUUUAUGAAUUAGGAGAGGAUGACAAGUUAAAUGGUGUUCUAACUAAAAGCAUCUUUGAUGUCGAUGAGCAUGAAUUUGUUGUUUCUGAUUCUUUAAUUAAUUCGGUUUGUCCAUUAAACUCUUCUCAAUUGACACAGUUCAAACCGGAUUUCCCUAGCCUUCAGGUGACCGAUAAACAAAUUCCCCCACUGAUUUCACCACCUAAACUUGAGCUAAAAGAGCUGCCCGUGAAUUUAAAGUACAUCUAUUUAGGUGAAAAUCAAACUUUGCCAUUGAUAGUGUCGAAUGCCUUAAUCGACACCCAAUAAUCCAAGCUGAUUAGAGUUUUUAAGGAGCAUAAAGAAGCUUUUGGUUAGACACUAGCCAAUAUUAGGGGACUUAGUACGACUUUGUGCACUCAUAAGAUAGCCUUAGAACCAAACUCAAUUCCUAAAAGAGACCCCCAACUCCGAUUGAAUCCACCGAUGAUGGAGGUAGUUAAGAAAGAAAUUUUAAAAUGGUUAAACGUUAUUUAUCCUAUAGCUGAUUCAAAAUGGGUAAGUCCAAUUCAUGUUGUCCCUAAGAAAGGAGGAACCACAAUAGUUACCAACGAGGAAGGGUUAGAAAUUCCUACAAUAGUGCAGAAUAGUUGGCGAGUUCGCAUAGACUAUAGGAAGCUGAACAAAGCCACUAAGAAAGACCACUAUCCUCUUCUAUUCAUGGAUCAAAUGUUAGAAAGGCUAGCUGGUCGCUCACAUUUUUGUUUCUUAGAUGGCUAUUUAGGUUAUUUGUAGGUACCCAUCGCACCUGAGGAUCAAGAGAAUACUACUUUCACUUACCCGUUUGGAACUUAUGCCUUCAAGAGAAUGUCUUUCGGAUUAUGCAAUGCACCAGCCACAUUUCAAAGAGGUAUAACAACAUUUUUUUAUUUUAUUUCACAUAUAAUGGAGGUAUUUAUGGAUGACUUUACUUUUUAUGGUGAUUCAUUUGACCAGUGUUUGCAUCAUCUUGUGUUAGUGUUUAGGCGUUGCAUUGAUACUAAUCUGAUAUUGAACUUUGAGAAAUGUCAUCUCAUGGUUGAGAAAGGUGUAGUGUUGGGGCAUGUUGUCUCAUCUAGAGGUUUAGAAGUUGACCAAGCCAAGGUUGAGGUGAUAAAAAACUUACCCUAUCCGAGCACUGUGAAAGGAAUUCGAUCUUUCUUAGGGCAUGUAGGAUUCUACCGUAGGUUCAUUAAGAAUUUUUCACAAAUAUCUUUAUCUUUAUGUGCAUUGCUAGGUAAGGAUGUCACAUUUGAAUUUAAUGAGAAUUGUAAAAAAUCUUUUGAUGAAUUGAAACUGAAAUUGAUCAUGGCACCUAUCAAUCAAGGACCAAAUUAUGCAUUACCCUUCGAGAUUCUAUGCGAUGCUAGUGAUAGGGCUGUUGGUGCGGCACUAGGACAACAAAACGGUAGAUAGUCUUAUAUUAUUAGGUAUGCUAGUGAGCUAUUAAACCUGGCUCAAUACAAUUACACCACAACCGAGAAAGAACUCUAUGCCAUAGUUUUUGCCUUAGAGAAAUUUAGAGCAUAUUUGUUAAGAGUUAAAGUCAUUAUAUUUUCUGAUCAUAGUGCUCUUAAAUAUUUUUUGCAUAAAAAAAAACCAAUCCUAGAUUGAUUAGGUGGAUUUUUCUUUUGCAAGAAUUCGACCUAGAAAUUAAAGAUAAGAAGGGUAAAGAAAACCUUGUGGUUGAUCAUUUGAGUAGGAUAGAAGCUAGGGACGUGAGGAGUGAGCCAAGUGAUCUAUUUCCUGAUGAGAGACUUUAUAGUGUGUCUAGUGCUUUACCAUGGUAUGCCAACAUAGUGAAAUACUUAGUGACUAAAGAGUUCCCCACGAAUGCACCUAGGCACUUGAGAGAAAAAAUUAGAAGUCAAGCCCGGUUUUACUUAUGGGAGGAGCCAUACCUUUGGCGAUUUUGUAGAGACCAAAUAAUUAGGCAUUGUGUCGAUGAUAGUGAGAUUGAAUCCGUACUUAAUUUUUGUUAUUCUCGAGAGGGUGGAGGACAUUUUGGACCUAAGAGAACAGCUCAUAAGAUACUUGUGUAUGGGUUAUUUUGGCCGACUAUUCAUAAAGACUCAUACGCAUAUUGUAAAAAUUGUGCAUCAUGUCAAAGAACUGAAAACUUAAGUAGUAAAAAUCAAAUGCCAUUACAUAAUUUCUAUAUUUGUGAUAUAUUUGACGUGUGGGGUAUUGAUUUUAUGGGGCUUUUCCCUUUUUCUUUCGGUUAUUUAUACAUUCUUGUGUGUGUUGAUUACUUGCCGAAAUGGGUAGAAGCAUUUCCAACUAGGACCGAUGAUGCUAAGACUAUGGUGAAACUUCUUAAGACCAACAUCUUAAAUAGAUAUGGAGUACCAAGGGCUAUAAUUAGUGACAAGGGAACCCAUUUCUGUAAUUGAACCUUGAGAGCCUUAUUUGCACAAUAUGGUGUCACCCACAAGGUAUCGACAGCAUAUCACCCUCAAACCAAUGGGCAAGCUGAGAGUAGAAACAAGGAAAUUAAGGGAAUUUUAGAGAAGAUUGUCAAGCCUAAUAGGAAAGAUUGGAGCCAAAGGUUAGAUGAAGCAUUGUGGGCUGUUCGAACAGCUUACAAAACGCCAAUAGGGAUGUCGCCUUAUAGGGUUGUUUUUGGAAAGGCAUGUCAUCUUCCUGUAGAGCUAGAACAUAAGUCAUUUUGGGCUGUUAAGCAAUGCAAUUUGAACUAUAGUUUGGUAGGGGAAGAGCGCAAGUUGAAGCUGCAAGAGUUGGAGGAGUUGCGCUUAGAGGCAUAUGACAAUUCGGUCUUCUACAAAGGUAAAUCGAAGGCAUUUCAUGACUCAAAGCUAAUUCGCAAAGAAUUUAAGGUGGGGGAGAAGGUACUACUAUUUAAUUCUAAGCUUAAAUUGCUUCCCGGUAAGUUAAAAUCAAGGUGGCUUGGACCGUUUAUAAUAACUGAAGUGGAUCAUCAUGGGGCAAUCGAAAUUAGGAGCCUCGAUACUAAUAAAAUUUUCAAGGUAAAUGGUCACAGGUUGAAACAUUUCUAUGAAGGGGAGCAAACAGCUUGGUUAGAGGAGAUCAAUCUUAAGGAUCCAUGAGGAAUUGUAAUGUCGAGCCAAAGACAUCAAACAAAGGCACUUGUGGGAGGCAACCCACUCAUUUAGAGAAGUUUUUUUCUUUUAUCUUUUAUGUUCUUAUUGCUUCUUUCCAUUAGUAAUUUUUAAUUUUCUUUUGCAUUAGGGACAAUGCAAACAUUAAGUAUGGGGGAAUUAUUUCAUUGAUUUUCUAAUAUAUUUGAUGUUUGUGUUUAGCGAAUUUCAUGAAUAAAAUUUUAUUUCCUAAAAAAAUAAUAAUAUAAAAAUAAAUAAUGAAAAUGUAUUUUACGAAUUCAAGUUGAUUUUGGUUGUUGUAUGUCGAUUGGUUGGGUUCAAUUUUGUUUUCAGUUGACUGAUUUUGGUUUGAAAAAAAAAGAAGAGAAAAAUCAAUCCCAUGUUUAAUUUUGUACUUUAAAAUCAGAGUUGGAUAAAAAUUAGUCUGCUUAAUUGAUCAAUCAUGUGGUCCUUGUGAGGAAUUUGAGCCUAGAGAGUAAAGUUGGGACAUCCAUGCCAACUUGAGAAGUUAGUAUUCAUUCAUGUAUGAUUAUUGUUAUCGAUUGUCAAAUACUCCUGAACUUGCUUUAGAUCUUAUUAAGUUUAGUGAUACAUUUGAUUCACAUUAAUAUGAUUUAAGAGGCAUUAGGAAGUGAGCCACGAUUACUAAUAAAACCUGACCUUGACACUAUCUCCAAUUAGUUAGCCAAUUUGAAGCCUCAAUUUUCCAAUUUUUAUUGAUUUACCUCUAGAAAUUGAACCAAGCUUAAAUUAACCCACCUUCUCUAGGCUAGUUAAUUCAGUUUCGAAGUUCAUCUUGAUUUCGACAUAUGGUUGACUGAUUGAAGUGCUAGUUGGGGUGGUUUUUAGCUAGAAAUUAGGGGCUGAUUCGUAAUUAAAAAAAUGGUAAGUUGUAGCCUCUCUAUUAAACGAAAGAAUACUCUAAUGUGAUCACAUUGAAGCAAGACUGUCAAGUCAGGUGGCUGGAAAUUGAAACGAUGAAGGGCUGAUUGAAUCUGUCAUCCAUACUUCCUUUAAAAAAUUAAAAAGAGAAGAGAAAAUAAGAGAGAAUGAUGACUUAUGAAUGAUGAAUUUUACUAGUCUAAGGGAACUAGCUCCACCAUCCAAAUAAAUCCCUCCCAUCCUUAAACAUUACCUUGGCCCCAUUACAAACUUUGUUUGGCCUCAGUCAUAUCUCUGGUUUCUUAUGUGUUAUGUUAUAGAUAAGGUGGACAAGAAAGCUUAUGGUAGUUAAUUACAUUCGAAUUCAAUUUGGGAGUGACGCACUAGCCUAAACACAUUGAGUGAUGAGUGUUAAUCAUUUUUCUCUUUCCGGUGAGGACUGAUCAAGGAAGCAUUCGUAAAUUUUGGUUAAUUUUGAAUUCGUUUUGAAAUAGUAUGUGUACAGCCCAUUUUUCGCCCGGACCCAUUUACAAAAAAAAAACAACAAACAAGCCAUUAACUACCCAAUAAACCUAACCCAAUUACUACAAGCCCAAACCCGGAACCCAAUACUAGGCCCAAUAGACCUAGAAACCAAAGUCGGCCUAGGGUUUCAGUUUCUGAAGCCCUAGGCGCCGCCCCUUGACUUUUGGCUUCCUGCCAUCGCCGCCACCGCCGUUUGACGUCCCAUCCGCGUCCAUCACCACCACCCAUCCACUUACGCCGUCACCUGCAAAGAAGAGAAACAAAUGAGGAAAAAAGACAGCAUAAACAGUGGCAAAGAUCAGCUAUAAAAGCCAACAAAAUGUAACCUUCUUUUUUUUCGGGUACCCUUUGUAACAAAACUGAUAUUAGCAAAAGAAAUAAAAAUACAAAUUACGUUUUAAGGUGAUUUCGAGUACUCUUCUUGGUUUUUUUAUUUUAUUUCUUGUCUUUUUUUGUUUAUUUAUAUAUAUAAAAUAAAUAAAGAAAGAAAAGAAGUACCUUUCUCUAAACGUCGCGCCGGAAAGGGGGAAACCGAGCGGUUUCCCUUCCGUUUUGGUGCUUUUCGCCCUUCGUUCGCAAGAUUUGGCCUUAGAUCUAUGGCCUUAGAUCCAAGACCUUUGUAUCAGGAGGAACCAUGUAUUCUGGACUGAGGACUCCAAGAAAGAAAACCACAGAGGAAAUGUUAGGAAACUUGAACAUCAAUGCCAUAUUUGAAGAAAAAUCUGAAGAAGGAAGUACAUCAGGCAUCUAUCCCGUUGAACCUGGGAGUGUUUUAAACAAUUGGACUGCAGAAGAAAUGCCUGAAGUUUUUAAAGCUUUUUCAGAGUAAUAUUCAAAACAUACUAAUUGUUCUAAGCCUAGAGAAAAUGAAACUUUUUAUGAAAUGAAAGGGGCUUAUAUUUGAACAUUGUGAUUUCAAUGAAAUAUAUUUUUGCAUUUUGAGUAUAUAUUCUUUUCAUUCUUUCGCAUGAAUAGUCAUUUUGGAUGCCUUUAUUCCAGAUCAUUCUUUCAUUCAUUCAUGACCAUAUUAAAUAAGAAUCCUUAAAUUCAUACAUUCCCUGUACAUUUUUCGGUACUUAUAACAGGUCCCAAGAUAUCAAUGACAUGAGUGACGUUACUAUGGACUUAGGAAAGCCUUUUGAUCAAGAUAUGUGUUUAGAGGAAUCUCAAGAUUUUGAAGAUAAUAUAGAUUGCAACCUAUCUCCGGACUUGUUGAGGAUGGUAGAGCAGGAAGAGAAACAAAUCCUACCUCACAAGGAGACAGUAGAGACGGUGACCCUGGAAGAGGAAAAAGUGGUGAAGAUUGGCACAUGCAUAGCUGAAGAAGUAAAACAAUACCUCAUUAAGUUGCUUCGAGAAUUCAAGGAUGUCUUCGCAUGGUCAUAUCAAGAUAUGUCGGGGCUAAGUACUAACAUUGUAGUUCACCAACUUCCUAUAAAGGAAGAUUGCAAACCAGUUCAGCAAAAACUCUGAAGAAUGAGGCCUGAUGUUGUAUUAAAAAUAAAAGAGGAGGUGCAAAAGCAAUUCGACGCUGGAUUCCUGCAAGUGGUCAAAUACUUCGAGUGGGUGGCCAAUAUCGUUCCUGUCCCUAAGAAAGAUGGGAAGGUAUGAAUGUGUGUAGAUUAUAGAGAUUUAAAUAAGGCUAGCCCAAAAGAUAAUUUUCCCUUACGGCACAUCGACACCUUGGUAGACAACACAGCGGGGCAUUCACUGUUUUCUUUCAUGGAUGGUUUCUCUGGAUAUAACCAAAUUAAGAUGCAUCCUAAGGAUAUGAAGAAAACUACAUUCAUAACCCUAUGGGGAACCUUUUGCUAUAAAGUGAUGCCAUUUGGGUUGAAAAAUGCAGGGGCAACGUAUCAGAGGGCCAUGGUAACACUGUUUCAUGAUAUGAUGCAUAAGGAGUUAGAAGUCUACGUUGAUGACAUGAUUGCGAAAUCUAAAACAGAAGAAGAACAUGUGCAGGUCCUUAAGAAAUUAUUUGUGAGGUUGAGAAAGUUUCAACUAAAGCUAAAUCCAGCGAAAUGCACAUUUGGGGUCAGAUCAGGAAAAUUACUGGGGUUCGUGGUCAGUGAGAGAGGAAUUGAGAUUGAUCCUGACAAAGUAAGAGCAAUACAAGAAUUACCUCCGCCGCGUACUCAAAAAGAGGUUCGAGGUUUUCUAGGAAGACUAAAUUAUAUCGCUCGAUUCAUUUCACAGCUAAUCGAGAAAUGCGACCCCAUAUUUCGUCUCCUUAAGAAACAUAAUCCAGGUGUAUGGGAUGAGGAAUGUCAAGAAACUUCUGAAAAAGUCAAACCGCUCAUACUGUAUUUGGUAGUAUUUGAAAAUUCCAUGGGAUGCGUGCUUGGUCAACAUGAUGAGUCAGGACAAAAAGAAAGAGCAAUCUACUAUCUCAGUAAGAAAUUCACCGAAUACGAAACAAGAUAUUCGUCAAUCGAGAAGUUAUGUUAUGCCUUGAUCUGGACAACUCGAAGACUGAGACAGUACAUGUUGUACCAUACAACCUGGCUAAUUUCUAAAUUGGACCCUCUAAAAUACUUGAUGGAAUCAACCGCUCUAAAUGGAAGAAUGGCCCGAUGGCAAAUUCUCCAGUCUGAAUUUGACAUAGUUUAUGUGAACCAGAAGGCAGUCAAAGGGAGUGCAAUAGCGGACUUCCUAGCAAGUAGAGCUCUAGAAGAUUAUGAGCCAUUGAACUUCGAUUUCCCAAAUGAAGAUUUGAUGUAUGUUGUAACUAUAGAAAAAGACUUUCAAGAAGAUGGUCCUUGGAAGCUGAAUUUUGAUGGAGCUUCAAAUGCUAUAGGCAACAGAAUUGGGGCGUUACUUGUGUCUCCUAGUGGAGAUCAUUACCCUUUCACUAGCAAAUUGGAUUUUGAUUGUACAAAUAACAUGGCUGAGUAUGAAGCUUGCAUUAUGGGCAUCCGAGCAGCCAUAGAACAAAAAAUUAAGGUGCUAGAGAUAUACGGGGACUCUGCAUUAGUAAUUUACCAGCUCAAAGGGGAAUGGGAAACAAGAGACCCCAAGUUAGUCCGCUAUCGAAAAUUGGUUAUGGAAUUGAUUGAGGAUUUUGAUAGUGUCACAUUUAGUUAUCUCCCACGAGAUGAGAACCAGAUGGCAGAUGCUUUGGCUACCCUAGCUUCUAUGUUCAAAGUGAACAAGCUAGAGGAUAUGAAGCCUAUCCAGAUCAGCAUUUAUGAGGCUCCAGCCCAUUGUUGCAACAUUGACAAUGAAGGAGAAAAGGAUGAUCAUCCCUGGUACCAUGACAUAUUGCAAUUUGUGAAGAGUCAUGAGUACCCUGACCAUGCGAUGAAAAAUGAUAAGAAGACAUUGAGGAGAUUAGCCAUUGAUUAUGUCCUAGAUGGGGGUAUAUUGUAUAAAAGAGGAAAAGAUCAAGUAUUGUUGAGAUGUGUGGACGCUGUCGAAGCUAAGAAAAUUUUGGAAGAAGUGCAUGAAGGUAUCUGUGGAACGCAUGCCAAUGGCUUCACGAUGGCCAGACAAAUUAUGAGAUUUUGGUACUAUUGGUCCACCAUGGAAGGGGAUUGCAUUAAUUAUGCCAAAAAGUGCCAUAAAUGUCAAAUUUAUGGUGACAAAAUACACGCACCACCGUCACCUCUUCAUGUUAUGGUUUUUCCAUGGCCUUUCUCCAUGUGGGGAAUGGAUGUUAUUGGGCCCAUAUCUCCGAAGGCUUCUAAUGGACAUCGUUUUAUCUUUGUGGUUAUUGAUUACUUCACUAAAUGGGUGGAGGCUGCUUCGUAUGCAAAUGUCACGAAGUUAGCAGUUAGCAAGUUUCUGAAAAAAGAGAUCAUAUGUCGAUACGAGAUGCCUGAAAGGAUCAUAUCCGAUAAUGCACUGAACUUGAACAACAACUCAAUAGCGGAAGUUUGUAGUCAGCUCAAGAUCAGACACCAGAAUUCGUCACCGUACCGUCCAAAAAUGAAUGGUGCCGUGGAAGCAGCUAACAAAAAUAUCAAGAAAAUUGUAAGGAAAAUGACUGAAACCUACAAAGACUGGCACGAGAAAUUACCUUUUGCCCUUCUGGCAUAUCGUACCUCUGUUAGGACCUCUACGGGGGCAACGCCGUUUUCUUUAGUCUAUGGGAUGGAGGCAAUUUUACCCAUAGAAGUUGAAAUUCCUUCUCUCCGAGUAUUAGCUGAACUAAAGUUGGAUGAGGCUGAAUGGAUUCAAUCUCGAUAUGACCAGCUAAACUUGGUAGAAGAAAAGAGGUUAAAAGCUAUUCGUCAUGGUCAGAUGUAUCAGAAACGAAUGAUGCGAGCCUAUAACAAAAAAGUUCGUCCCAGAGAAUUUUACGAGGGGGACUUGGUGUUGAAAAAGAUUCUUCCUCUACAAAAGGAUUUUAGAGGAAAAUGGAUGCCAAAUUAGGAAGGUCCAUAUGUGGUAAAAAAGACCUUUUCAGGAGGAGCUUUAAUCUUGAGCGAGAUGGAUGGUAAAAGCCUGCCAAAUCCUGUGAACUCAGACUCAGUCAAGAAAUAUUUCACUUGAAAAAAAAAGGAAGAAGAAGAAAAAGAAAAAAGGAGAGGCCAAGGUGAAAACCCGUAAAGGGCGCCUUGAGACCAAAGGGGAUUUGAGUUGAAAACCUGAAAAAGGCGGGUCAAAUUUUGAGAAGGCAUGAGGUGAACAGAACAACUCAAAUUUUGAUCAAAAAUCUGGGGCAUGUGGUGGUCUCGCUAUACCUGAAUCACAAGAAAGGGUAGGCGACAUCUUGGGGUAUCGACGAAAUACUGUAGAUUCCCUAAACACAUAUUAAAUGGUCUUUAGAAAAACUUAUUCAGGGAAGCUCGUGUUGCUAUAUCUGGGGCACCUGUUGUUAUCUUAUAUUUUGAAUCUUGGCAAAAUUUGUUGUCUUGAUUGAUGUAUUCAUUUCAAGCUUUGUUCCCUAAUAAAAUUUCAUUUUGUCUAUUUUUUAUCUUAUCUUAGGAAAAUUUGUUAACUCAUUCAUUUCGAGAUUUGUUCUGAAUAGCAUUUUGUCUGUCCAUUGUGAUAAUAUUUUUUCGAAAAUAUUUGGAAUAACGAUUAAUGGACUGAAUGUUCAAGCAAAAGGAGCUUUGCAUAUUACUCUAGAAAUUUCUAAAUAAUGAAGGAAUCUGAAACAGGACCGUUGUUUAGAACACACCAAAUUUGAAGUGUCUAAAAGGAAAAAGUCUAAAUCAGGAUUAUCCUUUUAAACUUCGUUGUCCAAACGUGGAUAAAACAAAAUGACAAAUGUCGUGUUAGGUGACAAGGCUUCAAUGAACAAGCAAGCAAUAACCACCACACAAUAGGAAGAGGUUUCUUCGGAGAAGAAAUUCCUCAUUUUGUGCAUGAGCAUUUGGUAUGACACCUUGGGAAUGAGGUAAAGGACCAAAAAGCUUGACAUUCUGUAUCCUUGAAUUGCGAUAGGAGAAGAUUGAAGAAAGCCGUAUCUUUCUACCCUUGGGUUACAGUGGGAGAUUGAUGGUGCAAAUUUUAUGUCCCAGUGGGUUGAACUUUGACAUUCACAGUAAGGGAAGCAAGAAGGUGCUGUAACACAUCAGUCACAAAAUCUUGAUGAACUUCAAGUAAUGAUAACCUAAGCGAGAUCAUUCACGAAAAAUAAAAUUAUGCAUUCAUGCAAACACCAUUCACACACGUCUAGUUAGGAGCAUUUGUUUCAUUUUGAUCAUGUCAUCCUAAUCAUUAGGCAUAAUUAGGUGCAUUAUACAUGUCUUAUCUCCCUAAGAUUACAGUGGAACAGACCGAAGAAUUGCAAAUCUUAUCUCCCUGAGAUUACAGCGGAGCAGAUCAAAGAUAGUAAUCCUAUCUCCUUGAGAUUACAGUGGAGCAGAUUAAAAGAUCUUAUCUCUCUGAGGUUACAGUAGAAUGGAUCGUAACAGGUCUUAUCUCAUUGAGAUUACAGUGGAGCAGACCGAAGAAUUGCAGAUCUUAUCUCCCUGAGAUUACAGCGGAGCAGAUCAAAGAUAGUAAUCCUAUCUCCUUGAGAUUACAGUGGAGCAGAUUAAAGGAUCAUAUCUCUCUGAGGUUACAGUAGAAUGGAUCGUAUCAGGUCUUAUCUCCCUGAGAUUACAGUGGAGAAGACCGAAGAAUUGCAGAUCUUAUCUCCCUGAGAUUACAGCGGAGUAGAUUGAAGCUAGUAAUCCUAUCUCUCUGAAGUUACAGUGGAGCGGAUUAAAAUAAAGGAUCUUAUCUCUCUGAAGUUACAGUAGAGUAGAUCACAUCAGAUUGAAGCCAGAGAUCUUAUCUCCCUCAGAUUACAGUGGAGUAGAUUGAAGCUAGUAAUCCUAUCUCCCUGAAGUUGCAGCGGAGUAGAUUAAAACACAGAUCUUAUCUCUCUAAAGUUACAGUAGAGUGGAUCGUAUCAGGUCUUAUAUCCCUAAUGUUGCAGUGGAACAGACUGAAAACGUAAAUUUAGUUCCCCUGAAGUUGCUGCGAAGAAGAUUGAAACUACAAGUUAGAUCUUUCGAAGUUGCAGUGGAAUGGAUCGAAGCAACAAGACACAGUGGACUGGAAUGAAGCUACUUGAAGAAGAGAAGCACCAAAACAAGUCAAGAAACGGCAAGGCCGGGCAAAAUGGGCCUUUCUUAGUCUUUGCUCUGUUAUCGUUACACGACAACGAGCAAAGAGGGGCAGCUGUACAGCCCAUUUUUCGCCCGGGCCCAUUUACAAAAAAAACAACAAACAAACCAUUCACUACCUAAUAAACCUAACCCAAUUACUACAAGCCAAAACCCGGAACCCAAUACUAGGCCCAAUAGACCUAGAAACCAAAGUCGGCCUAGGGUUUCAGAAGGCGCCACCUCUUGACUCUUGGCUUCCUGCCAUCGCCGCCACCGCCGUUGGACGUCCCAUCCGCGUCCAUCACCACCACCCAUCCACUUGCGUCGUCACCUGCAAAGAAGAGAAACAAAUGAGGAAAAAAGACAGCAUAAACAGUGGCAAAGAUCGGCUAUAAAAGCCAACAAAAUGUAACCUUCUUUUUUUUUAGGUACUCUUUGUAACAAAACUGAGAUUAGCAAAAGAAAUAAAAAUACAAACUACGUUUUAAGGUGAUUUUGAGUACUCUUCUUGGUUUUUUUUAUUUUAUUUCUUGUCUUUUUUUGUUUAUUUAUAUAUAUAAAAUAAAGAAAGAAAGAAAAGAAGUACCUUUCUCUCAACGCCGCGCCGGAAAGGGGGAAACCAAGCGGUUUCGCUUCCGUUUUGGUGCUUUUCACCCUUCGUUCGCAAGAUUUAGCCUUAGAUCUAUGGCCUAGGAGCUUCCGGCUUUAAAAAGGAACUGAAAAGGUCCUAUUUUGCACCCAUGACCGCUGCCCACGGAGGCGCUACGACGGAGGCGUGCCGGAGCUUUUGGCCGAAAUCCAUGGCUGGAUGAAAAAGGGGGAGAGAUUUUUUUAGUUUUUUUUAGAAGGAGAAGAAGAAAAUGAUGAUUUUAAAAAAUUUUCGGGUUUAAAUAACCCUCACAAAACGACAUCGUUUUACCGUAUAGAGUCAGGUGCCAAAACGACGCCGUUUUGGCCCUGACCCGCGCGGUGACUCGAACCAGGGGAGGAUCCGCGCGUUUUCUGCAAAUAGGUUAUUUGCGCAAUCGAUCCCUCUGAUUUUGUGGCACUUUCAAGGAAGUUUUUCGCAUAUUUUCAAUUUUGGCCAUGAAUUUUCACAUCUGUUUCGAUUUGGUCCCUCGACCAUGUGCGUGAGUUUCACUGGAACGAUGUCAUUUGGUUAGCGAGGGGAUAUUUCCUAGUUUGGUCCCCCUCUUUCGGCGCGCGUCACAAUUUUACCCUUUUUGUUUUUUAUUUCGAUUUCGCCCAGUACUUUUGUUUUUAUUUCGAUUUAGUCCAUAUCUUAGCAUUCUUAUUAUUUUUAAUAUUACUAUUAUUAUUAUUAUUAUUAUUAUCUUUGUUAUUAUUAUUAAUAUUUAUGUUAUUAUUAUCAUUAUAUUUCUACUUAUAUUUACUUAUGUUUUUUUAAAGUAUAUGUGCUGUAUUAUAUUAUUAUUAUGUAAAUAUUUCAUAUAUAGUUUAUUUAGUAUAUAUUAAAUACUUUUUAUAUACGUGUAUAUCUAUAUAUUCUUUUUCUCAUGAAUAUAUGUAUACAUACUCAUUUUUUUAUGAAUAUAUUUAUUUUAUUUCAAUAAUUUUAAAAUAUACCUAUACAUAUUUUUUAUAUUUUUAUAAAUUUAUGUGUGUACAUAUGUUUUUAUAACAUACAUAAUAAUACACAUAUAUCUUUCAUAUUUCCAUAAUUUUAUGUAUAUACAUACAUGUAUAUCUCCCUUAUAUGCACAUACAUUUUUUAUAUAUUUUAUAAUUUUCAUAUAUUUUCAUAUAUUUUUCAUUCAUGAAUUUACUUAUAUGUUCAUGUUUAUGCUUUAGUUUAUUUAUUUAUUUAAUUGUUAUGGUACAUGUAUGAUUGAUUUAUUUUAUUAUUCGUUUUUGUUCAUUAUUUUUUAUACACAUUAUUAUGUUUAUUAUUCCAUCAUGCACAUAAAUAUCAUAUUUCAAAAAAGGAAAAUAUUUCAAAUUGAGGCAAUAUUUAGCGUUUGGAAAUUCGAGAAAACAUGCCCUAAGGUGUUGGGUGUCGAUUUUUUCUCGUUCGACCAAAUAGCUAAAUAUCAUUUUAGGAAUUUUAAAAUAAGGCAAUGUUUUGCGUUUGGAAAUUCGAGAAAACAUGCCCUAAGGUGCUGGGUGUUGAUUUUUCUCGUUCAACCAAAUAGCUAAAUAUCCUUUCAAAAAUUUCAAAAUAAAGCAAUGUUUUGCGUUUGGAAAUUCGAGGAACGUGCCCUAAGGUGCUGGGUUUCGAUUUCUCGUUUAACCAAAUUGCCAAAUAUCCUCUUGAAUUUUAAUCCAUCCCAUUCGAUUUUUUUAAGGAUCGUAUUUUAAAUUCCUUUAAGGUUUUUAGAUUUUCGACACUAAAAAAUUAAUUAAUCAACUAGGUACCAAUUUUGGGCGUAUCGAGGGUGCUAAUCCUUCCUUGUGCGUAACCGACUCCCGAACCCAUUUUUCUGAAUUUCGUGGACCAAACUUGUUGUUUUAAUAAAAUCAAAUCGAUUAUUAAAAACAACCACUUUUCGAGGUGAUCCGAUCACACCUCAUCAAAAAGGAUUGGUGGAGACUCCCAUUUUCGUUUUCAUUUUUCACAACCCAAGUCGACCCCGUUUUUUUAAUCAAAAAAAUGGUGUCAACAGUAUGUAUAUAUUUGUGGAUUUCAAGCAGAUUUUCUUUUCUUUGAUAAACCAAAAUCUAGGAUUGAUGAUUCCAAAAUUCAUCCCAAGCAUGAAAGAUGCAACAACACUUGAUUCGACUUGAUUUCUUGCAUGAUUGUUUUUGACUUGAUUCUCGACUCUUCGGAAUUGCUCGACGAUGAUCAAUAGCUUAAGUAUGGGGGAGUUUGUUAAGUUCAAUUUUGAGCUUAACUUAUUCAACUAAUUACCUUAAUUAUUGAUGAAUUCUUGAUCAAUUGAUUUUUAAGUAGCCUAAUUUACAUUCUAUGGCUUGAUGAUUUACUUUCGUUCCGAUUUAAAAAAUUAAUUGUAUUUUAAGACAUGUUGCAAGGUAGAAUUCACUUCCCACGGAUAGAGUUGAUGGAAGGGGCUGGGCGAAUGCUGACUUCUCUAAAAUCGACGAAGUCGAAAUACAAAUUCGACCGCAAAAGAACUUGACAGCAAGAUUCGGUCCAACAUAAGGUGCAAUAGACCGACAUCGUGCGAUCAACCAGCAAAGGAAUCAAAGUUAAAUUUGAAUUCCCCUCUUUCUAGCUAUGAACGAUUCAACCUUGAGAAGUUAAAUAGGAGUGAAAGUCUAAUUUAGUUGAGCUGCUCUUAUGCGAUAAGUGAGAAAAAAAUCAUGGAGCUGAUCGGAUUAUGAUUUUGAUUUACUUAUCCGAUUGGAAGCUAAUUUUAUUCCAUAAAAAGAGGACAAGAAGCAGCAGGCUAGAGAUGGAGAAAAUCGCAGGCAUAGUUCGGGCUACUCAAUUUCAGAAAUUUCUCUAAUUGAACCAGCAAGUGCCGAACAAGCAGCUGGAAAGUAGUCCAAAAAUUCAGCUAGUUGAGAGAAGGAAAGGUAGACAAUUAGAGUAGUAUUUCUAUACAAGAGUGGUUCAAAAUUCAUGUUUUUUUUAAUUCUUGCUCUGUUUUAUUUGCUAUGAGUGGCUGAAUUAUUCAUGCUUAGUUAGACACUCAUGAAGCCAAGUACAAGUUGAUUCAAAGACAUAUUUUGUUCUGAAUUACAAUUCGGUAUUCCUUAAUUGUUUGUUCUUAUCGUUCAAGGAAUUUUUCUACAUCAAUUGGAUUGAUCACCUAAUUAAUUUAGGAAUUUUCUUACAAUCAUCUAAGUACAAAUUUAGUAAUUGAAUUUCUUAAUUAAACUUAGUGUUGGUGAUGACUAAUUGGCCAGCAGCUAAUUAAAACAACUACGGAUUUAAUUUUAGAAGCCGUUGGAGGAUUUUCUAUGGUUAAUGUUAGGUGAAGCCUCUAAGAUACUAAAUGCACCUUUAAUUAGUCAACAAAGAGAUAAUUGAGGGUAGAUUUUCAGUUAUGAACGUUCUCUAAUUGGAUUAAAAUUACUAGAGAUUGGAAGUCUCUUCGUAAGUGAUAUUUCAGCCUUACUGCCGAAUUAGUAUACUAGGAUGAUUUAAGGUCGCAAAUGACUUGUACUUGGUGGAUUAAGGAGUCAACAACUAAGCAUUCUUUCUCUCUAUUUGAUUAAUAAAUUCAAGCAUUCCUAAUUCGAAUUUACUUUCGUUCAUUACUUUAGUUUUUUUUAAAAACAUUGAAACAAGAACACCCCCCUUUUUCUUGCAUGCGUGUGUAUAGUUUACAUUAGUUUAAUUUCAAUUCUCCUCAAAUAGAUUUAACAUGAGUUUCUUCAAGGGACGAUUCCCUAUUUACCCUAUAUUACCAGUUAAUAUUGGUCUAGUAGCGGAUUUAAUUUGGUGGGAGUAACGAUAGCUACCAUCCACGUAACAAACUACCUCUUAGGUUGCUAUAUUUAUUAAUUAUUAAUUUGUUUUAUGUACUUCCACCUACCAACCUGACGUCUUAAUUUGCUGUAUAGAUCCAUGUUUUAUGCAUGUUUUAAUUUUGUAUAAAGAUAAAUUUAAACUUUAAUGUUUAUAUUUUUAUCAAUUCAAUCUUUAAUUUUUUUAAGUUAAAUUUGAUUAUUAAAUUUUUAAAAAGAGUUUAAUUAUUUUUUAAUAGAAAUAUUGAAUAAAAUAUAAAUUGUUUAACAUGUUGAAAAAUCAGAAGAAUUGUGGGAAUUUUUUCUGUAUCUCAUUCCACCCAAAAUCAAGAACAUAUAUACACGGUAAAAUACAAAGAUAGAAACCAAAAUUAUCUCUUAAACUUUAGCAUCUAAUCUCCUAAUUAAAAGGAAAGAGAUGUACACAAAAACUACCAUACAUAUUUACAGAAUAAUUCCAAUACCCCCUCAAGUUGGAGCAUGAAGAUCAUGGAUGCCCAAUUUGCAAAGGAGAGAACGAACUGAUGACUGACCAAUAGCCUUGGUAAAUAUAUCUGCAAGUUGUGACAUUGUUGGAACAUAGGUAGGUUUCACAUCGCCUUGGAGAAUUUCAUCCCGAACAAAAUGACAAUCCACCUCUAUUUGUUUGGUGCGCUCAUGAAAGACCGGAUUGUGAGAUAUAUGAAGAGCAGCUUGACUAUCACAAGCAAGCGUUAUUGAGUGCGGAUGAGAGACUCCAAGGCUACCUAAUAAUCCCUUUAACCACUUGAGCUCACAUAUGGUCACAGCCAUGGACCGAUAUUCGUCUUCGGCGGAGUAUCAAGACACAGUGUGUUGUUUCUUUAUCUUCCAAGAUAUCGGAGAAGAGCCCAAGAAAAUCAACCAUCCUGUGAGUGAUCGUCUUGUCAUCGGACAACAUGCCCAAUCCGUAUCGCACCAACCGUACAACCGUAGAUCACUUUUGCUACUCAAAAACACUCUUUGACCCGAAGUUCCUUUCAAGAAAUGAACAACUCGAAGUGCUGUAUUCUAAUGAUCAAUGCGUGGUUGUUGCAUGAAUUGAGAUAAAAUAUGAACACUGUAUGCAAUCUCCGGUCUUGUGAAGCAUAAAUAAAUAAGUCGUCCAACCAAACGAUGAUACGGUUCCGGAUCAUUUAAAAAGGAACCUGUAGGAAGAGCUAACUUAUGAUUCUACUCAAUAGGAAUACUUGUUGGUUUGGCUUAUAAAAUUCCAACUGCCGAGAUGAUGUCAAGAAUGUAUUUGCGUUGAUUCAAAACAAUCCCCUCUGGAGAACGCGCAACUUCCACCCCAAGAAAAUAUUUUAAGGGUGCCAAAUCCUUCAUAUGAAAACAAUCACUGAUAUAAGAUUUAAAAGACUCAAUAGCUUCAUGAUUAUUACCUGAGAUAAUCAAAUCAUCAACAUAAACGAGAACAUUGACUUGAGAUGUAUCUCGUUGCAAGGUAAAAAGAGAGUAAUCCGAAUGUGAUUGUUUGAAUCCAUAAUCUUUUAAGGUUGUCGAAAGCUUGGCAAACCAGCAUCUUGGCGCUUGCUUGAGCCCAUAAAGAGAUUUCUGAAGCUUACACACUUUUCCUGGUUGUGUUACUCGAAAUCUGGAUGGUAUCGUCAUAUAAACUUCCUCUUGAAGAUCCCCAUGUAGAAAAGCAUUAUGCACAUCCAUUUGAUGUAAUUCUCAUUGCUUGGCUGCUGCAAUAACAAGAAAAACUCGAACAGUAACCAUCUUUGCAACUGGUGCAAAUGUGUUGAUGUAGUCAAUUCCAGCCACUUGAUGAUUACCAAGAAUCAGAAGACAAGCUUUGAAUCGUUCAACGGAGCCAUCAGAGUGAUGUUUUAUUUUAUAUACCCAUUUGCAUCCAAGUGCCUUUUUCCCUUUCGGAAGAUCCUUAAUCUCCCAAGUUCCAUGCUUUUCUAAAGCCUUGAUUUCACUAGACAUGGCAUCACGCCAUUCUUUGCUUCUAGCAGCUUCAGAAUAAGAUUUUGGCUCUCGUUUUGCGGUAACGGCUGUAAGAAAAUUCUGAUGUUGCACAGAAAAUUUAUCACAGUACACAUAAUGCGCUACAGGAUAGGGCUUACCUUGCAAAUGUCGUGGAGGGGAGAAUUUCGAAGAUGGACUUUUUCUCCGAAUGGUGUGUAUGACAAAGUCCUGCAACCGAACUGAGGACUGCUUUAAACGCCAUCCACGUCCCAACUCUUCCUCACCAUUGGGCAUGACAUUAAUACUAGCCCCUAGAUCAGCUAAGGAUUAUAAAUAUUCAAACUACCAAUUAAACAAAGCAUUUGAAAUUGCUACCUCAUUCCAUGCCUCGUCAAGUCCUUCACUUUGAAGGAGUGCAAUUGUGUCGUUCAUGGACUGAUUUGCAAGAGCUGUAGCAAAAGGAAAUUGAUCUUCAAAGAAAACAACAUCUCUAGAGACAAAGAAUUCCAUUUUUUCUAAGUCAUAUAAAUGUCAACCUUUCUUCCCAUAAGGAUAACCUAUGAACACACAUUUUCUACUUCGGCUGGCAAACUUAUCCCUAGUCUUACAAUGAGCAUAACACAAAGACCCAAAAAUUCUUAGGUGACCAAAAUCUGGUUGUCAACCAUAGAGAGCCUCAUAUGGCGUCUUUCCAUUUAAACCCGAACAGGGAGUUCGAUUAAUUAGGUAACCGGCAGUCAAAAUGCACUCACCCCAGAACUUGAUAGGAAGCGAUCCUUGAAAUCUAAGAGCACGCGUAACAUUUAAGAUGUGCCUAUGCUUUCUUUCGACUCUCCCAUUUUGUUGUGGAGUGUCAGUACAUGAAGAUUGGAAAAUAAUACCAUGUUCCACAAAAUAAUUCUCCAUACAAGUAAAUUCUUUCCCGUUGUCACUUCGUACCAUCUUUACUUGUUUAUCAAAUUGUCGAUUGAUCAUAGUGAAGAAAUUUUUGAACACUGAAGGUACUUCAAAUUUAUUAUUGAUCAAGAAAUUUCACACACUCCUUGAAAAAUCAUCAACUAAUGUCAGAAAAUAUGAUGCACCACAAGUAGAUAAAUUGUUAUAAGGACCCCAUAAAUCACAAUGUAUCAAUUCAAAAAAUAUCAACUGCAUGAUGUUCACUUAAAGGAAAAACUUCUCUAGUUUGUUUUGCUCGAAGGUACACAUCACAACAUUUAUUCAAAAUCUCAUCCCUACUACCUCUAUCUAACUUCGAAACAUGUUUAGUCAUUUGCAUGAUGGAUGACCUAACCGCUUGUGCCACAUUUCUAAUGAGUUACUGACAGUCACCCUCAUUGCCUUAAUCCUUGGAAUUUCUCGAAAGUAGUAGAGUCCAUCCCUUUGUUCACCCGCUCCAAUCAGCAUCCUCGAGGUACGGUCCUGUAUAACACAUAAUUUUUUAGUGAAUUUGAUAAAGCAAGAAUCAUGUUCCAUAAGUUGUGACACAGAGAUAAUAUUGCAUGUCAAAUUCGGUACAAAUAGAACAUUUUUCAAUAAUAAAUCUCCUCCAAGAGCAACAGAUCCUUCCAAAGUAGCCACAGAUUCACUCCCAUCUGGUAACCCAACAGGACAACUAGGAAUUUCAUGAAUAUUAUGUAAAAAUUUUAGAUUACCCGUCAUAUGAUUUGACGCUCCUGUGUCAAUAAUCCAAGACAAUUUCUUACCUGUCAUCUUCUCAGUCGUAGUUGAUCUCACACCCUUUAAGGCUUAGAGGAAAACUUGCCACUGUUCAUUACUAAGCCCAGGCAAAGUGUUUUCUUUUGUCUCAUCAAUGCUAGCAUUUGAGGACGAUACUCCCCCUGUGUGGGUCUGGACAGCAUUAGCUCGCUGUCCCCCUCGUCCUCGACCGUUUGAUUGAUGUUGGCCCAAAUCCUUGCCACGGCUUCCACCCUUCACAGUUCCUUGGGGUCGAUCUCUGUACCAUUCAGGAUACCCAAUAAUAGCAAAACAAUUAUCAAUAUCAUGUCCGAGUUGUUUGCAAUGGGAACAAACCCCUCUUCCUCCUUACUUUCUCCACGGCCUCGACUUUGCACCGCUAUAGCCAUCACAUUGGGGUGAUCUUCCACCUCACGAGAUAUGGUCUUCACUCGUUCUUCCUGAAUAACCAUUGAAUAAGCCUUGCUCAAUGAUGGCAACGGAUCGUUAGCCAAGGCGUUGGAUCUAACCGUGCUAUAUGUCCUAUCCAAUCCCAUCAGGAAGUGGUGAACCUUUUCCUCUUCUUGUCGCUUUUCCAACUCGGCUGAUAGUUGACAAGUACAAUUCCUGUAUUUACAAGUAGGCAAUUGAUCAAAAGUCGCCAAUUCAUCCCAUAUCAGUUUCAAUUGUCCAAAAUAAUUGAAAAUAAUCAAUCUUUUUUGCUUGCAUUCUGCAAGAUCAGAUCUGAGUUGUUGAAUUCUUGGACCAUUGGCCAUUGAAAAUCUCUCUCGGAUAUCAUCCCACAAAUCCUUAGCCACCUCGACAUGAGAUAUGGUGGAUCGAAGAGUUGGUUCAAUGGUAUUUCGAAUCCACGAAACUAACAACGAGUUAAUGGUCCACCAGUCUUCAAUGUCGUCUGAUGUAUCAUUUGGUUUUUUAAUCGAUCCGUCAAUAAAUCCGAACUUCUUCCUAGCACGCAACGCCGUUCGGAAAGACCGAGCCCAUUCUUUAUAGUUUUCCCCUUUGAAUUGUACUUGGGUGAUUGUAAGUCCAGGAUUAUCAAGCGAGGUUAUAUCGUACGGAAAAAUCAUUUUCUGCACAACCGUCCCUUCUCCGGAUUUGUGAUCGGAAUCACCUUUCCCACUAGCCAUUAGCAAAACUUUACACGUUCAAAACCUGCUCAUGAUACCAUGAAAAAAUCACAAGAAUUGUGGGAAUUUUUUCUGUAUCUCAUUCCACCCAAAAUCAAGAACAUAUAUACACGGUAAAAUACAAAGAUAGAAACCAAAAUUAUCUCCUAAACUUUAGCAUCUAAUCUCCUAAUUAAAAGGAAAGAGAUGUACACAAAAACUACCAUACAUAUUUACAGAAUAAUUCCAAUACAUGUAUUAUAUUAGAACCCAAAUGAAAAAAUGCUAUUACUAAAUGGUCUGAAUAGGCAAUUCAAAGGGUGGGUAGUUGAACGGGAUUCAAGGAACUCAAGAAAUAGCAUUAAGUUUAGUUUGGAUGGAUGCUACGUUUACCUCCGAUGAGGUUAAAAAUAAAUGUCUUGGUGAGAUUAGUUAGUGUGGAAAUAUGAUUUUCAUUUCAACUGAUGUCGUAACAAGGGAAGACUCUUCGUCCCGAUGGGUAGCCAAUGUUAUGGCAAGAAGAAGACUUUCAUCCAAACGACCAAACAUCACGCCAUGACGUGGCGACGUAUUUCUCAAGUUUCUCAAUUUUCUUUUCUCAGUUAAACUUUGUUUUAAUUUCUUACUUAAACUCUGAUUAAUCUAGGGAUAUUUUAGUCAUAAAAACUAUGAAUUUAACCUAUAAAUAGGCUUUAGUUACUCCAAGUUUACAACAUAUAAAAAAUAUACAUAUUGAGAGAAUUAUGUGUUUUGAGUUAGAAAGGUUUUUUUUUCUUUUGAGGUUUUGGGUUUUCUUUUGAUUCUCUCCAUCUUUGUACUUGUUUUACAUAUUAGUAAAAUCUCAUUUUGCUUUUGGUUUUUUAUCCACUUUUGAGGAGUUUUUCUAUAUAAAAUUUGUGUAUAUGAUCUUUUCAAUUUCUUUUUUUAUUUUACUUGUUUAUUGCUUACACGAAUUUAUCCCCGACAGUCACUAUAACGAUGAAAUUUGAUACUGUAACAAUGAGAUUAGAAACAACGGUGGGGGUGUGUUUGGAUUUAAACGUAACUUUAGCGGUGAGGUGAGAAUAAAAAAUGACUAUUAAGGACAUUAGAUUAGAAAUCUAUUCCUUGUUGAACUUGAAUAAGAAUAAUGUUAUAGUGGGAAAGUAGCUUUCCACUAUAGGUGUUUUUUCCCAUCGAUAGCUUUUGCUCCAAUACAAAAUGAAACCAACAAUAGAUAAAAAAAAUUUAACCGCUCCUCACUAUUAAGGGUGAAUUUGGCUGGGCGUGGUGUGUUUACCUGUGGUUAGUGAAAAAAUAAUGAUAGUGGUGAGAUUAGAUACUAUAGCGUGAGAUAAAAAGUAAACUAAACAGAUCUCAGCAUCCAUCCAAUCCCAUUUUAAAUAUAUCCAUACAUCAAAACAAUAUAAGAAAAAAGAAUUUUCCCUCAAGAUUCCAUUUCACCAUGACUUACUUUGCAUCUAAAUAGAGCCCUAACAUUGAUGAAUAAACAAUUCAACAAAGAAAAUCAACCAAACAAAUGAAACAGUGGACCCCAAUGAAUAAUGGCUGCAUUGAACCAACCAUAGAAUACCAUGUAAAUUCAAGUAACGACAAGACAAAAGUGGCUAGCUUUUUGGUUUGGUUUUAGAUGGUAAUCUUGUUUUGGGACACCAACAAAAGUUGUUAGCUUUUUGGUUUGGUUUUAGAUGGUAAUAUUGUUUUGGGACACCCAAUUGAAUUCAUAUGUAAAUCCCACCCCAAACACAGAUAUAGAAUACAAAUGUCAAAAAUAAUAGAAUAAGCAUGCUUAACAUGCUCGUAUACAUAUAAAUACAUACUAAACAGUACAGUCAGGCAUACGUAUCAGUUUCUUACUCAAAUCAGACUAUCAGAGUAUUAAAUCACAUGAAAUAGGGUUUGGUUAGCCCUUACCAUACCUACAGUAAGCCCACAGUCGAUUAGAAUGACUCAUGCGACCCUACUCGAACCAACAAGCUCAUUCUGAUACAAGUUUACCAACAAUAUUACAUAAGCCUACCCAGCAGGGAUAAGGUUAGGAUUAAAAAUAAAAAAAUUGGCAAAAGUGGAACUUGAACCCAAAACCUCAUACACACACCCAGAACAGUUAACCACUAUACUCAUUUAUGCCAAAUUUUACCAAAAGCAGACUUAAAUUAUUUAGGGUGUUAUAGUUAGUCCACUUGUUUCUUCUAUUCCUUUUAUUAUUAUAUCAGUCUAAUUUUUUUUUCAAAAGAAUAGAAUAAAAAUAAAUUUAAUUUAAAAUAAUAUUUCUUUAUUUUAUUUAUUAAUCAACAACAUUUAUUAUUAAAAAUUAAUUCUAAAAUGAGACCCAUUUUAAAUAAAAUCGAAAAAUGAAAUAUUAAUUAACCUAGAACUCAAGGUUUCGUAUAUACUUUAGUUUCUUGUUUAUGUCAUAUAUAUUUAUUUAAAUUGAAUUACAAAUAUAUAUUAAUAUAAAAUUAUAUAUUUUAUUAUUUUAAUAUUGUAAAUUAUUAAAAAUGAAAUAGAGGUAAAACAAAUUCUAUUUUACCAAAGAUAACGACCAUUCUUUUCUUCUUAAGUAAAAUGAGGUAAAAUAAUAUAUUUUCUUGUUUUAAAAAAUAAAUGUAAAUUAAAAUAGUAUUUAAUUUGUCGUAUUUAUUUAUUAAUUAGUAUAAUUUAUUAUUAAAAAUUAAUUUAAGAUGGGACUUGCUUCAAAUAUAACCAAAAAAAAAAGAAAGAAAGAAAGAAAAAAAGAAAGAAUUAUUUUGGAACUCAAACAACUAACUUAGAACUCAAUGUUUCCAAAUAUACUUUUAUUUCUUCUUUUAUAUUAUAUACAUGUUCAAAUUUAAUUAAAAAAAUACAUAGAUAAUUUUUUAUUAUUUUAAUAAUGUAAAUUAUUCAUUUUAAGUAAUAGAAAAAUUCAAUAAUUAAAUAUCUAUUAGUAUAAACAAUACUUUAAAUCGAUAUAAUAAAAAUAUUGGAUCAAUUAAAAAAUUUACAUGCAUGACAAGUACAAAUAUUUUUAUAAAUUCAAUUAUUAGUGUCGAAACCAUUUUUUGUAAAAGGGUCGACUUUGAUUUUGAAAAUGAAAAUUAAAACGGGAGUCGCCACCAAUCCUUUUUUAUUAAUGUGUGAUCGGGUCACCUCGUAAUUUAGUUGUUUUAAUAAAAUAUUUUGAUUUAUCAAAAUGAUGAUUUUGGUCUAUGAAAUUUUUUUUGAGAAAAUCGGGUUCGGGAGUCGGUUACGCAUGAGGAAGGAUUAGCACCCUCGAUGAGCCCAAAAUUGGUACCAAGUUGAUUUUUUAGCGUCUUAAUGUCGAAAGUUAAAAAUUUUAAAGGAAAUGUAAAACACGAUCCUUUUUAUUAAUGCUAUAAAAAUACUUCAAUAAAUCGAAAAAAAAAUUAAAGACCCACUCGUCUCAAGGUAAUGAAAUGACAAAUCCCGUAAGUUAGGACACGAUAUUUGGAGCCUUAGAGAAUAAGUCUAUCUUUAAUUUUUAUUGAAAUUUUGUAUUUUGAAAUUUAGACGGAUAUUUCACUAUUUAGGUUUGACGAGAGAAUCGAAACCCCAUAAGUUAGGGUACGAUUUCUCGAAUUUCUAAAAUACGAAACAUUGCCUUGUUUUGAGAUUACUUAUAAAUUUAAGUAAAAGGGUAGUGAAGUGUUUAAAAGAUGUAUUUUUAUUUUAUUAUCUUUUAAAGAAGUUAUUUAAUACGUGCGAAAAGGGUUAUGUGAGACUCGUAACGAUAGUACGACAUGCAUUCAGGAUAACAAGAACAUGAUAUUGUAUAAUAUAACAUACGGCAUUGAUAGCAACGAAUCGCAAUGUUAACAAGCAUAAACAAGGACCAUAAUAAUAAUACUAAUAAUAAUAUAGGGAACAACAAUAAUAAUGAUAAUGACAAUAUAACCGACCAUGAUAAUAAGGAUUAUUGAAAGAUGUAUAUGUUUUGAGAAUAAUAAAAAUGAUAUAAAAAUAAUAGCAAUAAACUAAAAUAAUGAACAAAAUGUGGAAACAAAAUAGUGGAAGGGUUAAAUAGAUAGAUUAAAUUAAUAGGGCAUUUGAUUUUUCUUUUUAAAAAAGGAUUAAACAAAGUAAAAUAAAAAAUAACAAACGUUUUUUUUUAUAUGAUAAAGAGAAGAAAAAAAUUUUUAAUGGUCCCAGGACCGAAUUGGAAUUAAAACAAAAUUAAAGGGCAGAAUUAAAGAGGUCAGGGCCCAAAUAGGAAAUUAUUCCCCAGCCCCCGAAGUGCACCGUUUCGCCGUAGGACAAAAUGAAAUGGAAAUAAAAUUAUAUAGGCAAAAAUAAAACUUAAAAAGGACAAAAUUGAAAUUUAAAUAAAAUGCGGAGGGGUUAAUCGUGUAAAUAGCCCCUUCUAUUUGCCCCCGCAUGACGCCGUUUACGCGCUAUAGUCUGCCUAUGGCAUAAGGGCCGAAUUGAAACUGAAGUAAAAUUCUGUGGCUAAAAUCAGAAGAAAGAGCAAACCCCAUUGAACAUGCCACAAAGGCGGAGAGGCUUAUUGCGCAAAUAUCCCCUCAGAGCCGAAACACACGGAUCCCCUGACGGGUUGGGUAGGCGCGCGGGUAUAGGGGAAACGACGUCGUUUUAAGGCUAUGGUGUCAAGCCCUAAACGACAUCGUUUAGGGAGUGUAUAAAGGUCCAAAUUUUUUUUCAAAAAAUUCAUUCUCAUCCCACCUUUAAAAAACAAAACCAACAGACCCUCUCAACACUCUCCCCCUCUCCCAUCCUUCGGUCAUGAGAGCCACUGCUCGCCUGCCAUGGCCGACGGCCGGGGUCUCAAAAGGGCCACUUUCGAUUCAAAUAAUUCCCCUAAGCCUGCUUUGUAGCUGAAAUCUCCGAUGAUCAAGCAAAAACGUCCGAAUCAGUCAAAGGCCCUCCGACUUCUGGCCACCUUUCAUCGGAGGUGGCUACCUCCAGCGCUCACGACGGUGACACACAGCCAUCAAGUACGCCUCCUUUUAAACUCUCUUUAUUUCCACAUUUUUUGUUAAAAUAGGUUUGUAAAAAAUAACAAAAUAAAAUAAUAAAAAGAGGAAAACGAAAUGAAAACAGUAAAAAAAAUUCAACCUUUAAAAAUUUCUUUGUUGUUUUUCGAUUUGCUAGUGUAUGUAAAAACUUUACAAAGAUAAGAUCUAGGCCUUUAUAGCCGGACCCAACCAUUAAAAUUUUCCUUUAUCUGCCUAUAUUUACUGCCAUUAAUGUCAGCAUGCUCUGUUGUUGCAUUCAAUUUUUGCAGGGGUUUUGAGGCCGACGGUGGUGGCAGAGGCAUGCGCGAGGAGGCUGGUGGCUAGGAGCAGAAAGCCCUAGGUGCGGCACACCUAGGGUUUGAAAACUUUGUUUUGUUGUGAGGGUUUUUUUGGGUUUUGGGGCCAUAUUGAGCCAUUAUCAUUUUGGGCUGUACUGGACUGUGGACUUUUUUAUAUUUUGGUUUUAUUUUAGGCUAUAUUGGGCUCCGGGCAAAAAUUGGGCCUUACAGCUACCCCUCUUUGCUUGUUGUCGUGUAACGAGAAUGGAGCAAAGACUGUAAAAGGACCAAAGUUUGCCCGGUCUCACCGAAUCUUGACUUGUUUUGGUGCUUCUCUUCUUCAAGUAGCUUCAUUCAAGUUCAUUUCAUCUUGUUGCUUCGAUUCACUCUUCAGAGAGGACAAGAUUUGUGGUUUUGGUCUGCUCUACUGUAACGUUAGGGAGAUAAGACUUGUUGCUUCAACUUGCUCCACUGCGACUUCAGGAAGAUAAGGUUUGAUAUGAUAAGAUCGCUACCUACAGUUUGCUCCACUAUAACUUUAGGGAGAUAAGACUCGUUAUUUUAAUAGAUUUGAUCUGAUCUACUACAACUUCAGGGAUAUAGGAUUAGUAGCUUCAGUCUGCUCCACUGCAACUUCAGGGAGAAAAGACUUAUAUCUUCAACCUGUCCCACUGCAACUUCAGGGGGAUAAGGUUUGUUACUUCAACCUACUCUACUGCAACUUUAGAGAGAUAAGAUCUGCAAUUUAUAGCUUCCAUCUGUUCCACUGCAACUUAAGGGAAAUAAGAUUCGCUAUCUUCAGUCUUAACGCUAGGGAGUUAAGAUUUGCUAUCUUCAGCUUCAAUCUGCUAUGCUGCAAUGUCAGGGGAACAAGAUUUGCUACCUUUAGCUUUAAUCUGUUCCACUACGACACCAAAGAGAUAGGAUUCGCUGCCUUCUGCUUUAAUCCACUCUACUUCAGUUUUAAUUUAUUCCACAGCAAUGCCAGGGACACAAGAUUCUCUACUUUUAGCUUUAAUCUAUUCCACUGCAAAGCCAAGGAAAUAAGAUUCACUGCUCUCAGUCUUAACGCCAGGGAAAUAAGAUUCGUUACAUUUAGCUUUAAUUUGUUCCGCUGCAACGUCAUGAAAUAAGAUUCGUUGUCUUCGAUCUACUCCACUACUGCUUAGGGAGACAGGACCUACAAUCUUCAACCUACUCCACUACUGCUCAAGGAGAUAGGAUUGGUGGCUUAAAUCUGCUUCCCUACUACCUUGGGAAGAUAAGAUUCACUGUCUUCAAUCUACUCCACUACUGCUUAGGGAGACAGGGUCUACAAUCAUCAACUCACUCCCCUGCUGACUCAGAGAGGCAAGGCUGGUAUUUUCGAUCUACUUCACUGCUAGUAUAGGAAGAUAAGAUCUACGAUUUUUAGUCUACUCAGCUGUGACUUCAGGGAGAUAAGACUUGAUCUAAUGACUUCAAUCCAUCCCACUGCAACUUUAGGGGUAUGGGUAACUUCAUUGAUCUGUUCGCCAGGGAACAUGACCUGUAAAAUUCGUUUUAUGGACCUAUUUAUGCCUAAUGUGUAAGAUGUCAUGAUUAGAAUGAAUCAAAUGCUCCUAACUAGAUGUGUAUGAUAUUUGUAGAAUGUCAUGAGAAUGAUCCCUUUUUAAUGCUUAGGUUGUCAUUACUCGUUGUUCAUCAAGUUCUAUCACUGACGUAUUACGCUAAUUUCUUGCUCAGCUGGUAUCUUAAUAGAAAAAUCAAAGAAAUAGUCGCAAUUUAGACUAUUCUUUCUCAAAUGCUUCCAACCCUUAAAUUUGGUUAGUUCUAAUAAUGGUCCUGUUUUAGGUCCUCGCACUAUUUAGAAGCAUUCAGAGUAAUAUGUGGAACUCCUUUUGUUUGAAUAUUAUCAGUCCAUUAAUCGUUAUUUCAAUGAAAAUAAUGCUUGAAAAGAUUAUCUCAAUGGUCAAGAUGAAAUUUUAUUGAGAGCAAAGCUCGAAAUGAAUAAAUUAAUCAAGAUAGUAAUUUUUUCUAAGAUACAAAAUGAAUAAGGUAAAAAUAGGUCCCCCAGAUAUCGUAGCAUGAGCUCCUCUGCAUAAAACUUCUCGAGGACCCUUUGAACUUGAUAUGUGUUUUGAAUAUUCAGAAUGCUUUGUUGAUGCCCCAAGCUGUAGCAUCCUUCCUUCUUGCUAAUCCAGGCAUAGUAAGACUACUGCAUGCCCCACCUUUAAUCAAAAUUUGAAUUGCCCUUUUCUUAGGUUUUCAAUUCAAAACCCCUUUGCUCUCAAGGUGCCCUUUGUGGUUUUUUCCUUGGCCUCUCUUUUUUUUUAGGUGAAGUACUUCUUGACUGAAUCAAAAUUCACAGGAUUAGGCAAGUUCUUGCCAUCCAUUUCGGUCAAAUUUAACACUCCUCUAGAAAAGGCCUUUUUCACCACGUAAGGUCCUUCCUAAUUUGACAUCCAUUUUCCUCUAAAUUCCUUUUAUAUGGAAAGGAUCUUCUUUAGUACCAAGUCUCCCUUAUGGAAAUCUCUGGGACACACCUUCUUGUUAUAGGCUCGCAUCAUUCACUUUUGGUACAUUUGACCAUGACGAAUAGCUCUAAACCUCUUUUCUUCGAUCAAAUUUAGUUGAUCAUAUCGGGAUUGAAUCCAUUCUCCUUCAUCUAGUUUCAAUUCUGAUAAAAAUCAGAGGGAAGGAAUCUCAACUUUAAUGGGCAAAAUUGCCUCCAUUCCAUAGACUAAUGAGAAAGGAGUUGCCCCUGUAGAUGUUCUGACAGAUGUCCUAUAGGCAUAAAGGGCGAAUGGUAAUUUCUCAUGCCAAUCUUUAUAAGUCUCUGUUAUUUUCCCCACGAUCUUCUUGAUGUUCUUAUUAGCUGCUUCCACUGCGUCAUUCAUUUUUGGGCGAUAGGGCGAUGAGUUGUGAUGCUUGAUCUUAAAUUGGCUACAGACCUGUGCUAUCGUACUAUUAUUUAAAUUCAAAGCGUUGUCAGAUAUAAUCCUUUCUAGCAUCCCAUACCGACAUAUGAUCUAAUUUUUUAAAAAUUUACUAACUGUCGACUUUGUGAUGUUGGCAUAAGAAGUAGCCUCUACCCACUUGGUAAAGUAGUCGAUGACUACGAAGAUGAACUGAUGCCCAUUCAAAGCCUUUGCAAGAUUGGUCCAAUUACAUCCAUGCCCCACAUUGAGAAUGGCCAUGGAGAAGUAAUGAUAUGGAGAGGUGAAGGAGGCAGAUGGAUCUUGUCUCCGUAAAUCUGGCACUUAAGGCAUUUCUUAGCAUACUUGAUGCAGUCUCCUUCCAUGGUGGACCAAUAAUAUCCAAAUCUCAUGCUCUGCCUAGCCAUUGUGAAACCAUUAGUAUGUGUUCCACAAACACCAUCAUGGACUUCUUCUAAGAUUUGCUUGGCCUCCACAGCGUCUACACAUCUUAACAUCACCUGAUCUUUUCCUUUUUUAUAUAAGAUUUCUCCAUCUAAGAUGUAGUCACUAGCCAGCGUCCUCAAUGUUCUAUUGUCGUUCUUAGUUGCCUGGUUUGGGUAUUCGUGAUUUUUCACGUAUCACAUUAUGUCUUGAUACCAAGGGUGAUCGUCCUUUUAUUCUUCUUCGUCAAUGUUGAAACAGUGGGCUAGAGCCUCAUAAAUGCUUAUUUGGAUAGGGUUCACAUCUUCUUGUUUAUUUACUUUGAUCAUAGAAGCCAAUGUAGCUAAAGCGUUGGCCAUCUGAUUCUCAUCUCGUGGGAGAUAACAGAAGGUGAUGUUGUCAAACUCCUCAAUUAAUUCCAGGACUAGCGUUCGAUAACUAAUCAAUUUGCGGUCUCUUGUUUCCCAAUCACCUUUGAUCUGACAAAUUACUAAUGCAGAAUACCCAUGUACCUCUAACACCUUGAUUUUAUGUUCAAUAGUCGCACGAAUUCCCAUGAUACAUUCUUCAUAUUCCGCUAUGUUAUUUGUGCAAUCAAAAUCUAAUUUACUAGUGAACGGAUAAUGAUCACCGUCUAGAGAUACCAAGACUGCCCCGAUCCCACUGCCCAUAGCGUUUGAGGCUCCAUCAAAGUUUAAUUUCCAAGCAUAGCCGUCUUGUGUGUUUGCUUCAGCGGUUGCCACACACAUCAGAUCCUCAUUUGGGAAAUCAAAGUUCAAGGGCUCAAAAUCUUCUAGGGCUCUACUAGCUAGAAAAUCUGCUAUCGCGCUCCCUUUUACUGCCUUUUGAUUUACAUAGGCUAUGUCGAAUUCAGAUAGUAGAAUUUUCCAUCAGGCCAUACUUCCGUUUAGAGUGGUUGACUCCAUCAUGUAUUUCAGAGGGUCCAACUUUGAGAUUAACCAAGUCAUAUGAUAUAACAUGUAUUGCCUCAAUCUCCGAGUAGUCCAGACCAAGGCGCAACAUAAAUUUUCAAUUGGCAAAUAUCUCGUUUCACAUUCAAUGAACUUCUUGCUUAGAUAGUAGAUCGCUUUUUCUUUUCGUCCUGACUCAUCAUGUUGGCUGAGUACACACCCAAUGGAAUUCUCAAAUACUGCCAAGUAUAGUAUCAGUGGCUUUUCUGGGCAAGGUGGCAUCAUUACUGGGGCGUUGAACAGGUAAUGUUUGACUUUUUCGAAAGUUUUCUGGCACUCCUCAUCCCAUACACCUGGAUUGUGUUUCUUAAGGAGACGAAAGAUAGGGUCACAUUCCUCAGUUAACUGUGAAAUAAAUCGAGCGAUAUAAUUUAGUCUUCCUAGAAAACGUCAAACUUCUUUUCGUGUACGUGAUGGAGGCAAUUCUUGUAUGGCUUUGACUUUGUCUUGGUCAAUCUCAAUUCCCCUUUCACUAACUUGGAAUCCUAACAACUUUCUUGAUCUAGCCCCGAAAGUGUAUUUAGCUGGGUUAAGCUUUAGCUAGAACUUCCUUAACCUUAGGAAUAGUUUGCUCAGGACUUGCACGUGUUCUCCUUCUAUUCUAGACUUUGCGAUCAUGUCAUCAACAUAGACUUCUAUCUCUUUAUGCAUCAUGUCAUGGAACAAGGUUACCAUAGCUCUCUGAUAUGUAGCUUCCGCAUUUUUUAGUCCAAACGGCAUCACUUUGUAGAAAAAUGUUCCCCACAUCAUUACGAAGGUGGUCUUCUCCAUGUCUUCAGGCUGUAUCCUAAUUUGGUUGUACCCAGAGAAACCAUCCAUGAAGGAAAAAAUAGAGUAGCCGGCCUUGUUGUCCACUAAGGUAUCGAUAUAGGGAAAUGAAAAAUUGUCCUUGGGACUGGCUUUGUUCAAAUCUCUAUAGUCCACACACAUUCGCACUUUCCCAUCUUUCUUAGGAAUAGGGACUAUGUUGGCUACCCAUUCUGAAUACUUGACCUAUUGUAAGAACCCAGCAUCAAAUUGCUUCUUAACUUCUUUUUUUAUUUUCAGCAAGACAUCAAGCCUCAUCCUUCGGAGCUUUUGUUAGACUGGUUUGCAUUCUUCCUUUAUAGGUAGUCGGUGUACCACAAUACCAGUACUUAACCUGGGCAUGUCUUGAUAGGACCAUGCGAAGACAUACUUAAACUCAUGUAGCAACUCGAUGAAAUCUCGUUUCGUUUUUUUGUCAAUAUGAGCUCCAAUUUUCACCUCUUUUCCUUCUCCUAAGCUCACGACUUCUACUGAUUCCUUAUAGGGUAAGAUUUGUUUCUCUUCUUGCACCACCAUUCUUAACAAAUCAAGAGAUAGGACGUCAUUUUGGUCAUCUUCAAAAUCAAGAGAAUCAUCUAUACUCAUGUUUUGCUCAAAAAGGGGCUUUGAGUCAGUAACAUUGUUGCUCACAUCGUCGAUAUCUGAAGUCUUGUUAUUGGGGUUUAGGAAGGUCCAGAGAAAAAGAAUCUAAGAAUAUUUGUAUACACAACAUGAUUAUAAAUGGAAUGAAAAAGAAUGAAAGAAUAUUUGCUCAAAAUAUGACUGAACGAUGCAUUUUCAUUGAAAUAAAAUUUUGGACAUGUGCCUUUUACAAAAGAUUCUUAUUACCCUCAGGCUUGGCGCAACAAGUGUGUUCUGAAUAUUACUCUGAAUUAGUUCUAAAUGUUACAGGGAUCUCUUCUGCAGUCCAGUUGUCUAGAACACUUCCAGGCUCGUAAGGGCGGAUGCCCGACAAACUUCCUUCUUGAAUUCCUUCUUCGAAUAUGGAAUUAAUAUCUAAGUUUCUUGACAUUUCCUUCGCAGUCUUCCUUUUUGGCAUCCUCUGUUCAGGAUAAAUAGUUCCUCCAGAUACGAGGGUUCUGGAUAUAUGGGGGAAAGUCAUAAGUUUCCAAUCAAUUUCUCUUCCGCUAAGACUCGCCUUCCUCCUUUCUUGCCUCCUUUCCAACUCUUUCCUUCUUUGAUUUUCAUUUGUCUUAAACCCUAAGCCAAAACAAUCUCGUUUAUCCUUCAUCAUUGGUGUCUCUACCCUUUCUUGAAGGCACCUUCUGAGUCUUUUCCAAGACAAAGCUCCCUUCCCAACUAUCAUUUGUAGUCCCAUCCUCGUGGUUUUGGAUAUGCUGGGCGUCAAGAUAUUAUUCCCCUCGAUAAUGAAAGUUGCGUUCAUGAAUUCUAAGGAUUGAAAAAAAUAUUCAAUUGCCACAUCGUCCGCUCCUAAAUAUGGCACAUCGUUGGUUACCAACGCAAUGAUGUCUUCUUUAGCGCUUAUCAUAUCCAGCCGACCUUCAGUCACCAAUUUUAGCUUCUGGUGCAAUAAUGAAGGCACUGCUCCUGCUGAAUGAAUCCAGGGUCUUCCCAACAAGCAAUUAUACAAAGGCUUGAUAUCCAUCACCAAGAAAUCUACCUUGUACGUAUUUGGUCCAAUUGAAAGGGGUAUUUCUAUUCUUCCCAUUACCCCCUUUCAGUGCCAUCAAAUGUUCUCAUUGUGCUCUGGCAUGUUUUCAUAUGCGAGCUAUCCACCGGCAACCUAUUUAAGGUGGAUAAGGGCAAGACAUUCAAGGCCGACCCAUUAUCAAUUAACACCCCGGGCAAUAUGUAUCCUUUACAGCGAGUGGUAAUAUGUAGUGCUUUGGUGGUAAUAUGUACCCUUUAUCGGUACCUAUAUUAUUGACUAGGUGGUCCAACUUGUUUACUGAGAUAUUGUUGGCAACGUAAGUAUCAUUUAGCACUUUUUUCAAUGCAUUACGAUGACUCUCUGAACUUAGAAGUAGCUCGAGCACCGAGAUAUGAGCCGAUUGUUUAUGCAGUUGUUCCACCACGCUAUACUCGCUAUGUUUUAAGAAUUUUAAGAAUUCUCUAGCCUCGUUUUCCGCUACUAGUUUAUUAACAUGCGAUUCAAUUCUGAAAGUCUUUGUUUUCUCUUACUCAACUGUCAGGGUUUUUCCUUUCAUGGGCUCUACGCUUGCAUUUGUAGGAUCGUAGCAUUUUCCACUGCGUGUAUAAAAGCCUACGUCCUUACCUUCCUCUGAAGCAUUUACUGGGUUUUUUCCUCCCGGGAUCAUCACGUUGCAGUCAUAAUUCCAAGGAACCCUUUUGUUAUCCUUGUAGGGAAAGGAUACAGGUUUUUGAAUUAUGACCCUUAGCACCAUUUGUACUCCAACUUCUAUGCUUAUUGGCCGUGAAAUAAUCACCACUGGAUGAUUAAACCCUUGGCCUUUUCCCGUCAAUCCUUCAUCUGAGGCAUAAAUUUCUCUCCCUUCUAAUCCUUCAAUCUCUUCAUAAAACUCCAACUUUUUUGUUGUCCAUUAAAUCUUGCACCAUGACCCUGAAUUUGGUACAUUUUUUAAUUUCGUGGCCUUCUUUGGCAUGGAACUCACAAUAUUUCCUUACUCCUUCGGGCCUUUCCUUUGGUUCUUGCUUGAUUAAACCUUUACCUAUCAUUCGUCUCCAAACCCAUCUUAAUUGGGUCUUUACCUCUACAACGUCAACUUUGAUACUCCUUUCCCCACUUUCGACUAUCGCGUUUACCCCCUGAUCCGCAUGAUUGGGCAACGGGUUCCCUAAUACGUUUGGUCCUGUUGGGUCAUCAAACUUUACAAUCCCCAUCUUGAUAAAUCUUUCAACCAAGUUCUUGAACACAGUGCAGUUCUCAAUCGAGUGCCCUGUAAUUUCUGCAUGGUACUCGCAUUGGGCAUUUGCAUCAUACCAAUUAGGAAAUGGGGUUGCAUGGGUUUCAGAUAAAAAGGGGCUACUACAUUUGCAUAAAACAAGUUCUGAUACAACUCCUUAUACGUUAUUGGAAUGGGUUUGAAUUGGAUUCUCUCCGUGUUUGGCCUUGUGCUGGGUUCUUGCCUCGAGGGGCCUUGGUGACUAGUGGCUACCGUUCUUGGAUGGCCAACAGGGAUCGGUUUUGAAUAACUCUUGCUAUAUGUGCCUAUGUUGUUCACCUCGCUUUCAUUUUUCCUUCAAGCUGUCUUUUAGAGCUUUCCCCCGUGUCUAUUUUACCGCUUCUUACUGUAUUUUCAAUCAUUUCACUAGGCAUUACCAUAUCUGAGAAGCUCUCGGUGGUGCUCCUCAGCAUGUGGUUAAUGAAUAGGGCUUUCAAAGUAUUGAUAAAAAGCAUGGUGACCUCUUUUUCCAAAAGGGGUGGCUGGACUUGCAUUACCACCUCCCUCCAUCAUUGGGCGUACUGCCUGAAGCUCUCGUUUUGUUUCUUCUCCAUGUUCUGUAAUGUAAUUCUAUUGGGCGUCAUAUCUGUUACAUGACUGUAUUACUUCAUAAAAGCUUCCGCCAAGUCUUUCCAUGAGCUAACUUUAGCACGACUCAACUGGUUUUACCACUUGGCUGCCGACCUGAUCAAACUGUCUUGAAAAUAGUGGAUUAACAGUUGGUCAUUGUUAACAUAACCUUUCAUCCUUUAACAUAACAUAGUAAUAUGGGCUUCAGGACAGCUAGUCCCGUUAUACUUUUCGAAUUCUGGCAUCUUGAACUUAGGCGGGAGAACUAAGUCAAGGACCAAACUUAGGUCUUUAGCAUCGAUCCUACCAUGGUAAUCAACAUUCUUCAUUGCUUUAAACUUUUCCUUUAACCACCUACACCUAUCCUCAAGCUGCUUCAGUAUAUCCACUCUUGCUUUUUCCACUUCCGCCACGUCGUCAAGAUUAGGAACAACGAGGUUGGUUGGAUUAUCUCCCAGAUUAGGACUCGAGCCUGUUUGGAAAUUCAUUGGUACUGAGGUACCGGCCUAGUAUUGAGGUCUAAUAGUGACAGGUGCUCUCUACGGGCACAUAUCUGGUUGUGCCUGGGUGCUCGUUGGGGUGAAACCUGGAGGAUAAACAGGAUCCUCAUGAUCAACUCCAGAAUCAAUUAAAGGGUUUUUUCCUUUAUCGUUCCCUUCAGCCAAUAACUGCGUUAAUUGGUUCAUCAUAGCUCUUUGGUAUCUAGCAUGUCUUGUUGGAUUUUUUCCAGUCAUUCUUGCAUCUGACCUUGCAUUUCCUUUUACAAUUGUUCCAAACUUUCUAACCUCUGAUCCAUUGCUUUUGUUUGACAACGAGUACCGUAGUGAUAUCUGGUUGGUGGAUUCUUGUUGGUUUCUAGGGUAACUGUCAUAAUUUUAAUUUAUUAGGGUCAUUUUAUGAAACUUAAUGCAUAUGAUGUAAUGCAAAUGUAUGAGAUGAAUGCAAAAAGAGGCAUUGAUUCUGGUUCAAUUUCAUUAGGAAAACUUUACUAGAAAACAAAUUUCUUUACAUAAAACAGAUUACAUAUACGGCUUUACCCUUAUACUCAAAGCCUUGACCUUCCUAAGAAGCCAAGCUAACCCCCGGCCUCGGUCCAAUUCUAACUCAUACUUCAAACUUAAUACAUCGGCCUGAACUGCUAGAGUUUGUAAAUGGUUAGUUACUUCGCGUACUUGAGCUACCGCCUCGCCCAUAAUGUAGUCUCUUUCUCUAGUCUGGCCUUGAGAACGAUGGAGCUGCUCUUGCCACUGUUCAUUACCCCUCUCAAGAAGCUCUAUUCGGAGUUCACCAUUUUUCAAUGCAUCCUCGAGCUCUCCUAUCCUUCCUUUCAAUUCCUCGAUUUUGCUUAAGCUUACUUUUAACCCAAUCAUGAAAUUAUGAUUAUGGUGCUAGUGGAGCCACUUUUCUAACUCAGCUACCAGAGCUUUCAACCCUGCCUUCUUAUUUCGGCAUUCUAAAAUACUCUUUUCCAAAACAACUUCUUAAGCUAGAGUGUCUUGGAACUUCUUUUCCCAUUGAUCAACCUUAAUCUUUUCCUCUUUGAUUUUCUGUCGCCAUUGCUUCGAUGAUUUGCCUAAACCAAUAGUUCUCAUUAACAUUCGCAACUUUUUGUAGUCCAUUUUUAAGCUGUCCAAAUCCUCUUCGGCCUUCUUCUUCCUUUUUAUUAAUUUCUCGACUUCUAGCUUGUGGAUAUCAACAUCUAAUCCCAAGCGCAUCUUCUCCUCUUCUAGCUGCUCAAUCUUAUUUCCCAGUUCUGAACUCCUUUUUUCAAAGUCUCACUUGAUAAUUUCUGACUCAGACGGAUUACUUGUAAAUGUUCCCCUAUUGGCCGAACGUCCUCUUGGCUUGACGCUGGGAUGUUAUCGUUAAUCCUUUUACCCCACCAGCAACUAUAUUCAGGGGUCGUCAUGGGAUUCACGGGAAUACUUUUAUUCUACGGGUUUGGUUCCAAGCAUUUGAUAUUUCACAAACCCUCUUCUUGUAGUUAUCUCCCUUAUAUGAAAACUUGUACUGAGCCAACCCUUGUGUUGCCGGUAUAAACUUCCUUGAUCUGUACUGCCUUAACACUAGCAAAGAGGCAUAUCCAACGGUUCCCCAAAUCCCAAGCAAAAGAACCCAAUCAAAGUCCCCACACCGAUAUAGAAUUUUAUUAGGGAUCAUUCAAGGAGCCCUCCAUUCAACGUCUUCCUCUUAGAGAUUCUGAAGGAUCAUCAUCCACUUCUCUUCUGAAACAUCGCCCGAUCUUGGUGUGGCCACUAACUCCUUUAAUAGGGAAUAAUUCUCAGAAAAAACCUGGUAGGAGACCUUUUCUACCUUCCAGAAGUGGCUAUGGAACCAAGCUAGUAAAAGUUGUGCACAUCCGAUAAACCUUCACUCACCCGCUUUUCGACACGUGCUCAAGGAUCAGAACGUUUCUGCUAAGAUCACUGGGAUGGGUGUGACCCCUUUAUCAAGCCUAUCGAACAAGUCUGAGACCGCUUCAUCUACGUGCCCUAGUGCCUUAGGGAAAACGACUAAACCGUAAAUGCUCAAGGCAAAUACGUCAACCCUUUUCCUCUCAUCUGAAUGUGCCAAAAUCAGAUCCCGCAAAUUCUUCCAAGGUAUGCAUUUACUGUCCACUUUUUGCUUAAGUCAGGCCGCGACCCACUGCUCACUCAUUCCCGUGAUAUUCAUCAACUUCUUUAAGAAAGUUGGGACGUUGGCAGCUCUUGAAUAGGCCUUGUCAACUUGAACCUUCAGGCAUCAAAGUAAGGUCAUAUAUUUUUCUAUUGUGGGUACCAAAUCAACCCUUCUGAAAGUGAAGCAAUAGUUUGUAGGAUUCCAGUACUGAGUGAGAGCUCGAGACAAGUGCUUGUCUACUUUCACGUCGAGCAAAUAGGGCAGAUCACCAUAGUUACUGUAGAAGAGUUGUCUGAUCUCAUCGCCCCACUGAUCCCAAAUCUCUUUCAAUUCUUGUAGGUUAUUUUGGGUUACACUAAUUCGAGUGAAGUCCCACAACUCUAAUACAUAUCCCUCCGUAAGACUAUCACCUUUUUCUUGUUGCAUCUUCUCAGACCAAAUUCAGACGGUUGCGUUAUCUUCCACUUUAUCAAGAAACUCUAUUUCUAUGAUAAGCUCUCUAUUAGAAACCGAAUGCGAAUCAACACCUCUUUUAUGUUGAAAAUGACAUGCAUACAAAUUCAAAGCAAAUCACAGCAAGUCAGUACAACACGAAGCAAAGAUUUAAAGCAUAUGAGAAACAAUAAGUAAAGCACCUAUUUGGUUAACCACUAGGAUUUGGUAUGGCUCUACCUAGGGUAAGAUCCUAGGGCUCACUAUAUGCGGCUCGGUUCUAAAGUAAAGGUACCUGAGCUAGCAGAUUUCUCGAUCCUCACCCAUUAUAGGCUCAUACAGAUCGAGUUCAGUUUAGGGGGAUACAUUUUCCUAUGGCUAUACGGAGAUAAAAAUCUCACGAAGACAUAGGUACGGAUGUAUCCCAAAAGCGAUUCGUUAUGUUAUACGGGGGUGAAAACCCCACGAAGGAAUAACUUCUCACUCCCACUUAAGAGGGGAAAAAUCGACCGAUCAUACGAUGCAAUGCAGAAAUAUAUCACAAUUUACUAACACAAGAAUUUCAAACCACAACAAUAGAGACCGAAACAAGGACGAAUGAAAUGUAACAAAAGGAUUACAUAUUUAAAUCAAAUUUGAAUUUUCGACAAAAAGACAUAAAUCAAUCAAUUUACGGCUUGACACCCUUAUUUUGGAUCCUUAGUGGAGUCGCCAAGCUGUCGAAACCAUUUUUUUUGUAAAAGGGUCGACUUUGGUUUUGAAAACGAAAAUUAAAAUGGGAGUCGCCACCAAUCCUUUUUUAUUAAUGUGUGAUCGGGUCACCUCGUAAUUUAGUUGUUUUAAUAAAAUAUUUUGAUUUAUCAAAACGAUGAUUUUGGUCUACGAAAUUUUUUUUGAGAAAAUCAGGUUUGGAAGUCGGUCACGCACAAUGAAGGGUUAAGACCCUCGAUGUGCCCAAAAUUGGUACCAAGUUGAUUACUUAGUGUCUUAAUGUCGAAAGUUAAAAAUUUUAAAGGAAAUUUAAAACACAAUCCUUUUUAUUAAUGCUAUAAAAAUACUUGAAUAAAUCAAAAAAAAUUAAAGACCCACUCGUCUCAAGGUAAAGAAAUGUCAAAUCCCGUAAGUUAGGACACGAUAUUUAGAGCCUUAGAGAAUAAGUUUAUCUUUAAUUUUUAUUGAAAUUUGGUAUUUUGAAAUUUAGAUUGAUAUUUCACUAUUUAGGUUGGACGAGAGAAUCAAAACCCUGUAAGUUAGGGUACGAUUUCUCAAAUUUCCAAAAUACAAAACAUUGUCUUGUUUUGAGAUUACUUAUAAAUUUGAGUAAAAGGGUAGUAAGUGUUUAAAAGAUAUAUUUUUAUUUUAUUAUCUUUUAAAGAAGUUAUUUAAUACAUGCGAAAAGGGUUAUGUGAGACUCGUAACGAUAGUACGACAUGCAUUCAAGAUAACAAGAACAUGAUAUUUUAUAAUAUAACAUGCGACAUUGAUAGCAACGAAUCGCAAUGUUAACAAGCAUAAACAAGGGCCAUAAUAAUAAUACUAAUAAUAAUAUAAAGAACAAUAAUAAUAAUGAUAAUGACAAUAUAACCGACCAUGAUAAUAAGGAUUAUUGAAAGAUGUAUAUGUGUUGAGAAUAAUAAAAAUGAUAUAAAAAUAAUAGCAAUAAACUAAAAUAAUGAACAAAAUGUGGAAACAAAAUAGUGGAAGGGUUAAAUAGAUAGAUUAAAUUAACAAGGCAUUUGAUUUUUCUUUUUAAAAAAGGAUUAAACAAAGUAAAAUAAAAAAUGACAAACAUUUUUUUUUAAAAAUUAUAAAGAGAAGAAAAAAAUUUAAUGGUCCCAGGACCGAAUUGGAAUUAAAACAAAAUUAAAGGGCAUAAUUAAAGAGGUUAGGGCCCAAAUGAGACGCGUGUAGAGAUGCGGGGGCUAAAUAGGAAAUUAUUCCCCAACCCCUGAAGUGCACCGUUUCGCCGUAGGACAAAAUGAAAUGGAAAUAAAAUUAUAUGGGAAAAAUUAAAACUUAAAAAGAAAAAAAUUUAAAUUUAAAUAAAAUGCAGAGGGGUUAAUCGCGCAAAUAGCCCCUUCUAUUUGGCCCCGCACGACGCCGUUUAAGCACUAUAGUUUGCCUAUUUCAUAGGUGCCUAAUUGAAACAGAAGUAAAAUUCUGUGGCUAAAAUUAGAAAAAUGAGCAAACCCCAUUGAACACACCACAAAGGCGGAGGGCCUAUUUCGAAAAUAUCCCUCAGAGUCGAAACACGUGGAUCCCUUGACGGGUCGGGUAGGCGCGCGAUUAUAGGGGAAACAACGUCGUUUUAGGGCUAUGGUGUCAAGCCAUAAACGGCGUUUUUUAGGGAGUGUAUAGAGGUCUAAAUUUUUUUAAAAAAAAUUUAUUCUCAUCCCACCUUUAAAAAACAAAACCAGCAACCCUCUCAACACUCUCCCCCUCUCUCAUCCUCCGGUCAUGAGAGCCACCGCUCGCCCGCCAUGGCCGUCGACCGACGAAGGUGGUGACCGCCGUAUACGGUUGCCGGGGUCUCAAAAAGGGCCACCUUCGACUUCUUGCCACCUUUCAUCGGAGGUGGCUACCUCCGGCGCUCACGAAGGUGACACGCAGCCAUCAAGUACGCCUCCUUUUAAACUCUCUUUAUUUCCACAUUUUUUUGUUAAAAUAGGUUUGUAAAAAAUAACAAAAUAAAAAAAGAGGAAAACGAAACAAAAACAGUAAAAAAAAUUCAACCUUUCAAAAUUUCUCUGUUGUUUUUCGAUUUGCUAGUGUGUGUAAAAACUUUACAAAGAUAAGAUCUAGGCCUUUAUAGCCGGAUCCAACCAUUAAAAUUUUCCUUUAUCUGCCUAUAUUUACUGCCAUUACUGUUAGCAUGCUCUGCUGUUACAUUCAAUUUUUGCAGGGGUUUCGAGGCCGACGGUGGUGCAGAGGCAUGCGCGAGGAGGCAGGCGGCUCUCUGUGGCACCUAGGGUUUGAAAACUUUGUUUUGUUGCUAGGGUUUCUUUGGGUUUUUUGGCCAUAUUGGGCCAUUAUCAUUUUGGACUGUAAUGGAUUGUGAACUUUUUUAUAUUUUGGUUUUAUUUUGGGCUAUAUUGGGCUCCAGGCAGAAAUUAGGCCUUACAAUUAGAUUUUUAAGAUAUUAAUUUUUAUAAAAAAUUAUAAAUUGAUAGAGAACCACUAAAAUUUUACAUUGUUUAUAUAUAUAUAUAUAUAUAUAUAUAUAUAUAUAUAUAUAUACUUUUACUCUCACUUCAUCCUCCACCCCAAUUUUCUCUCUCAGUUGUUUAAUCUUAAUCUUUUUCUAGAAAGUAUCACAAACUCAGUUGUUCAUCUCUUUCAACCUUUGGACUGUCUAUACGGGAUGAUGGUUCAGUAUGGAUUUCCCCUCCAUUUAAUUAUUCUUUUCGUAAAAAAUUAAAAAUUUACGUCAUCAAUAAUUUAUUUAACUAAAACUUUCUUAUUUUUGAGAUGCGUGCAUGCUUGUGUUGAUUUUUAUGAAUUUUUAAAAUUGUAUUUUUUUGGGUGAACUAUGCUCCAUCAUCACUAUUUCUGAUUUUAAUCAACUCCCUCAUAUUUCCUUCCACCUUUUUAUUUGUUUUUGGUAAGGGUAAAAAUAUAUAAAUUUAUUUUUGGCUAUUUAUUGAAAGUUCAUAAUAGUCAUUCCUUGAUAUAAUUUAAAACAUUAUCCAUUCAUUCAUCCCUUAAAGCUUUUAUUUACUGAGUAAUAGGGCAGCGAAGCUUGAAAACGAAAUAUAUGAGAUUAAUAGAUCAUAACAGCAAGUAUGCUAUGCCAAAAACAAGGCCUUCUCCUCUUGUCCACAUAAACAGGCACUGCCUUUUAGCUGUUAAUACCAUUAACCCAAACUACUACUUCAAACUCAAUUGAAUUUAGUAUCCCUAAUCUAAGCUUAGUUUCUGAUGUGCAGGAUUCAUUAUAUGGCAAGCACAGAGCAUGCUUCUAAACUCACGGGAGAUUUUCUUUCAACGAUAAACCAUGAUCAGAUAGGAAGAGAACAUAGAAGCUUAGAAAGACAUUUUUUUAAAACACACUAUAGUUCCAAAAUUAUAUAGUAUAGUUAUUAUUAUUUUCUACAUCACCGGAUAACAUUAAAUUUAGUUUCAUGAUUGCCAUUUUUAUCGACACCACUUUUGAAACAAAGGGGUCGACUUUUAUUUUGAAAAUAAAAAAUGAAAAUGGGAGUCGCCACUGAUAUUUUUUGAGGUGUGAUCGGAUUACCUUGCAAUUCAAUCGUUUUAAUAAAACGUUUCAAUUUUACUAAAACAAUGAUUUUGGUCUACGAAACUCGGGAAAAACGGGUUCGGGAGUCGAUUACAUGCGAGAAAGGAUUAGCACCCUUGUCACGCCUAAAAUUGGUACUUAAUUGAUUAAUUAAUGUCUUGAUGUCGAAACUUGAAAAAUUGCAAAGAGAAAAAAAGAUCCUUUCGUUAAAAUCACCUUAAAAAACGUAUUUCACAUCAAUCGAGAAAAAGAAUUAUACCCCGUUAGUUAGGAUAUAAUCUUAAAUCCCGAAACGAGAAUAUUCACCAAAAAAUUUAUUUUUAGAAAUUUGAUUAUCUCAGUUUUAGAAAAGAAAUCAUAUUCCGUAAGUUGGAACACGAUCCUUUUUUAUUCCCGAGAUAAUUUUAAAAAUGUGUUUUUUUUAAAAGUGAUUCGUAUAUUUAGAUUUAUCAAAAAAUCAAAACCCCGUAAGUUAGGGAACGACUUCGCAAAUUCCAAAAAUACAAAAUAUUGUCUUUUUUAGGAGUUUUUGAAAUGAUUUUAAUGAAAUGUGAUGGAAUGAUAAUACAUAACAUGGAGAAAUAAUUUACGAACAAAAUGUUAUACGAAUGAAUCACUAUAGCAUGAAAAUACGAAUAAACGAAAUAAUACACAUAAUGGCAAUAAUUACACAACACAUCAUUUUUAAUACAAAUAUCAAUAAUCAAGAAAACAAAAAAAAUAAUAUAUAAAAAAAUUUAAAGAAAAUAAUAGUUUAAAAUAAAUAAUUUAUAAGGACAAUUCAAAAUAAAUAAUAAAAAUGUUCCAAAUAAACAGAAUAUAUAAAAAAAUAAGAAUAAAUAACAAUAAAAACAAUUUUAAAUAUAUAAUAUAAAAAAUAACAUAUAAAACAGUUUUAAAAAAUAUAUAUAUGCAAAAAUUAGAAAGAUAUAUACAUAAGUUUACAAUAAAUAAUAUAUUAAAGAAAUUUAAAUAAAUUAUAUGUAAAAUAGUUUCUAAUAAAUAAUAAAUAUAAAAACUUAAAAUAAAUGAUGAUAAAAGAGCAUUUUUUAAUAAAUAAAUAAAUUAAAUGGACUGUGGACGAGGUUGAAAUAGAACUAAAUUUGGGGUAUAAGUUAAAAAUCACAAAAAUAAUAAAACAAAGAUAAGGGUUAAACUAAACACGCCAAUGAAGAGCAGGGACCAAAUGAGAAAUUAUCCCAAAUCCCCUAAAUGCAGAGUUUCGCGUGGGAUUAAAAUGAAACAGAAAUAAAAUUAUGCGGUAAGAUUAAAAUAAAAGGAAAGAAAGAAAAAAGGACCAAAUAAGAAGAAUAGGAGAGGCGAAAAGACUAAAGUGGAAAUUUGCCCAUUUUAAAAAAAAAAACACGCAGAUCCGCUGGCGGGUCGGUUAGAUCGGGUCAAGGGAGAAACAGUGUCGUUUUGGCACUUGUAAGUCCUAGCCCAAAACGGCGCCGUUUUGCACCCUUAUUUAAGUCAAAAAAAUUUUAAAAAAUUUAUUUUUCUCUCUUCUCCCUAAAAAAAAAAACUCUCUCCCCUUCCAGCCAGCUUGGGUCACCAGACCACCGCGGCAGCUACCGGUCGGCGACGAUAAUGUCGCCAUCAGCGGUGGCCAAAAAAUCGAAAAGGCCCCAUUUUUUGGGGUUUUCGAUUCCAAGACCAAAAAAAUACCAAUUUUUAUCGGAAUCGGUAGACCUCACACAAAAAAGGUACGCUCUCUCUUUCUUUUUCUUCUUAUUUUUUGUUUCUCUUCUGAAACAAAUGAAAACAAAACAAAAGAAAUCAACCAAAAAAAAAAACUACCUUCGAAAAGAUCUCGAAUUUUUUGUAUAUAUUUUCUUUGUUUCUUUUUUUGUAUUCGUAUUAAUCUCUGUAAAAAAAAAGAGCCCUUACAUUCGGUUUUUGGUGACUUUUUAUAGCCAAAAUACACUGCCAUUUUUUUGUGUUCACGUUUCUGUUUUGCAGGUACAAGUACGGAGGCCGACGUUGAGGUAUGGAAGUGGUCGUACAGGGGCGCGUGGCGGCUAUAGGCAAGAGAUGCGGCGGCGGCUAGGUUUUUUAGUCCUAGGGUUUUUUUCUGAAAAUGUUGGGAUUGGGCUUGGGUUUUAGUUGUAUUGGCUUUAUUGUAAUUCUGGAGUGGGACUUUAUUUUUGUUUUGGGUCUUAUGUAUUCAAUUUUAGACCCGGGCAAAAUGGGCUAUUACAAUUUUGUUUUGCUUUUGCUUAUUUAGUGAGGAAUAACAUGAAAUACUAAGUUUCAAUUAGAAUUUGAAAAUCAUAAACAUAAAAUUUUGUUACUUUACUUUUAUUUCUUUUGUUUUUGAAUUACUUUGCGGCUAGAGGUGGUGGUCUCCUACUUCCAAAAUUUUUAAUUUCUUCUCUUUACAAAUAAUAAAAUUAUAAAUUAAUCAAUUGUAUAAUUAUAUUUUGUCCUUUCAAAAUGAUGUAAUUAUAAAUUAAUACAAAAUAAAAUUGUAUUUUGAUUCCCUCAAAAAUUUUAUAAUUUAGUUCCAACCUUUUUAAAAUGAAGUUUCUGGCUUUGCCCUUGGUUGGCCCUCAAUCUUUAAAAUUUAAUCAAAUUGCUUUUUAUUGGAUGGAAAAGUUAUUGAAUCGAUAAAAUUUUAACAGCAUUAAUGUGACGACUUGCAUAACAAUUCACCUGUGCUUCAUAAAAAAUAAAAAAAUAUUUAAAAUAUUUAAAAAAAUCAAAAAAUUUAAAAAUUGUUCAUAAAUUGCUUUUUUUAAAAAAAAACUAUCUAUAUCAACAAUGAAGUACACAUAGACUAUCAUGCGGGCGGUCAAGUUAGUAUGAUUAAAAUUUUAAUGGUUCAAUAAGUUUUUUUUCCAACAAAAGAUAUGUUGAUUAAAUUUUGAAAGUCGAUGGUCAAGAUGAUCCAAAAUAUAAAGAGCCAAAUUUUAGAGGAAAAAAAAUAAUUGAGUUAUAUAAGCAGUUUAAAUUUUUUUUUAAAAAAUUAUCAAUUGAGUUUUAACUCGGUUGGCAUCAACAUUGAAAGUUUGCAUCGAUGUUGUUGUCAGUGUAAGAGAACGUGGGCUCAAACAUGCUAAAUCAUAUUUUUCUUCUUAUUUAAGGAUUAGGAUGGUAGUUUUAUGAAAAAAAAAGUUAUAAUUUUUUUUCUUGACAACAAAUCGAAAAAACUGAAAACCAUUUGUACAUAUUUUGGUUGGGAGUAAAUUGGGUUAGUUUAAUUUUGUAUUCGAAGGUUAAAAAAUUAUAUUUAAUUUGAAUUACUUAUUUAAAUUUUUAAUAUAAACAUUAGUUGACAAAUGGAACAGAUGGGAAGAAGCUCGCCUGAGAUGACGCCUUUGCAUUCUGAUAUAGAGAAAGGUGAUGUUAAGCAUGGAGUUUCCUCCUCCCAAGAAGUAUUUCAAACACUGCUAUACAUUAUUUUCAAAAACAAAAAACAAGGUAUAGUAACUUACAAUAAUUUAGUGCAUUACGUAAAUUAAAGAAGCAAAAGCCUUUUAAUAAAGGAAACAAGUUUCAAACACACACAAGCUACGGGUUGAAAAAUAAAUAAGUAAAAAGGAGAGGGAGAGGAAUUAGAGUAGUGAGUUGUGAGAGCAUGUAGCUCUUAAAUGAAAGUGCAAUUUCUUAAGAUUAAUAGUUUUUAAAUUGAAAUUGUUGUUCAAAUGAUAUUAGUAUAUAAACUUUCAAACAAUUUCAAUAAAUAAGUUCAACUAAAUCUUUUAUAUUAGUAUAGAUAGACACCAAGGUUAACCAUGGCAAAGUUGGGGUGGAGGACUGAAAAGCUUACCAUGUCACGUGUGAGCUUGAAAUAUUUGAUAUAUAAAAUAUCUAAUACUAAAUAUAUAGAUAUAUAAGAAAGAAAAAGAAAUUGUUUGAUUACAACUUUUAAGAAAUAGUAUCUCAUGCUUUUGUGCAGAAAAUGACUCCAGAGAAUAGCGACUUGGCUAUUAAUCCACCUUCUCAAGAGAGGUAUUUGAAAAAGUAUUCUACUGCUUUUGUAUUGACUAAAUUAAAACUAGUUCCUUAAUAAAUUUGUUUAGUGUUAUUAGGAAAGUACUAUAAUUUCAAAGUGCCUCAUCGACUACGUGAAGUAAAUGAAAAAGCCUACGAACCAAAUGUGAUUUCAAUUGGCCCCUAUCAUUAUCAUAAGCCACACUUGGCCAGGACGGAAGAUUUCAAAGAGCGGUGGUUUCAGAAGUUUGUUGAGAAACCCCACCUUGGUAUCGACCAAUUUCGAGAGGCAGUCAGACCCUUGUUAGAAAAAAUUCACAAUUGCUAUGAACAACCUCUUCAUCUUGACUAUAAAGAUGAAGAAAAUUUUGAUGAAGAAAAAUUUGUAGAUAUGAUGGUGUAUGAUGGAUGCUUUGUUGUUCAGCUAAUCCGGGAGUGUCAUCUACAUGGUUUUAGGAAACUGGGACAACAUGUUUCAUGUGACAUGCGGUACGAUUUGUUAUUGCUAGAAUGUUGAAACAAUGGCAGCAGCAACUAUGAACAAAAGCACAAAACCGCAAGCAAAAAUGAAAAACAAGAACAAAAACAAGUAACCGAAAAGAAGAAGUAAUAAUAUCAUUCAUAUUUGAAAAUAUAUUGAUGUUACAAAAUGACUUGGUCAGUUACCUAAACUUGUAACUGCUCCCACCAAUUUUGGCAAGUUGCUAACUAAAAUAUUACAAAAGAAAAGCUGAACAAUUCAGCUAUUACAUCCAUCAAUUUCAAAUCUGAAAGUACUAGCUUUAGAUAUCAAGUUACAUGCCAACUUGUUCUCAUUACAUAAAGACAAAAUUUAAACAAAAGAAAGUUACUUCUGGUUCAAUCUUCAUGCUGAAAUGUAGGCAUUGCUGCUGCUGCUCUCAAUGCUGGUAAUUUGUUGCAUUGCAGGCCAAUGCUCAACACUCUUCCUUGGACUAUAGGCAACAAACACCAAUUAAAUCUCUUAAGAAUUCUAACCUGGUCGUACCAAGAGGCUUUGUCAAAAUGAUAGCCAAUUGGUCUUGUGAGCUGCAAUGUAUGAGACAUACUUCUUUGGAUUGUACAGCCUCUCGAACAAAAUGAAACUUAAGCUUAAAAUGUUUGGUUUUUCCAUGAAAAAAGGAUUCUUGGCUAAGGCAACAGCUGGCUGGUUGUCCACCAUAAUUAUAGUAGGUUCAAGUUGCUCUUCAUUCAAAUCACAUAGCAGCUUUCUAAGCCAAAUAGCUUGGCUUGCUGCUAAUGUAGGUGCAAUGUAUUCAGCCUCUACUGUUGACUGAGUAACUGUUUGUUGCAUCUUCGAGCUCCAGCAGAAAGCUUCUGAACCAAGUGUAAAGAAAUAACCUCAGGUACUUCUCAUAUCAUCAACAGAUCUGGCCCAGUCACUAUCUGAAUAGCCACUCAGUUUUAGCUCACUUCCUUUCUUAAACAUUACUCCAAACUUCAAAGUGCCUUUGACAUAUCUAAGUAUCCUCUUAGAUGCUUUCAAAUGAAUUAAAUUGCAGCAGUGCAUGAAUCUUGACAGUAGGCUGACUGCAUACAUGAGGUCAGGUCUGGUUGCGGUCAAGUAGAGCAAGCAACCAAUUAGACUUCUAUACUCCCUUUCAUCAACCCUUUCUUGACUUCCAAAGCUGGUCAAUUUCUCCCCCAUAACUAGUGGUGUACUCACUGGUUUACAAUUCCCCAUCUAAAAUUUAGUGAGGAUCUUCAGGGCAAAUGCAUGCUGACUGAUAAAAAUGCCUUGAUCAGACUGGUUUACUUCCAUAACAAGGAAGUAAGUCAUGAUUCCUAAGUCUGUCAUAUCAAACAUAUCUUGCAUCUUUUCUUUGAACCCCUGAAUCAAAUCGACCCUGCUUCCAGUCACCAAUAAAUCAUCCACAUAGAUUGAGACAAUCAGCAAUGUUUCAUCUUUAGACCUUUUUACAAACAGAGUUGGCUCACUUAAACUUUUCUCGAAAUUGGCCUAGACAGGUAAGCUUCUAUCCUGUCAUACCAGGCUCGAGGGGCUUGUUUUAGACCAUAGAGUGCCUUCUUUAGCUUAUAGACCUUACCCUCUUUUCCUUAGACUUUAAAACCAUCAGGCUGUUCAACAUAUAUCUCUUCCUUAAGAAAACCAUUCAAGAAAGCUGACUUGACAUCAAGUUGAUAGACCUUCCACUGCUUCUAUGUAGCCAAGGCAAACAGAAGCUUUAUGGUAUCCAGUCUUGCCACUUGAGCAAAUGUCUCCACAAAAUCAAUGCCAAACUAUUGACUAUACACUUUCACCACAAGCCUCGCCUUGUGUUUGUUCAAAGAGCCAUUAGCAAUGAAUUUGGCUCUGAAAACCCACUUGACACUUAUGACCUUCUUUUGUUCAGAUCUAUCUACCAGAUCCCAAGUGUCAUUUUUAUGGAUCAUGUCAAUUUCAACCUCCAUGGCCUUCUUCCAGCUUAUUUUUCUUGCAGCUUCUUCAUAGCUCAAAGGCUCAACUAUGGCCACAUUGCAUCUUUGAUAGAUGUCAGCAAUGGACCUGGUCCCUCUCACAGGAGAAUCAUCCACAUUGGCAUUACUGAACUCUUCUUCAGUUAAUUCUAAGCAGCUAUCUAUCUGCUCUUCUUCAAACUGACUUGUGUCUGAGCCAUUUAUACUCCAAAACCUUCCUUCAUCAAAUUUGACAUCCUUACUUACCACAAAUUUCUUGAUUGAGGGAUCAAAUACUCUGUAUCCCUUCUUGGUGCUACUGUAACCAACAAAUAUCCCUGGAACUGACCUUUUCUCGAGCUUGGUUCUUCUUUUUGCAGGCACAAGUACAUAACACAUGCAGCCAAAUACUUUCAAAUGGGAAACAGUUGGUUUAAGAUCAUACCAUGCUUCAAAAGAAGUUUUAUCCUUCACUGCAUGUGUUGGCAGCCUAUUGAGCAGGUACACAGAGGUGUUGACACCUUCAGCCCAAAAAAUGUUUGGAAGUUUGCUUUGAAACAGCAAACAUCUAGCCAUAUUCAUCACUGUUCUAUUCUUCCUCUCACACACUCCAUUUUACCAAGGAGUGUACACUGUGGUUAACUGAUAAUGAAUGCUAGCCUGCUCAUAUAGCUUUUGAAAUUUUUCAGACAGGUAUUCAGAACCAUUGUCUGUCCUUAAGACCUUAAUCCUGCAGCCUGUUUGGUUUUCUGCCAAAGCCUUAAACUUUUGAAAAACUUCAAAUACCUCAGACUUCUAUCGAAUGAAAUAAACCUAACAAAAUCUGGUCAGAUCAUCUAUAAACAGUAUAAAAUACUUGCUUCCAUUUAAUGAAAAAGUCUUCAUUGGUCCACAGACAUCUGAGUGCACCAACUCAAGCUUUCCUCGAGCUCUCCACGCUUGGUUAAAUGCAAAAGGCAACCUAUCCUGCUUACCAAGCUGGCACACUUCACAAACAAACUUAUUUACUUCAACCUUAAUCAUGUCCUCUGUCAAACUCAUCUUGUGCAACAAAUCAAGUGACAUGAAGUUGACAUCGCCAAAUCUUCUAUGCCAUAGACCAGUGUUGUCAACUAAGCCUGUAUAGGCUUUUCUCUCAAGCUGACUCAUAUUCAUCAAGAAAAAGUUAUCUGCCAUGGUGCUGAGACAAUUUCUCUACCAUGAACAUCACUAAUAACACAAGAAUCAUUCUUGAAAACUAGAGAGUAGUCUUUUUUAACCAACUGACCUACACUAAGCAGGUUCUGAUCUAUACCUCUUCUAUAUCCUCGAAGGUCGGGAUAUGCAAUGGGACCCUGAUCUAGUGUUGAUCACAACAUCACCUCUGCCUUUAGCUUCAAUCAGGUUCCUAUUGCAUAUCCUGACCUUCGAGGUAAAGCUCCUAUCAAGGUCUUUGAAUAGGCUUUCAUCAGCUGCCAUGUGAUGUGAGUAGCUGCUAUCCACAAGCCAACUGCAUUUUGACUUUGCUUGUGGUUGCAUAACAUGAGGCGGUAAAGACACGCUCCUCUUGAGCCUGUAGAUCUUCAACAAAUUUGGCUUGUAUUGGCUGAGCUUGUGCCUUUUCUUGAUUUCUACAAAUCUUCUCAUGAUGGCCAUACUGCUUACAACUUUUGCACUGGAUAUCUGGUCUGGUCCAGCAAUAUUUCUCCAGAUGAUUAGCCUUCUUGCAGUGAAUGCAUGGUGGAAACCUCCUUCUUCCUGUAUCUCUUCUUGAUUUUUCCUUUUUGUCAAACCAUGGCUUCUUUGACUUCUGACUUGAGCUUGAACCCUCUUUAACUUUUGCUUGAAAAGCUCCUUCAGGAUUCUCUUCUUGCCUGCUAGCCCUUCUUUGCUCAAGUGCAUAAAGUGAGUUAACUAACUCAGACAAGGAAAUGGUUGUGAGUUCCCUCGAGUACUCCAGUGAGGAGAUUUUUGACUCAAACCUCUCAGGUAAGGUGGUAAUAACCUUCCCAACAACCCUGCUAUCACUGAAAUCUUCUCUAAGGAGUCUGAUGUUGUUAACAGUAGCCAUAAUCCUAUCAGAAUAUUGCUUGAUAGUUUCUGACUCAUUCAUCUUCAGAUUUUCAAACUCCCUUCUAAGAUUAAUUACUUGUUACUGCCUUGUCUUGUCUGAUCCCAUGAACUCCUCUUUCAGCCUAUCCUAUGCUUGCUUAGGUGAAUCAUAGGCCAUAAUGCGAGUAAAAAUCACAUCAGACACACCAUUUUGUAGUCAGGCCAUGGCUUUAUGUUUCUUGGCUCGCUCCUCACAAUGUUGUCUAAUCUAAGCAAUGGUUGGAUUUUCUCUCAAUGGUGGUGGCUCAACAUCAUUCUCAACUGCACUCUACUGAUCGUGUGCUUGAAGGUAAGUUUUCAUUUUAACUACCUAAAUGUGGUAGUUCUCUCCAGCAAACACUAGUGGUGGAGGAGGUGCAAAGCUCAUGUAGCUGAAAACAGGUUUGACAAACUCGGAUGCUUCCUUUUUUAAGUUUGUUUCAAACAGAAAAAAAAAACUUAAACAACAACAGAGGUCCUCAAAGACAAGAGGCUCUGAUUACCAUUUGUUGAAACAAUGGUAGCAACAACUAUGAACAUAAGCACAAAAUCACAAGCAAAAAUGAAAAACAAGAACAAAAACAAGUAACCGAAAAGAAGAAGUAAUAAUAUCAUUCAUCUUUGAAAAUAUAUUGAUGUUACAAAAUGACUUGGUCAGUUACCUAAACUUGUAACUGCUCCCACCAAUUUUGGAAAAUUGCUAACUAAAAUAUUACAAAAGAAAAGCUGAACAAUUCAGCUAUUACAUCCAUCAAUUUCAAAUCUGAAAGUACUAGCUUUAGAUAUCAAGUUACAUGCCAACUUGUUCUCAUUACAUAAAGACAAAAUUUAAACAAAAGAAAGUUGCUUCUGGUUUAGUCUUCAUGCUGACAUGUAGGCAUUGUUGCUGAUGCUCUCAAUGCUGGUAGUUUGUUGCAUUGCAGGCCAAUGCUCAACAUAGAAAACCAACUUCUUUUCUUUGUGCUUUUGACGUUGUAUGGCAUGAUAGAACCAAAUCUUGGAUCUGAAGGACAUUUGUAUCGCUUGGCUACAUCUGCUCUUUCUUUUUUCGAUAAAGGUCCUCUCAAUUUCAAUCCUAAAAAUACUAGUAUCAGGCAUCUUCUACACUUGGUACAUAUUACUUUCUAUCCUUCACUUCUAGGAAUCCUAGAAAAAAUAGUAAGAAGCGAGGAUAAUUUCCAAACCUCAAGGAACUUGAGACCUAGCGCAACAGAGUUGGAAGAUGUAGGGAUCUAUUUCUUUGGUGCCCCUAUCCAAAAAAUGCAAGACAGGGAGCAAGGGGUAGAGAACAUGUUUGAUAUAAAGUUUCACAAAAACACCAAAAAACUCAAGAUUCCAACCUUACAAGUCUGUGAUUCCACAGAGUAUAUCUUCCAAAAUUAUAUGGCCUACGAACAAUUAUUCACAUGGGAGGUGCCAACUUUCUUUUUUGAUUAUAUGAUAUUCAUAGAUAAACUCAUCAACACAAGCAAAGAUGUGGAGCUACUCCAAAAAAGUGGAAUUAUUGAUAAUUUGUUAGGAACCGAUGACGCAGUCACCUAAAUGUUUAACAAAUUGUGUAACUCCAUUUAUUACAGCCCAAAAGGCUUCUACUAUAAUGAAAUAGCUAAUCAAGUGAAUAAGCAUUGCAAGAGAGACUGGAACAAAUGGAAGGCAAAAUUAAAGAAAGAUUAUUUUCAAACUCCCUGGUCGCCCAUAUCAUUUCUUGCUGCGCUUGUCUUGCUCCUACUUACUAUACUAUAAAAUAUAUUUUUGAUUCUUUCUUAUAAUCAGCAGAGGCAGUUAGACUACUGAAGCCAAAGUGUAUCAUAUGAAGUCAGUAUAAGUUACUAGACCUAAGAGUUAGUGUUAUAUCUCAUCUUCAUUUAUAGGUAUAAUUAGUUUGGUUUUGUUAAUCAUGGAUUCAUUUUGUAUGUAUGUUUCACAGAUCAUAGCCACUUUUUCCUGGUGCUCUGGAUUGUUGAUCAGGGGAUUGAUUUCUUCUAUAUGGGAGUUUUGAAUUUCAGGCAGCACUUGGUGACUGUCAUUCAAAGGUGUUAUCUUGUUUCUAAUUUAAUUUCUAGGCUAGAGAGUGUAUGUAAUAGUUGCCUUUGUGGAUUCCUCAGUUCAUAUCACCUAAUUUGUAUAUGUCCAAUAAUCAUCAGAUUUGUCUAUUGGUAAAGUGUAACACCCUAACCUAGCCAAGACAUUAUGGCCGAAUCUGUGUGUGUUACGAAGAAGGGUUGUAAAAUUAUAUCUUCUAAGCUAAAUCGUAUUGUUUUAUUAGUUUACCAAUCGGAGUCUUAAUAUUUGAAAAAACUUGAGUUUAUAAUCUUAAUUGAAACCAUUUUAAGUUAUCAAGAAUUUGCAGUGGAAGUUUGAAAAAUGUUUUACUCAAAACCAAGCUUGUGUUUUCGAAAACCACUUGUUAAAACCAUUUGUUUGCGUAAAGUGUUUUUAUCAACGUUGCAGAAAAGAAAGCAAAACGAAAUCCAAAUCCAAAAGUUAAAACCAUACAGUCCAGAGAGUCCCAAAAUUUACAAACUCUCAAGAAAAUUAGAUUUUAAAAUAAAACCAUUAUUACUAAAUAAAAAUAGAUCUCAAUCGAGUGGUCAUCGUUGAGCCUCCGUCGCACCAACCCACUUAAGACUGUGGAUUACCUGAAUAGAACAGACAAAUAAAUGUGAGUUUUCGUAAACUCAGUGUGUAACCUACAGAAAUAGUCAUGCAACAUACACAGAAUUUCAUAUACAGUCAGAUACAGAUUCGGGCCUAAGUCCAUAUCAGAUACAGAUAUCAAAUUCAGAUAAACAUAACAGAUAUAUAGAAUCAUAUCCCCAUCCUCUACAUACUUUCUCCGAACAUCCCAUCACACCAUGUGGGGUAAAAAACACCCACCCAUCCCAAAACACUAAAUAGUGUCAAUGCGACACAUAACAGAAUAAUGUACAGCCAAAUUGCUAAAAAAUAGGCAAAAGGUUGUUGUACAGAUCACUUCCUCCACAUAUGCAAAUCCCACCCCAAACACAGAUACAAAAUUAAUAGAAUUAACAUGCUUAACAUGCUCGUAUACAGUAUAUACUCAAACAGAACAGUUAGACAUACCUAUCAAAGUCUUACUCAGAUCUAGUAAUCAGAAUAUCAGAUCACAUGAUAAGGGUUUGGUUAACCCUUUCCGUCCCUACGGUAGGCCCACAGUCGAUCGGAAAGACCCGUGCAACACUAAAAAUAAUUUCAGAAUCCUAGGCCCACAUACCCGUAUAGCUUACCUGUGUAGGCCCACACGCCUGUGUGGCCUAGAUUGGCUUUGCCCGUGUGGCCCAUAUGGCCUGGCCCAAAACCCACACGCCUGUGUGGGCCCAUACGCCCAACCUGGCGUAGCUCAUGUGGCCGAAAUGGCCACACAUUCGCCAUCACACGAUCGUGUCUCACACACGGCCAACCACACGGCCUGGAACACGCCCGUGUGGCAUCGACAGUGCCCUUUUUUGGCUUUUGCCGAACCUCUAUUUUUUGUGUUUAGGGUACACACCUAGUUCAUUUUUGAUGCCAUAGCAAUCUCGGGACCAUCAGAACCUAUAAAUGACAUUAAUACAACCAAUUAACAACCAAUUACAAAUUCAACAUCGUAAAGUUGAAACAUGAAAAAACACUUACCUCCGAUAAGAAUAGCCCCUAUUGCGGUUUAUGCUGUUGGAGCGAAAUUUGCAGGUUCACCAACUACUUAUGCGCAAAAAAUCAUAGAGAAUCAAUCUCCAUUUCUUCACACCAUUAAGAAAUUCAAGAAUAAACCCAACAGCUUAUCGAAAUCGAAACCUAUGGACAAGUGAAAUCCUACUUACCCAACUGUACGUAAAACACCGAAUCCCCUAAAUUUUGGAAAGUGAAAACAUCAUAAAAUUUUGGAAUAAAAUAAAAUCCCCCAAAUUAAGGCAUGAUCUCCUAUCAACCCAAUCCCAACUACCCACUCUCUCAUCCACUUAUACAGACUUCCAAACUCUCUCAGACCACCGAGACAAAAACUAUCACCUUCACUUACGCAAGAAUUCAAACACAAGACCUCCAGCAAGCUAAUCCUUUACCACUCAAACCAACAAACUCAUUUUAAUAUAGAUUAACAGACAAUUUUACAUAAGGCCACCCAAUAAGGAUAAGGCUAGGAUAUAAAAAUAAUAAAAUUUUCCAAAAGUGAGACUUAAACCCAAAACCUCAUACACAUUCACCCUAAAACACCUAUCCACUGAAGCAAAUACAUAUUUGUGAUAGAAUUUACAGAAACAGAAAUAAAUUAUUCAGGGCGUUACAUAAAGAGUAUUAUUUCAUAAGAUGAUCAACCUCGUCCAGGUUGGAAAUUGUCCCAAAGCACCAAAGGUCUACUAUGAGGUUAGGAGAAUUCCAAGUAAAUUAAUAAUAAUUAGAAAUCUUUAUAACCUGUGCCUAUGUGUGUAAAAACUAUGAAUUUAGAAUAUAAAAGUGUGUUUAAAAGUAACAUACAUUAAAUAAUAAAACACAUUAUUUGAAACUAAUUAAUAAUAAUACAUGAAAUAUGUACAAUAUAAAAAUGAAAAAAAGAAGAAGAUUAAAUUGUUUAUCGUGAUGUUGUCAUCAAUCUUGAGUCAAUGUUGAGUUAAACUUGUAACACCAAUUCAAUCAAAUGCACUAUUAAUAUAUAUAUAUAUAUAAUUGAUGGAGAUAAUAAAGUGUGUAUAAUAAAAUUAAAAUAUAUAAAAAUAUUUAAAUAAAAUUUUAAUUUAGUGAUAAAUUAAAACUUUUACUAACGCAAUUGGUAUGGAUUUAAAUUCCCCCAUAUGCACUUUCAAAUAAAAAGACUAAAGCACUUUCAAAUAAUAUAAUUUAUUUUAAUUACAAAAAGAAAUUUCUAUAAUUUUUCUAAUUAAAUUAAUAUCCGAUUAACUAAUUAACAUAUAUCAAUUAUUUUGACAAGUCAAUCAAUUGAGUCUUAACUUGAUUGGCAUUGGUAUUAUUACUAGUGCAGAUGAAUGUGGAUUCAAGCACACUAAAGUACGUUUACCCUUCUAUUUAAGAAUCAAAGAGAGAUUAUGAGUAGUUCAAAGUAUUGUAUAAUAAAAUUAAUAGUAAUGGGAUUAAAUAACUCAACCAAACAUACAAGAGGUGAAAUCAUCCAUGCGUAACCUUGUGCAGAAGGAUAUGAACUUACUUGAUCGGAUUUCAAAUUUAACUUGUGCUGACAAUUGCCAGCACUAGAAGAAAUCUGAGUUAAUACCAAAUUCAAUUUCCUGUUAUAUAUGAAGGUUAAGGGCUAACAUAGUUUUGUGGGACUCUUUAUUUAUAUGCAAGUAUCAAAUAUGUAUGAAUGUGUUCAACAAUAAUUUGGUAUUGGCAAAUCAUGCAGGCUGCAUCGUAAGGGCAUAAACAUACGACUAACUUCACCAUCCGAUUUAUUGAAACUCUAUCGGAAACUGCUAAGACUUGUCCCUACUAUGCCACUACCAAUCUUCAUCAAUAAUAAUCACCAACAUUAAUGCCCUAAACUCUAAAAAGUUGUGCCUUUUAAUUAAUUAGCUAAACUACCAGUCAUUGCCCAAAUUUGCCACCCAAGUGCAAAUUCAGUGAACAAAAUUUUAGGAAAAAAAAAGAACUUCAAACCCGACCUCUAGAAGCAGCAGCGAGUUUUCUUCUCUCUUGAUGUUCUGCAACCUUAUAAUCCACCACUUCACGAAAUAGGGUCGAGUCAAGCACACAAUUCUCAUUCUCAUAAACAACUGCUUGUACAAUAGCCAUUAGUUUGGCUAUUUCCUUCCUUAAAAAUCCUUCAGUUUUAGCAGCAACUUCUCUUAAGAUAUCAUUACCCAGUCCCUUGAUUUGAAUAUUCUACAGCUGCUUUUUUAAACUAUUCUGAAGCACACCAUGUUUUCUCGAGCCAGCCUGAGCUAUGUACUUGUCUAGGUACAGAUAUAGCAAUUUGAAACGGUCAUCUUCCCCAUGCAAAGGGAAUUCCAACACUUCAUCAAUACGACUGGCCACGGCUGAAUCAAGAUCACCAUGAUGGUUUGCAGCAAGAGCGAGGACUAUAUCCUUGGACUGGUAAACAAUGCGAAAAAUAUGCGCAUUCAAUGCACUUCUGUGAGCUUCACUCAUGUAGGUUUUGUUCCGUUUGCAAAAAUAGUUCAGCCAACAAAAUCAUUAUUCAAAGGUAAACAUUAUACAAAACCAAUGGAGCCAAUAAUGUUUUAAUCCUUUACUUUGGCGUACAACAAUUAUAGUUGAGGAAAUUCUGUAUUUCUUUUUGUAAUUGUUAACAUAGAAAAAUCUUCCAGGUAAACAAUUGAUGCGAUCGUUCAAAGCACCAAAAAUAUCCUAUCCCUAAUAAAUAAUGAAAAAGAAUAGUAAAAGGGAAGUAGAGUCAAAUCCUCAGGGACUGGAUUUGCACAAUGUCUUGUUCCGUGAAAUCCCAAGUAGAAUCUUGGCCAAGAAAACCAAGGCUCCUGGAAAAAAAUAAGAAAAUAACAGAAUUAAAUAUUUGGAUCUGGAAAUGAAAAAUAAAAUAAAAACAGAAUUAAGGAUAUUGAAUCGAAAAUUUGAGAAAUUAAAAAUAGAGUUAAGAGAAAGAAAAUUCUUAUGGGAGAUUCCAGCCUCCAGUUGUCUCGUUCUGCCUUGGGUUCAAUCCUCAACUUUUAGAUGAUCCUUCCCAAACCGAAUAAGCCAGUUAUAGUGGAAGAGGACGUCUACGACCACCACCUCCAAGGAUUUAGACUUACAAUUUAAUGGAACCUGACUCUAGCCAACAAUCGCUUCUAUGGGAUCGUCUUAUGCUAGAUCAACGCUUCUCAAUGGCAAAUCCCAUGCCAUUUUGUCUCUUGGGCUUGCCAACCUCUGACGCAGCAAGCUAACAAAUCGACUGUGCAACCUUCCCAAAACAUACAAAGUGGUCGCCUUUGCAUACAUUGAAAAGCUUACUUCUUAAGGGACAUGGAUGGAAGCAUCAGCCCCGUAGUGCAGAGAAACGAUGAAUACUCAACGAGGAGGCUAAGUACGGACUUUAAGCCUCAAGAACCCUUUUUAGGGAAUAUCGACAACCUUAGGUUAGAUGGGUUUAGUGGCUCAUUGUUGAGGUGGAAAAGAAAAUAAAGAUAAUAAAAAUGGAGAUUUUAUUGAAAGGAAAUAUGAGAAGAACAAAAGCCUAGACUUUUGGGGAGAGAGUGUUUACAGAAAAAAGGUGGGAUCCCUUUUGAGUUACUUCACCCCCUAUUUAUAGUGCUAGGGGAGAUAGUCUAAUCCUACUUAAACUCCCAAAAGAUAAAUACCUUUAAUGAAAGAUAAAUAAAAUAAAAUACUAAAAUUAGAUAAUCCUUAAUAAUUAUCUUAAUAUUAAUUAUCCUAAUAUAAUUAAAAUAGAGUUUGAUAGAAUAAAAUCUCUUUUUUUUUACACUUCAACCCUUGUGUCCUCCAUGCUUGCACUGUUGGCACCAACUUUUCUUUGUGUCGCACAUUGGCCCAUUUUAUCUCUAAAUUUACACUUUUGGCCCUUGAUUUUACUUUUGUCUCAAAUUUAGUCCCUAUGAGAUAAAAGAUCAUCAAUAGCUCAAAUUAGCAGGAUCAUACUAAGAAUAAAUACAUAAUUAAUACAUAAAAAUACGUAAUUCUAGAGUGUUAUCAAAUUCCCCCUACUUAGCCCAUGCUUGCCCUCAAGUAUGGUUCCUAUCUACUAUGAAAUUUAGAUUCUGCCAUAAAAGAAAUACCACUCCAAAGUUUUAUAAAAAUCAGUCAAAAAUGCAUAUGAAAAAUAAAGAGAACCCUAAGCUUGCUUGUUUUAAGUAAAACAGAAAAAGUUUUCCACUUAAUACACACAAAAAUUAGAAUCGACUUGAAUUAUUUAAUGAAAAUUAGGUAAAUUACCAAACCUAUCAAGACACCCUAUUUGUUUCCUCCUUUAGUCCCCAAAUUAUAUUUUUUUACUUUUUUAUUUUGAUUCUGAUUUAUUUAUUAUUUAUAUUUUUUAUGAUUGAGGAAUAUACUGAACCUUUUGACGCGAAGAGAGAUAACAACCAAGCACCCCACCCCGGUUACUCAACCCAGCAGACUCCUAAUUUAUUAUAAUUUUUUCUUAAGAACACAUCGAACCUUUUGACGCGAAGAGAGAUGAUAGCCAAGCACCCCACCCCGGUUACUCAACCCAACAUGUUCUUAAAAAUUAAUUCCGGUUAGCGAAGUUUUACCUAACACGUCACACAACUUUUUGACGCGAAAUAGAAUGACAACCCAAACACCCUACCCCGGUUACUCAGUCAGUCACGUUUUUAAGCUGCACUCAUAAUCACAGAAACAUUAAACAACAUUUUAAUAAUAACUUUUUUUUAUGAGGACUUUAGAGAAAAACAAUCAAGUGUCAAAAAUAAGUUUCAGUAAUUACCUUAAUAGUCAUGAACAUAUUUUAGCAUGCAAACAUAUUAAGUGUCCACUUUGUAUUAAACUUGAUCAAUUUUACGAAAAGCAAGAUAAAGUUAACUCUAUUAAUCAUAAUUAUUUUUAGCCUAGUAAGAAUAAAACAGUGGAGAUGGCAUCAAUUAUGGAAAAUCCGUAAUUUCCUUAGAAAACAAGAAUCAUGCUUAUAGGUCAAAUAGUAGGCAAUUCUUGGUAAAUAUCUUGGGCAUGAAAAGAGGCAGGAGAUUCUAAAAAUAAAAAAUAUGGACAAAAUGGAGCCUCAAGCAACAACACUAGCCAAAAAUAAUCACAACAUCAGCAACAACAACCAAAAUCACAGCAGAAAAUGACAGUAAUAACGAAGAGUAGCUCCCCCUACUGAAAGCACAUUGUCCUCAAUGUGGACAAAAAGAAAUAAAUAGGUAGAAAAGUUUAGAAAAACUCCUCGUGUUGUUACUAUCGAUCGCAUAUGAUGGCAAUGAGCUGGGUCAGUUGCUGGCCAAAGGUUUCAAGUCGGGCCUCAAUAAGCUCUAAGAAUUGCUCAACGGUUUUCUUCGCAUUUUCGCUCUGUUUUAUCUAAGCAGAAGAAGAAAAAUUUAUUAAUAUCCAAAUAAGUAAUAAAUAAUAAAAUAAAAUAAAGUAAUAAAUACAGUAAAGAAAAUAAAUAAUAAAUAAAUAAAAAAAUGGGUUGCCUCCCAAAAAGCGAUUGUUUAAUGUCGUUAGCUCGACGUCCUUAUUGGUUCUAAGCUGGUUCAAAAUGGAUUUUCUCAACGUGUGGGCUUGAAAAUUCUCAUAAAAUGCCUUCAACCGCUGGCCAUUGACUACGAACCGCUUUCCAGAUUCUUCACUCUCUAUUUCAAUCGCUCCAUGUGUGAACACUUCAGUAACAAUAAAAGGUCCUGGCCAUCGUGAUCGAAGCUUGCCUGUGACUAACUUUAACACGGAGUUAUAAAGUAAAACUUUUUGUCCUACCGAAAAAUGCUUCUGAGCAAUUCUUCUUAUCGUGAAACAACUUUGUCUUAUCUUUAUAAAUGUGAGCAUUCUCGUAGGCAUCAUUGCGAAUUUCUUCUAACUCUUGGAUGUCUAAUUUCCUUGCCUUUCUUGCAGGUUCUAACUCCAUGUUACAUUGUCGAACGGCCCUGUCAAAACCAUUUUUAAAUUUGAAAAAACGGGUAUCGAUUUCGAAAAAUAGAAAUGGGAGUCGCCACCGAUCUUUUGAUGAGGUAUGAUCGGAUUACCUUGAAAAUGAUUUUAGGUCUACAAACUUUGAGAAAAUAGGUUCGGGAGUCGGUUACGCACGAGGAAGGGUUAGCACCCUCGUGACGCCCAAAAUUGGUACCGAAUCAAUUGUUUAGUGUCUUAGUGUCGAGAAUUUGAAAAGAUUUUAGAAUACGAUCCUUUGAAAAGAAAAUUUUAAUAAUCGAAUUGGAAAAUAAGACUUACCCACUUUAAAGAAAUAAAUCGUCACACUCAGUGAGUUAGAGCGCAACGAUUCAAUCUUCGAAGUUAGAUUCGUCCUUUUUAAAUUUUAAAAAUUCAUACAUUUUGAGAAGGAUAUUUGGUUAUUUAGAUCAGUAGAGAAAUCAAAACCCAAUAAGUUAGGGUUCAAUUUUCCUAAAAUUCCUAAACACCAAAUAUUAUCUUUAUUUUAAAAAUGAGAUAACAAAAUGUCAUAUCCAGUAAGUUAGGAUCAAAUAAUUUGAAAUCUAAAGAAUUUUAUUUUAAAAAUGUACGUAUUAAAAAUAGAUACUUGAUGAUAUAAAUUCAUCGAGAAGAAUUGAAGCCCAGUAAGUUAGGGCACAAUUCUCUCAAGAAUUAUUUAACACCAAGCCUUUUCUUGAAUUUUGAAAUGAAACGAUUAUAAUAUCUUAAUGAAAUGAAAUUCUUACAAACAAUAUGAUUGAUUAACAAUAUACAAAGCAAAUGAUGAAUAACAAAUUAAUUCUACAAUUUGGAGCACCCAAACGUAUAAUGCAUUAACAAUGAUAAUCAAAUAAACUAAUAAUCCAUCUUACAAAUAGCCAAAUGAAUAAUUAAUACAAAAAUAAUUUAAUCACAAGUAAACCAACCAAAAUAAUCUAAAUGAAUAAAAAUUUUAAAACAUAGAAUAAAAUUUUAUAAUUUACAAAUUAUAAUAAAUUUUAUACGCAUAUAUAUGUAUAUUAAAAUCAUAAAAAAAAUGAAAAAAAUAAAAAUUACUUCAUUUGAAAAAAUUUGAAGGCAAAAUUAAAUGCAUAAACAUUUUUAAAAUCAAGAACUAUGACCAACAAAUUUUAAAUCCAAUCUUAAACAAAAUUAAAAUAAUAGUAUAUAAAAUAAAAUAAAUAGAAAAUAUAAUAGACUUAAAAUAUUAAUAUAUAAUGCAUUUAAAACACAAAAUACAUUUCGUACUAAAAUAUGAUUAAUUUAAACGCUAUUGAAAAUAAAUAUAGUAUUAAGUUUUAAGAUGAAAAUAUGAUCAAUUUGUAUUUAAAAUAUUAUUGAAUUUAAAAAAACCUAAUUCGUACUAAAAUGAAAUCCAUUUCGACUUUGAAGGACUCAAUCAGUAAUUAUACGCACACAUCAGGGUAAUUCGAAUCAAUUCACAGAAAAGGCACCGUUUGAUUUGGAUCUGAAUGAAAACAGAACAAAAUAUGAAGUACAAAUUACAAACAGAUAAAAAUAUCGAAUUGCGACUCCAUAAACACGUAAGGACCCAUCGAACAAAUAGACCAUUUGGCCCUAACACGCGAAUCCUUCCCUAGAUCGGAUCACCGCUCAGGUUCGGCCUCUCAGAACGUUGCCAUUUCAAAGCCAUUACAUUGGCUCUAUCCGUUGACGUUUCAAAAUCGAGAUUUAAAGGCUUAAACCUAAAGAGCUCCUUACUUCCAAAACCUAAAGGGAAACUAACAGUUCCUGCACCGCUCGAUAUACAGCACCCUUGAGCAGUCCUCGAUCCUGGCUCGUGCUCCGACGACGACCGAAAGAGCCAAGAUCACACUGCCAGGUACGUCCUCACCUUCUUUCUAUUAUUUCUCUUCUAACCAAUGAUUAAUGAACAUAAAAACAGAAAAAAGAAGAAAAAAAUCAAUCUGGUAACCAGCAAAAUAGAAAAGAAGAAAAAAUUGGGAAAUCACCUCUUGAUCUUUUUUUCUUUUUUUUUUCUAAAUGUGUGUAUUGAAUCGUAUAUUGAAUGCGUAAAUUUUUACAGGCAUUUUUUCGGUUUUUAUAUCUAUAUUCGACAAAGAACCCGAAAAAUCGAAUUAAAUAAAAACAAAAAUAAAAUAAAACCCCCAACUGGUUUCUCUUUGCUACAUUGUUUUCAUUCUGUUUGCAGGCCUGGCGUACGGCGGGGGACGUGGCAUGUACAGAGAUGAGGGUGCACACGUACGGAGUCUCAUCACGUGCGGAGGGAGCGUGAAGAGGUGCUUCUGCUGCGACGCUGGGAACCGAAAGUUGCUAGGGUUCCUUGCUCCUGUUUUGCGUUUUGGCCUUAGUGGGCUAAAGGUUUUUUAGGCUGGUGGGUUAAUUGGAUUGGUAAUUUGGGUAGUUUAGGUUAGAAACAAUUUGGGCCACAUUAGGCCGGGCAUAAAUUGGGUAUUACAGCUGCCCCUCUUUGCUCAUUGUUGUGUAACGGAAAUGAAGCAAAGACUAAAAAUGGCCAAUUUUGCCCGGUUGUGCUAGGCCUUGCUGCUCUUCUUCUUCGAGUUGCCUCAUUCCAUCCAACUGCAUCUUCAGAUGUAUAGGAAUUGGUGCUUCAAUCCACUCCACUGUAAUAUUAGGGAGAUAGGAUUUGUAACUCGUAACUUUUGGAAAGUAAGAUUCGCUAUCGUGGCUUUAAUCUUUUUAACUGUAAUGUCGGGGAAGCAAGAUUCACCGUUGUGGCUUUAAUCUGCUUCAUUACAAUGCUUGGGAAGAUAAGAUCUGUAGUUCUUCGGUCUAUUCCACUGUAAUUUCAGGGAGAUAAGACCUAAUGCGAUCUACUCUACUGUAACUUCAGAGAGAUAAGAUCCUUUAUCUUAAUCCGCUCCACUGUAAUCUCAGGGAAAUAAGAUUACUAGCUUCAAUCUGCUCCGCUGUAACUCAGGGAGAUAAGAUUUCUGGCUUGAAUCUGGUGCGAUCUACUCUACUGUAAUUUCAGAGAGAUAAGAUCCUUUAUUUUAAUCCACUCCACUGUAAUCUCAGGGAGAUGGGAUUACUAGCUUCAAUCUGCUCCACUGUAAUCUCAGGGAGAUAAGAUUUCUGGCUUCAACCUGAUGCGAUCUACUCUACUGUAACUUCAGAGAGAUAAGAUCCUUUAUUUUAAUCCGCUCCACUGUAAUCUCAGGGAGAUAGGAUUAAUAGCUUCAUCUGCUCCGCUGUAAUUUCAGGGAGAUAAGAUUUCUGGCUUCAGUCUGAUGCGAUCUACUCUACUGUAACUUCAGAGAGAUAAGAUACUUUAUUUUAAUCCGCUCCACUGUAAUAUCAGGGAGAUAGGAUUAAUAGCUUUAUCUGCUCCGCUGUAAUUUUAGGGAGAUAAGAUUUCUGGCUUCAGUCUGAUGCGAUUUACUCUACUGUAACUUCAGAGAGAUAAGAUCCUUUAUUUUAAUCUGCUCCACUGUAAUAUCAGGGAGAUAGGAUUAAUAGCUUCAUCUGCUCCACUGUAAUCUCAGGGAGAUAAUAUCUCUAGCUUCAAUCUGCUCCACUGUGGCUUAAAUCUGCAACCUUACACUUGAAGAUAAGAUUUGCCGUCUUCGAUCUCCUCCGCCAUUGCUUAGGGAGACAAGAUCUGUAAUUUCCCAGAUCUGUUCUCUGGGGAACAUGACCUGUAGAAUGAACCUAAUUAUGCCUAAUGAUUAGGAUGGCAUGAUCAAAAUGAAUCAAAUGCUCCUAACUAGACAUGUGAAUAGUAUUUACAUGAAUGCAGAGUUUUAUUUUUUUUUUUGAGAAAGAUCCCGCUUAGGUUGUCAUUGCUCGAAGUUUAUUAAGGCUUUGUGACUGACGUGCUACAACGUCUUCUCGCUUGACUGGCUUUUCUGAAGAAACAUUUAAGUAGGUUGCCCCCCACUGUAAACCUCAAAGUUUAAUCCAUUAAGGCGCACAAUUUGUGCCAUCAUUCUCCCACUGCAAUCCAAAUGUAGAAAUAUGCGACUUUUCCUCAAUCCUUCUACCACAAUUUAAGGAUACUAGAUCUGAAUCAUUCUGGUUUCUUACACCAUUCUCAGGGUGUCGUACCAGAGACUCAUGCGCAAAUGAAGGCUCUAUUCUCCGAGGUAACCUCUUCCUAUUGCCUGAUGAUCAUUACUUGCUUGUUCAUUUAAGCUUUAUCAUUAACCGGUCACCUUAUCAUUUUGUUCAAUCAAUGCAUUUGACAACAAAAUCCAAAGAGAAAGUCCAAAUUUAGACUCUUCCUUCUCAAAUUUCAAACCUUUAAACCUGGUGUGUUCUAAACAAUAGUCUCAUUCCAGGUUCUUAAAUUAUUUAGAAAAUUUUUAGAGUAAUAUGCAAAACUUCCUUUAUGAAAGUUUUAUUAGUCCAUUAAUCAUUAUUCCAAUGCAACACACUUGCAAAAAUGGUUAUAGCAAUGGAUAAGGAUAAAGUUAGUUCUAGGCAUAAUUCAGAAUGAAUAAAUUAUCACAAAUAGUAAAGAAGGAUGAUAAAGAAGUUGAUUGGGAAUGUAUAUCUUGGAAAAGAAAAGAAGUAUUCCAAGAACAACAAAUUUAAUAUAAAUAAUAGGAGAAUUGGGUGCCCCAGAUAUCGUAGCUUGAACUUCUCUGUACAAACUUUCUAAAGGCCAUUCUGAGUUUGACAUGUGUUUAGGAAAUCUAUAGUGCUUUGUCGAUGCCCCAAGAUGUCGCCUAUCCCUUCCUGUUGAUUCAAGCAUAGCAAGAUUGCCACACACCCCGAUCUGAUCAAGAUACAAGCUGCUCUAAACACUUCAUGUCCCAAUCUGAUCAAUAUUUGAGCCGCCCUUUUUGGGUUUUCAACUCAAAUCCCCUUUGGCCUAAGGUGCCCUUUGCGGGUUUUCCCCUUAGCCUCUCCAUUUUUACUUUUUCAUCAUCAUUUUUUUAGGAAUCAAAGCGUCCUUUGCGGGUUUUCACUUUGAUCCCUUUCCUUCAAGUGAAGUAUUUCUUGACUGAGUCUGAGUUUACAGGAUUUGGCAAGUUUCUUCCAUCAAUCUCACUUAGAAUCAAAGCUCCACCAGAAAAUGCCUUCUUUACGACAUAAGAACCCUCCCAAUUUGGCAUCCAUUUUCCUCUAAAGUCUUUUUGUAUAGAGAGAAUUUUCUUCAACACCAGAUCCCCUUCGUGGAAUUCUCUGGGAUGAACCUUUUUGUUAUAGGCUCACAUCAUCCGUUUUUGAUACAUAUGACCAUGUUGGAUGGCUCUCAACCUUUUCCCUUCUAUUAAGUUCAACUGGUUGUAUCGAGACUGAACCCAUUCUGCCUCAUCCAAUUUCAAUUCAGCUAAUAACCUAAGAGAAGGAAUCUCCACUUCAAUGGGUAAAAGAGCUUUCAUCCCAUAAACUAGAGAAAAGGGUGUUGCCCCAGUAGAGGUCCUAACAGAUGUUCAGUAAGCUAAGAGAGCAAAUGAUAGCUUUUCAUGCCAAUCCUUGUAGGUUUCCGUCAUUUUUCCCACAAUUCUCUUAAUAUUCUUAUUAGCCGCCUCCACUGCACCAUUCAUUUUUGGGCGAUAUGGGGACAAGUUAUGGUGACUGAUCUUGAACUGACUACAAACCUCCGCUAUUGUGUUAUUAUUCAAAUUCAACGCAUUGUAGGAUAUGAUUCUUUCAGGCAUUCCAUAUCGAAAAAUGAUCUCCUUUUUCAAGAAUUUACUAACUGCCAAUUUCGUGACAUUUGCAUAUGAAGCAGCUUCCACCCAUUUGGUAAAGUAAUCAAUGACCACAAAGAUGAAACGAUGGCCAUUCGAAGCCUUUGGUGAUAUUGGCCCAAUAACAUUCAUGCCCCACCUGGUGAACGGCCAUGGAGCAGUCAUAGUGUGCAGAGGUAAGGGAGUUACAUGUAUCUUAUCUCCAUAAAUCUGACAUUUAUGACACUUCUUGGCAUAGCUAAUGCAGUCCCCUUCCAUAGUAGACCAAUAGUAUCCAAAUCUCAUUAUCUGUCUGGCCAUUGUAAAACCAUUUGCAUGGGUUCUGCAAAUGCCCUCAUGGACUUCCUCCAGGAUCUUUCUAGCCUCCAUGGCAUCUACACAUCUUAACAGCACUUGAUCUUUCCCUCUUUUGUACAACACUUCCCCAUCUAAGACAUACUCAAUGGUUAUUCUUCUCAGCGUUCUCUUCUCAUUUUAUGUCGCUUGAUCAAGGUAUUUUUAAUUCUUCACAUACUGUAGUAUACUCUGAUACCAAGGGUGAUCAUCUUUUCCCUCUUCUUCAAUACUGUAGCAAUGAGCCAAAACUUCAUAUAUGCUCAUCUGAAUAGGCUUUAUGAUUUCUAACUUGUUCACCUUAAUCAUCGAGGCUAGAGUAGCCAGUGUGUCAACCAUCUAGUUUUCCUCUCGUGGGAGAUAACAGAAAGUGAUGUCAUCAAACCCGUCAAUCAAUUCAAGAACCAGUUCUUUAUAACUGAUCAACUUAGGGUCUCUGGUUUCCCAUUCUCCUUUGAGUUGGUAUAUCACCAACGUGGAAUCUCCAAACACUUUUAGCACUUUGAUUUUACGUUCAAUGGCCACACGAAUACCCAUAAUACAUGCUUCAUAUUCUGCCAUGUUAUUUGUGCAAUCAAAGUCCAACUUGCUAGCGACAGGGUAAUGAUCUCCACUUGGGGAUACCAAGAUUGCCCCAAUUCCAUUACCUAUAGCAUUUGAAGCUCCAUCGAAAUUUAACUUCCAGACGUGGUCUAUUCGAGGGUUUUCUUCAGUGUUUGCCACAUACAAUAAGUCCUCAUUUGGAAUAUCAAAGUUCAAAGGCUCAUAGUCUUCCAAGGCUCUGCUGGCUAGAAAAUCAGCUAUUACACUUCCUUUUAUAGCCUUCUGACUUACAUAUACUAUGUCAAAUUCAGAGAGAAGAACUUGCCAUCUAGCCAUUCUCCCAUUUAAAGCAGUUGAUUCCAUCAUAUACUUUAAAGGAUCCAAUUUUGAAAUCAGCCAAGUCGUAUGAUGCAACAUGUAUUGCCUUAGUCUUCGAGUUGUCCAAAUUAAAGCACAACACAACUUUUCAAUGGACGAGUACCUCAUUCCACAAUCAGUGAAUUUCUUUUUGAGAUAGUAUAUUACUCUUUCUUUCUUUCCUGUUUCAUCAUGUUGGCCCAAGACGCAUCCCACGGAACUGUCAAACACCGUUAGAUAAAAUAUCAAUGGCCUAUCUGGACUAGGCGGUGAUAGUAUUGGAGCAUUAGCCAAGUAUUGUUUUAUCUUGUCAAAAGCUUUCUGACAUUCCUCAUCCCAUUCUCCCAGAUUAUGUUUCUUCAGAAGGCGAAACACUGGAUUGCAUUUCUCAGUCAAUUGCGAAAUGAACCAAGCAAUGUAGUUCAACUUUCCUAGGAAACCUCAGACCUCUUUCUGGAUGCUUGAAGGAGGCAGAUCUCGUGUUGCUUUAACUUUAUCAGGGUCAAUCUCAAUCCCCUUCUUACUGACUAUGAAGCCUAACAACUUUCCUGAUCUGGUUCCAAAUAUGCAUUUUGCUGGGUUGAGCUUGAGCUGAAAUUUUCUCAAUCUUAAGAACAAUUUCCUCAAGACUCGGAGAUGAUCCUCUUCAGUUCUAGACUUUGCAAUCAUAUUAUCAAUAUAGAUCUCAAUUUCUUUAUGCAUCAUGUCAUGAAACAGGGUGACCAUUGCCCUUUGAUACGUUGCUCCUGCAUUCUUCAAUCCAAAGGGCAUUACUUUGUAACAAAAUGUUCCCCGUAGGGUAAUGAAUGUGGUUUUCCUCAUGUCCUCAGGAUGCAUCUUUAUUUGAUUGUACCCAGAAAAGCCGUCCAUGAAAGAAAAUAAUGAGUAACAAGCUGUGUUAUCUACCAAAGUGUCAAUGUGCGGCAGCAGAAAAUUGUCUUUUGGACUAGCCUUAUUCAGGUCCCUAUAAUCCACGCACAUUCGUACCUUUCCAUCCUUUUUGAGAACAGGGACAAUGUUUACUACCCAUUCUGAAUACUUAACCUCCUGUAAGAACCCAGCAUCAAACUGCUUUUUGACCUCCUCUUUUAUUUUCAACACAAUAUCAGGUCUCAUUCUUCUGAGCUUCUGCUGAACUGGUUUGCAAUCCUCUUUUAUAGGUAAAUGAUGUACCACAAUGCUAGUAUUUAGGCCUGGCAUAUCCUGGUAGGACCAUGCGAAAACAUCUUUGAACUCUCAGAGUAACUCAAUGAGGUCAUAUUUUGUCUUUGCGGUGAUAUCAGUUCUGAUUUUCACCUCUUUUCCUUCCUCUAGGCUCACAAUUUCUAAUGAUUCCUUAUGAGGUAGGAUUUGUUUAUCCUCUUGUUCCACCAUUCUCAACAAGUCCAGAGAUACACCACAGUCUUCGUCAUUUUCAAAGUCAUGAGAUCCUUCCAAACACAUGUCUUGAUAAAAAAGAGACUCCGUGUUUGAAGCAACAUCACUCAUGUCAUUGAUAUCUGAGGACCUAUAGGGAUACACCAAAGAAAUAUACAAAGUAUAAAUUUAUGAAUAAUUAUUUGUACGAUCAGGUUAUAAAUGAAAAAAAUAUUUGGAAGAAGAUAAUUAAUCAAAUGGAAAACAUUUACUCGCUUGGAAAGAAUAAAAGAAUAAUUGCUCGAAAUGAAUGCAAAGAUGUAUUUUACUAGGAUAAAGAUAUUCAGACUUAAGCCUAUUUCACAAAGGAUUUCUUAUCAUUCUUAGGCUAAAAACAACAAUAAUGUUUUGAACAUUACUCUGAAUAAGCUCUAAAGACUACAGGUAUUUCUUCCGCAGUCCAAUUGUUUAGCUCACUCCCAGGUUCGUAAGGGCCAAUCUCCAGCAAGGACCUUCUUUUAGCUGUCUCUAUAGCAUUGAUAUAAACUUUUUCCAACAUAUCUUCAAUGUCUUCCCUUCUGGACACCCCUCACUCAGGGUAAAUAAACCCACCCGACACAAAGGAUUUAGAUAUGUGAGGGAAGGUCAAAGGCUCCCACUUGACUUCCUCUCUGCUUAAACGUGCCAUUCUUCUCUCCUGCCUUUUCUCCACUUCUCUUCUCCUUUGUUUCAUAUAUGGCUUGUAACCUAAGCCAAAACGAUCAAACUUUCCUUUCAGCACAGGUGCUUCAACCCUUCCUUGAAGGUACUUUCCCAGCCCUUUUCCUGGCGAAGCUCCUCUUCCUACCAUCAACUGCAGACCCACCUCAGUAGUCUUGGAUAUCUUCGGUACCGGGAUCUUGUUUCCUUCAGCGAUAAACGUUGCGUUCACAAAUUCCAAGGACCGGAAAGAACAUUCCACUGCCUCAUCAUUGGUCAGUACAUAAGGUGCAUCACUCGUUACCAUCGCGAUAAUAUCUUCCUCUGCAUUUAUUGUUACCAAUCGACCCUCUGAUAUUAGCUUCACCUUCUGAUGUAACGAUGAAGGCACUGCCCCUGCCGAGUGUAUCCACGGUCUCCCCAAUAAACAAUUGUAGGAAGGCUUAAUAUCCAUUACUAAAAAGUCCACCUCAUAAGUACUUGGGCCAAUUCUUAAUGGUAUUUCAAUUCUUCUUAUAACCCUUCUUUCUGUUCCAUCAAAUGCCCUUACUAUAUUCUAGUAGGGUUUCAUAUGUGAACUGUCCACAGGUAAUCGAUUAAGAGUGGACAAAGGCAAUAUGUUCAAUGCGGAUCCAUUAUCGAUCAAAACCCCCGGUAAUAUGUCCCCCUGACACCGGGUAGUAAUGUGUAGAGCUUUAGUAGAACCCCUACCUCCAGACGGUAUUUCAUCAUCAUUGAAGAAGAUAAAAUUGUCAGCACUUAUAUUGUUGACCAAGCGAUCCAAUUUAUUGACUGAGAUGUCUUCGGCCACAUAUGUUUCAUUUAGUACUUUCAUCAACGCACUUCGAUGUACUUCUGAACUUAGGAGCAAAGCUAAUACAGAAAUGUGGGCCGGUUGUUUGUCUAGUUGCUCCACAACACUGUAUUCAUUGUGUUUCAAAAACUUUAAAAACUCAUUUGCUUCUUCUUCAUUUAUUGGUUCAUUAACCAAUGGAUUAGAUUCCACCGCUUUCCCUUUCCUCUGUUCCACCGUCGGAGUCUUUUCUCUUGGCAAUUCUGCUCGAGUGUCAUAACGCUUCCCAUUACGUGUAUAAGAACCCCUUUCCUGGUAUUCUUUUACCAUAUUGCCCUUAACUUCUUUUCCUGGGAUUGUCACAUUGCAUCCGUAAUUCCACGGGACCAUUUUGUCAACCUUAUAUGUGAAACUUGACGGUUUCGUGAUUACAAUUUUUGGUGUUACCUGAGCCCUAGUCUCAUUACUCUUAGGGCGUGAGAUAAUGACUACAGGAUGAUUUAUUUUCAGGGUCCCUGUUCCCGACUCUGUCGCGCAUAUGCUCCUUCUUUCUUCCACAUCUUCAUAGAACAUCAUCUCCUUGUUAUCCAUCAUGCUUUGAACCAAAGCCCUGAAUCCUUUACAUUCUUGGAUUUCGUGCCCUGUUUUAUGGUGGAAUUCACAAUAAUUUCCUAUCUCAUACCCCUCCUCCAAAUCUGAAAUAACUAACCCUCUUUUUGUCAUCUUUUUCCAUACUCGCUUCAAUGGAGUUCUUAGUUCAGCGAUGUCAGUCUUAACUUCUUCCCCCGUAGGUUCGCUCAACAUAUUCACUCCCUUAUCAUCACGAUUAGGCAAUGGACCUUCUGUGCUGGGUGAGUCAUCAAAUUUGACAAUACCCAAUUUUAUAAGUCCUUCUACAACCUUCUUGAAAGCGGUACAAUUUUCUAUUGAGUGUUCUGAAAUCCCUGCAUGGUAGUCACAUUAUUCGUUCGUGUCAUACCAUUUUGGAUACGGGGGUUGUAGAGGAUUCAAGUAACGAGGAGCAACAACAUGUGCAUUAAAUAACUUCUGAUACAGCUCUUUAUAUGUCAUUGGAAUGGGAGUGAACUGAGGCUUCUUAGUAUUUUUCCUCAUUCCCGAUUAUUGUUUCGAUGAGCCUUGUUGAUUAGCAACCAUCUUCCCUGGUUGAUUCACUGUAAUUGAUUUACUGUAUGCAUUCACAUUGUUUGCUUCACCUUCUUUUUUCUUUGAAGCUGACCUUCGAUUAUUCUCCCCACCAUCUCUUUUUCCACUUUUAAUAGCAUGUUCAAUCAUUUCGCCAUUCAUGAUUAUAUCUGCGAAACUCUUUGAGACACUUCCUAACAUGUGCGUGAUAAACGGCGCCUUCAAAGUGUUGAUGAAAAGCAUCAUCAUUUUUUUUCCAAAAGUGGUGGCUGAACUUGAAUUGCAAUCUCUGUCCACCUCUGUGCAUACUGUCUAAAACUUUCAUUUGAUUUCUUUUCCAAGUUCUGCAAAGUAAUUCUGUCAGGAAUUAUUUCAGAUACAUGACUGUACUGUCUCAUAAAAGCCUGCGCCAAAUCCCUCCAAGUGCUGACUUUGGCCUGGCUCAACUAGUUAUACCAUUUAGACGCCGCCCCAAUGAGGCUAUCCUAAAAACAAUGUAUUAACAGCUUAUCAUUGUUAAUGUACCCAGUCAUUCUCCUACAGAACAUUGUAAUAUGGGCUUCAGGGCAACUGGUCCAACUAUACUUCUCAAAUUCUGGCAUCUUAAACUUGUAAGGAAGUACCAAAUCCGAAACCAGACUCAGAUCUUUUGCAUCUAUUCCAUGAUAACUUUCAAUGUUUUCUAUCGCCUUAAACUUCUCUUCAAUCCAUUUCUAUUUCUCCUCAAACUGUUUUGAUAAUUCUUCCUUUUCUUUAUCCUUCUCAGCUACUUCAUCGAAGUCCGGGACAGCAAGAUUAACUGGGUUUUCACUGGGGUUAGAACCUGAUCCAGCGUGGGAGUUCAUCGGUAUUGGAGUAUCAGCUUGAAACCGCUGAGGCAUUAUUGAAACAGAGGAUCUACGUGGUUGCACCUCAGUCUGAACCUGCGCAUGCAGAGGCGUAAAGCCUGGAGGAUAGGUGGGUCCAGUCUUGUCUUCUUCUUCACCAUUGAUCAUAGGGAAUUUCCCCUUAUUUAAUCCUUUUAAUAAUUGCGUCAGCUCAGUCAUCAUGUCCUUUUGAGACUCCAGCAUCUUUUCUGUCAUGUCCUGUUGAAUUUUUUCCAAUUGUUCAUUCAUUUGUAUCUGUAACUGAUCUUGCAUUUCCUUUUGAAGUCACUCCAACUUUUCCAAUCGUUGGUCCAUAAUUUUUUAUUUUGCACGGGUACCGUAGCGGUGUUUGGUUGAUGAGUUUUUUCUAGUUUCCAGAUUAACUGAAGCACAAUUUUAACCAAUUAAAACCCCUUUUUAAUAAUCUUGAAUGCAUAUGAUGACAUGCAAUGCAGAUGCAUGAAAUGAAUGCAAAAAAGAGCGUCAAUUCUGAUUCAAUUUAUUCUUAGAAAACUUUAUUGAUAAACAAAAUUCUUUACAUAAAAUAAACUACAGACAUUGUUUUGCCCUAAUGCUCAGAGCUCUAACUUCUUUCAACAAUGAAGCUAACUCCUGACCCUGGUCCGAUUCUAGUUCAUACUUAACACUUAAAACAUCAGCCUGAAUUGCCAUUGUUUGCAAAUGAUCAGCUACCUCCCGAACUUGAGCAAUAGCUCUGCCCAUAAUGUAAUCCUUGUUCUGAAUUUGAUUCUGUGAAUGAUGAAGUUGCUCCCUCCAACGCUCUUCGUUUCCUUCAAAGGAUUUGAUCCGUUGUCUACAGCCUUGUAAUGUGUACUCCAAUUCUUCUAUCCUCUUUUUCAAUUAUUCAAUCUUGCAAAGACUUGUCUUUAAUUCCACUAUAGAAUUACGACUUCUAUACGUAGCAAGUGAUCUCUCGAGUUCGCUAUUCUAGGCUUUCAAGUCCGCUUGAUAAGUUUGAGUUUCUAACACCUACCGCUCUAAUGUCUCUUUCUGAAUUGAGUCUCCCAGGACUUUCUUUCCCACCGAUCGGCUUUACUUCUUUUUUCCUAGAUCUCAUGUCGCCACUGCUCUGAAGUCUUUCCCGGCCCGACAGUUCUCAUUGAUACUCAUAACCUCCUGUAGUCUGUCUUUAAGCUAUCGAGAUCCUCCUCUACUUUAUUUUUCCCCUUCUUUAAUUUUUCAGCUUCUAAUUUUUGGACGUCGACGUCUAGCCUCAAAUGCAUCUUCUCUUCUUCCAACUGCUCUAUUUUCUUUUCAAGUUCUAAAUUCCUCUUUUCAAAAUCUUGUUUUAUAAUCUCCAACUCUGAUGGGAUCACUUGUAGAUACUCUUCCAUUGGUCGAACACUCUUCAAUUUUAACUCUGGGAUGUUAUCAUUAAUCCUUUUACGUCGCCACUCACCGUACUCUGGAGUUGUCAUCGAACCUACAGCUAGCCUUUUCAUCCUGUGAACCUGAUUCCAAGUCUGAGAAAUUUCCUUCACCUUUUUCUUGUAAUUGUCUCCUCGGUACGAGAACUCACAUUGAGCUAAACCAUACGUUGCCGGCACAAACUAUCUUGAAUUGUAUUACCUGAGGACCAGCAAAGGUUCAUAUCCAACGGCUCCCCAAAUCCCAAGCAACGGAACCCAGUCAAAGCUUCCACAACGGUAGAGAAUUCCAUCAGGAAUCAACCAAGGAGCUCUCCAUUCCAUAUCAUCCUCUUGAAGAUUUUACAGAAUUGCUAUCCAAUUUUCUUCUGCUAUAUCGUCCCUUUUGGGGGUAGCCACUAUCUCCUUUAACGGGGAGUAAUGCUCAGAGAAAACCCGAUACGAAACUUUGUCAACCUUCUAGAAAUGACUAUGGACCAAGCUAUCAACAGUUGCGCACAACCUAUAAAUCUGCCUUCACCAGCUCGCCUACACGCUUUCAAAGAUCUAAAUGUUUCAGCCAAAAUCGUAGGAACAGGUGUGAGCCCUUUACCCAACCGAUCAAAAAGAUCUGAAACAGCUUCGUCAACAUGCCCCAGUGCCCUCGGGAAAAUCACUAAUCCGUAGAUACUCAAAGCAAACACAUCAACCUUCUUUUUUCCAUCAGGAUGUGCUAGGAUCAAGUCUCGCAAAUUCCUCCAUGGAAUACAUUUACACUCGCCCUUCUGUUUAAUCCUGGCCGUGAUCCAUUGUUCACUUAUUCCCGUAAUACUCAUUAAUUUUUUCCAAAAUGCUGGGACAUAUGCGGCUUUGGAAUAUGCUUUAUCAACCUGAAGCCUAGGGCAGUGCAGUAAAGCUGUAUAUUCCUCUACUGUAAGCACCAAAUCUACAUUCCCAAAAGUAAAACAGCUAUAUGCAGGAUUCCAAUAUUGAGCGAGAGCACGAAACAGUCGUUCAUCCACCUUGAUGUUAAGUAAGUACGGCAAGUCCCCACAAUUAGAGAAGAACAACUGCUUGGUUUCAUCAUCCCACUGAUCCCAAAUCUCACUUAACUCUUGAAGGCUAUUUUGUGUCACACUAAUACGAGUGUAGUCCCAAAGCUCUGAUACAUAAUCCUUAGCUAGAUUGUCUCCCUUUUCCAAUUGCACUUUCUCUGACCAUAUACGGACAAUGGCAUUGUCUUCCACUUUAUCAAGAAAAUCGUUUGCCAUGAAAAUUUUCUAAUUUGGUAACUGACCUUGAAUCGACACUCUUUGAAAUAUGCAAUGACAUUCAACAUAUCAACAAAACACAAACAAGUCAGUAUAACACCACAACAAUUCAAAGUAAGUAUAAGAAAACCAAGCACCUAUCCUGGUAAUCGCUAGAGGUUGGAAUAAUUCUAACCAGGUUGGUCUCUUAAGUCAGCUAUAUGAGGUUUGGUUCUAGAGUCAAGGUACCUGAACUAGCAAAUUCCUCAAUCUUCACCCAUUAUAGGCUCAUAUAGAACGAGUUCGGUUCAGGGGAAUACAUUUCCCUAUGGCUGUACGAAGAUGAAGAUCUCACGAAGACAUAGGUACGGAUGUAUCCCGAAAGUGAUCCACUAUCCUGCACGGAGGUGAAAACCUCACGAAGGAGUAGCUUCUCACUCCCUCUUAGAGGGGUAAGACAAAAAUAGCCUUCAUGCAAUAUGAUGACAAAAUAUAAAAUUCAAUUUACAGUAAUCAUGUAAACAAAUGCAAAGAGAAGAUCGUAGUUUUUCAAAUCAAAUUUUUAAUUUUCGACAAUAAGACAAAAACAAUCAAUUUUACGGCCUGACUCUCUUAUUUUGGUGUCCCCAGUGGAGUCGCCAAGCUGUCGAAACCAUUUUUAAAUUUGAAAAAAUGGGUAUCGAUUUCAAAAAAUGGAAAUGGGAGUCGCCACCGAUCUUUUAAUGAGGUAUCUUGAAAAUAAUUUUAGGUCUACAAACUUUGAGAAAAUAGGUUCGUGAGCCGGUUACGCACGAGGAAGGGUUAGCACCCUCGUGACGCCCAAAAUUGGUACCGAAUCAAUUGUUUAAUGUCUUAGUGUCGAGAAUUUGAAAAGAAUUUAGAAUAUGAUCCUUUGAAAAGAAAAUUUUAAUAAUCGAAUUGGAAAAUAAGACUUACCCACUUUAAAGAAAUAAAUCGUCACACUCAGUGAGUUAGAGCGCAACGAUUCAAUCUUCGAAGUUAGAUUCGUCCUUUUUAAAAUUUAAAAAUUCAUACAUUUUGAGAAGGAUAUUUGGUUAUUUAGAUCAAUCGAGAAAUCAAAACCCAGUAAGUUAGGGUUCAAUUUUCCUAAAAUUCCUAAACACCAAAUAUUACCUUUAUUUUAAAAACGAGAUAACAAAAUGCCAUAUCCAGUAAGUUAGGAUCCAACAAUUUUGAAAUCUAAAGAAUUUUAUUUUAAAAAUGUACAUCUUAAAAAUAGAUGCUUGAUGAUAUAAAUUCAUCGAGAAGAAUUGAAGCCCAGUAAGUUAGGGCACAAUUCUCUCGAGAAUUAUUUAACACCAAGCCUUUUUUUGGAUUUUGAAAUGAAACGAUUAUAAUAUCUUAAUGAAAUGAAAUUCUUACAAAUAAUAUGAUUGAUUAACAAUAUACAAAGCAAAUGAUGAAUAACAAAUUAAUUCUACAAUUUGGAGCACCCAAACGUAUAAUGUAUUAACAAUGAUAAUCAAAUAAACUAAUAAUCCAUCUUACAAAUAGCCAAAUGAAUAAUUAAUACAAAAAUAAUUUAAUCACAAGUAAACCAACCAAAAUAAUCUAAAUGAAUAAAAAUUUUAAAACAUAGAAUAAAAUUUUAUAAGUUACAAAUUAUAAUAAAUUUUAUACGCAUAUAUAUGUAUAUUAAAAUAAUGAAAAAAAUGAAUAAAUAAAAAUUACUCCAUUUGAAAGAAUUUGAAGGCAAAAUUAAAUGCAUAAACAUUUUUAAAAUCAAGAACUAUGACCAACAAAUUUUAAAUCCAAUCUUCAACAAAAUUAAAAUAUUAGUAAAUAAAAUAAAAUACAAUAGAAAAUACAAUAGACUUAAAAUAUUAAUAUAUAAUGCAUUUAAAACACAAAAUACAUUUCGUACUAAAAUAUGAUUAAUUUAAACGCUAUUGAAAAUAAAUAUAGUAUUAAGUUUUAAGAUGAAAAUAUGAUCAAUUUGUAUUUAAAAUAUUAUUGAAUUUAAAAAAACCUAAUUCGUACUAAAAUGAAAUCCAUUUCGACUUUGAAGGACUCAAUCAGUAAUUAUACGCAAACAUCAGGGUAAUUCGAAUCAAUUCACAGAAAUGGCACCGUUUGAUUUGGAUCUGAAUGAAAACAGAAGAAAAUAUGAAGUACAAAUUACAAACAGAUAAAAAUAUCGAAUUGCGACUCCAUAAGCACGCAAGGACCCAUCGAACAAAUAGACCAUGUGGCCCUAACACACGGAUCCUUCCCUAGAUCGGGUCACCGCUCGGGUUCGGCCUCUCAGAACGUUGUCGUUUCAAAGCCAUUACGUUGGCUCUAUCCGGCGACAUUUCAAAACCGAGAUUUAAAGGCUUAAACCUAAAGAUCUCAUUACUUCCAAAACCUAAAGAGAAACUAACAGUUCCUGCGCCGCUCGAUAUACCACACCCUUGAGCAGUCUCCGAUCCUGGCCUAUGCUCCGACGAUGAUAGAGAGAGCUAAGAUCACAUUGCGAGGAGGCUAAGUAUGGACUUUAAGCCUCAAAAAUCCUUUUUAAGGCAUAUCGACAACCUUCGGCUAGAUGAGUUUAGUGGCUCAUGGUUGUGGUGGAAAAGAAAAUAAAGAUAAUAAAAAUAGAGAUUUUAUUGAAAGGAAAUGUGAGAAGAACGAAAGCCUAGACUUUUGGGGAGAGAGUGUUUACAGAAAAAAGAUGGGAUCCCUUUUGAGUUACUUCACCCCCUAUUUAUAGUGCUAGGGGAGAUAGUCUAAUCCUACUUAAACUCCCAAAAGAUAAAUACAUUUAAUUUAAGAUAAAUAAAAUAAAACACUAAAAUUAGAUAAUACUUAAAAAUCAUCUUAAUAUUAAUUAUCCUAAUAUAAUUAAAAUAGAGUUUGAUAGAAUAAAAUCUCUUCUUUUUUCAUUUCAACCCUUGUAUCCUCCAUGCUUGCACUUUUGGCACCAACUUUUCUUUGUGUCACACAUUGGCCCAUUUUAUCUCUAAAUUUACACUUUUGGCCAUUGAUUUUACUUUUUCCUCAAAUUUAGUCCCUAUGAGAUAAAAGAUCAUAAAUAGCUCAAAUUAGCAGGAUCAUACUAAGACUAAAUACAUAAUUCAUACAUAAAAAUAAGUUAUCCUAGAGUGUUAUGAACAAUCAUGAAGGAAAAUUGUUAAGACUAGCAUAAAGAAAUUACCCUUAACAUCCUAAUGAAACCAUGCAUGUAUAUAUUGUCCCAAGCAACCUCCAUCAUAAACAACCAGUUUUCUUCUCCGUUGAUGUUCUCUAACCUUAUUGUCGAAACCAAUUUUUUGUAAUAAAAAGGGUCGACUUUUAUUUUGUAAAUAAAAACAAUGAAAUGGGAGUUGCCACCGAUAUUUUUUUUGUGUGAUCGGAUCACCUUGCAAUUCAAUCAUUUAAAUCAAAUGUUUUGAUUUUACUAAAACAAUGAUUUUGGUCUACAAAAUUCGAGAAAAAUAGGUUCGGGAGUCGAUUACGUGCGAGGAAGGAUUAGCACCCUCGUCACGCCCAAAAUUGUUACCUAAUUAAUUAAUUAAUGUCUUAAUGUCGAAAGUUAAAAAUUUUGAUAAGACUUAAAACAUGAUCCUUUUGUUAAAAUUACCUAAAAGAAUUUAGAAUGGGCGUAUUUCAAAUCAAUCAAGAAAAAGAAUUAUACCUCGUGAGUUAGGAUAUAAUCUUAAAUCCUGAAACGAGAAUAAAUAUUAAAAAAUUUAUUUAUUUUUAGAAAUUUUUGAUUAUCUCGAUUUUAAAAAAAAUUAUAUUCCGUUAGUUGGAAAACGAUCUUUUUUAAUUCCCGAGAUAAUUUUGAAAAUGUAUUUUUUAAAAAUGGUUCGUAUAUUUGGAUUCAUCGAAAAAAUCGAAACCCCGUAAGUUAGGGAACAAAUUUUCGAGUUCCAAAAUAGGAAAUAUUGCUUAUUUUUAAAAGUCUUCAUUUUUUAAUUUGAGUGAAAAUUAAUGUAAUAUUUAAAAUGAUAUACGAAUAAAAUAUUAAGCUGACGAAUGACUACAAUGCGAGUGCAUUAAUAAACAAAUCGUAGCAUAUAUAAUGAUAAUGAUCACAUAACAUACAUCACUUUAAUACUAAUAUUUAAAAUCAAAGAAAAAUAAAAUCAAUAAUAAUAACAAUGAAUAAUCACAGUAAUAACAAUAGUAAAAUAAACACAUAACAAGACAAUAUCAAAUUUAAUAGAACAAAGGAAUUAACAAAUAAAUACACAAAUAAGUAUUGAGGAAAAUAAUUUAUGAAAUAUUAAAAGGACAAUUAAAAUGGGUGAAAUUAAGGUUGUAGGAAUAAUAAUAAUGAUGAUGAUGAUGAUGAUGAUGAUGAUGAUAAUCAAAAAAACAAACCGAUAAUAAUAAAAUAAAAAAAUAAGAAUAAAAAAAAUAAACUUUAAAAGGAUAAACUUAAAUAAAUAAAGGAUUUAAUUGAAAUUAAACCAAAUUUAAAAGAUGAAUUAAGGAAAAAAAAUAAACAAAGGACCUAAUUGAAACGCGCGAAUAACUCAGAGGGACCAACUGGGGAAAUAUCCCCGCCCUCUGAAACGCACUGUUCUGCUAGGACCAAAUCAAAACUAAACUAAAAUUUGAAGUAUAAAUUAAAAGACUGGAUUUAAACAAUUAAAAAAUGCGGAAGGAUUUUACGCGCAAAUAGUCCCUUCCACCAAAACACGUGGACCUCAUUGCGGGGUGGAUCAAAAUCGAGUCUCAAAGUCUUAUACGGCGCCAUUUUAAGGCCACUAAAACAGGCCCUAAACGACACCGUUUGGUUAUUCUAUAAAAGUAAGAAUUUUUUUAAAAAAAAUCAAUCUAUCAUAUUUUCUAAAAAAAAAAUCUUCCCCCACCUUUUUCUAUCAACUCUCUUGAAUUUGGCCGUGGCUCCAGCGCCGGACCACCAUGGCAGUCGUCGGUCGGUGGCGACAAUGCCGCCGUCCACGGUGGCCAAAAAAUCUAAAGAAACCUAUUUUUUGGGGCUUUUCGAUUCGCCAAACCAAAAACGAUGAUUUUCAUCGGAAUCGACGGACCUCUUCCCUCGGCGGAGCAAAAAUGCGAACAAAAAGGUAAGUUUUUUUUAUUCUCUUACCUUUUUAAAAAAAUGAAAUCAGACAAAAAUAUAAUGAAAAAAAGAAGAAUUUGGGGCUACCUUUGCGAAAAAAGUCACUGUUUCUUUGAUUUUUUUUUGUAUUCGUAUUGUGUAAAAAAAAAAGUCCAUACAUCACUAUUUUUAGGGCUUUUUAUAGCCAAGAAUACAAUUGUUAUUUUCUUUUUUUUUUGUUUUUCUACUUCUAUGUGUUGUUUGUUUUGCAGGUACGGAGCUGUGUACAGAAGUGGUCGUACGGAGGCACGCGUGCCUGAUGUGCGGUGGCUGAAGGUUUAGGGGGCUAGGGUUUUUUUUUGUUUUCUAAAAAUGCAGUUGGUCGAGUUUGUAUUGGGAUAGGGCAAAUUAGUUUUGGGUUUAUUGUAAUUGGGCCUACUUUUGGACUUGAUGUAAUAGGUUUUUGUUAUUAUUUAUUAUGUUUGGUUUAUUUGCUUAGUGGGCCAGGCAAAUCGGGCCUGUUACAGUUGCCCCUCUUUGCUCGUUGCCGUGUAACGAAAAUGGAGCAAAGACUUUUGAAAAGGGCCCAUUUUGCCUGGCCUCACCGAACCUUGACCUCUUGGGGCUCGUCUUCUUUAAGUAGCCUCUUCCUAACUCACUACAACUUCGGGGAGAUAAGAUUCACUACCUUCAAUCUUCUCCACUGUAACUUUAGGGAGAUAAGACUUGUGACUUCAAUCUACCCCAUUGCAGUUUUAAGGAGAUAAGGUUUGCUAUGAUCUGCUCUACUGCAACUUCAAAGAGAUAAGAUCUGUAAUUUAGCUUAAAUCUAUACCACUGCAACUUCAAGGAAAUGAGAUAUGCUAUCUUCAAUCUGCUCCACUGCAAGUUCAGGAAGAUACGACUUGUAUCUUCAAUCUGACCCACUGCAACUUCAGGGGGAUAAGAUUUGCUAUCUUCAGUCUACUCUACUACAACUUUAGAGAGAUAUGACUUGUAAUUACAAUCUGCCCUACUGCAACUUCAGAGGGAUAAGAUUCGCUAUGAUCUGCUCUACUGCAACUUUAGAGAGAUAAGAUCCGCUAUGAUCUGCUCUACGACAACUUCAGAUAGAUAAGAUCUGUGAUUUAUAGCUUUAAUCUGUUCCACUGUAACUUCAAGGAAAUAAGAUUUGCUAUCUUCAGUCUGCUCCACUGCAUCUUCAGGGAGAUAAGACUUGUAACUUCAACCUGUUCCAUUGCAACUUCAGGGAGAUAAGGUUUGCUAUGAUCUGCUCUACUGAAACUUCAGAGAGAUAAAAUCUACAAUUUAUAUCUUUAAUCUGCUCCAGUGCAACUUUAGGAAAAUAAGAUUUGCUAUCUUCAGUCUUCUUUACUGCAACUUCAGGGAGAUAAGACUUAUAACUUCAACUUGUCCCAUUGCAACUUCAGGGAGAUAAGGUUUAUAGCUUUAAUCUACUCUACUACAACUUCAGAGAGAUAAGAUUUGCUAUCUUCAGUCUGCUCCACUGUAAUUUCAAGGAGAUAAGACUAGUGGCUUCAAUCUGCUCCACUGCAACUUUAGGGAGAUAAGAUUCACCAUGAUGACUUCAAUCCAUCCCACUGCAACUUUAGGGGUAUAGGAUUUGUGGUUUUAUCGAUCUGUUCUUUGGGGAACAUAAACUAUAGAAUCCAUUUCAUGGGCCAAUUUAUGCCAAGUGAUUAGGAUGUCAUGAUCAGAUUGAAUCAAACGCUCCUAACUGAAUGAUAUUUGCAUGAAUAUAGAAUGCCAUUUUUUUAAAAAAUGAUUCCCUUUUAAUGCUUGGGUUAACAUUGCUCAUUGUUCAUCAAAGUUCUGACGCAUUACCCUACCUUCUAGCUUAACUAGUAACUUUGAUAGAAAACUUGAAGAAAUAGCCAUAAUUCAGACUAUUCUUUCUCAAAUGUUCCCAACCCUUAAGUUUGGUUUGUUCUAAAUAAUAGUUCUGUCUCAGGUACUUGUACAAUUUAGAAGCUUUCGGAGUAAAAUGCAGAACUCUUUUUGAGUAAAUAUUAUCAGUCCAUCAAUCGUUAUUUCAAUAAAAAAAUGCUUGAAAAAAGAUUAUCACAAUGGACAAGAUGAAAUUUUAUUGAGAGUAAAGCUUGAAAUGAAUAAAUUAAUCAAGAUAUUAGAUUUUGCUAAGAUACAAAAUGAAUAAGAUGAAGAUAGGUGCCCUAGAUAUCGUAGUAUGAACUUCUCUGUACAAAAACUUCUCGAGGACCCUUUGAACUUGAUACGUGUUUAGAAGUCCUAGAAGGCUUUAUUGAUGCCCCAAAAUGUAGCAUCCUUCCUUCUUGCUAAUUCAGAGAGGAUAAGACUACCACAUGCCCCACCUUUGAUCAAAAAUUUGAAUUGCUCAUUCCUGGGUUUUCAACUCAAAACCCAUUUGGUCUCAAGGUGCCCUUUGUGGGUUUUCCAUUGGCCUCUCCUUUUUCUUUUUCUUUUUAUUCUGUUUUUUUUAAAUAUUUUUUAUUGAAUCUAAACUCAUAUGAUUAGGCAUGUCCUUGUUAUCCCUCCCUGUCAAAAUUAAUGUUUUUUCAGAUAAGGCCUUUCACAUAAGGUCUUUCCCAGUUUGACAUCCACUUUCUUCUGAAGUCUUUUUGUAUGGGAAGGAUCUUCUUCGAUACUAGGUCCCCCUCAUGGAAUUCUCUGAGGUGAACCUUUUUUGGUGAGCUAGCAUCAUUUCUUUUUGGUGCAUUUGACCAUGAUGGAUAACUUGGAACCUUUCUCUUCAAUCGGGAUUGGAUCCAAAAACUCAGAGAGAAGGAAUCUCGACUUUAAUAGGUAAAAUUGCAAUAAGCUAAAGAGAAAGGCGUUGCCCCGGUAAAGUUUUUUUUGUUUUUGUUUUUAUUUUUUUUGUUGCCUCCACUGUACCAUUCACUUUGGGGCGAUAUGGUGUUUGUCUUGACCAGAUUGCAAACUUCUAAUAUCGUACUGCUGUUCAAAUUUAUUGCAUUUUCAGAUAUGAUCUUUUUUGGCAUUCCAUACCGACAUAUGAUUUCUUUUUUCGAGAAUUUGCUGAUUGGCAUAUGAAGCAGCUUCCACCCAUUUAGUGAAGUAAUCGACAACCACAAAGAUAAAUCGAUGACCGCCAGAAGCUUUUGGCGAGAUCGGUCUAAUGACAUCCGUGCCCCACACAGAGAAAGGCCAUAGAUUCCUUUAAUUCUUUGUAAGGUAGUAUCUAUUUCUUAUCUUGCUCUACUAUCCUUAGCAAAUCAGGAGAUAAGCUACAGUCUCGGUCAUCUUUAAAGUCCUGAGGUUCGUCUGGACACAUAUCUUGCUCAAAAAGAGGUUCUGAGUCAAUAUCAGUGUCGCUCGUAUCAUUGAUAUAUAGAGACCUAUUAUUGGGACGAAGGAAGAUCCAAAGAACAAAAGAAUCUAAGAAUAUUUAUCUGUAUAGUAUGAUUAUGAAUGAAAUGGAAACAAUAAAAAAGUAUUUGCUCGAAGUGAGAAACAAAGAUGCAUUUUAUUGAAAUAAAGAUGUUGGACAUAAGCCUAUCUCAUGAAAGGAUUAUUAUUGCUCCUAGGCUUAGAGCAAUAAGUGUGUUUUGGACAUUACUCUGAAUUAGUUUUAAAAAUACAGGGAUCUUUUCCACAAUCCUAUUUUUCAAAACACUCUCAGAUGUGUAAGGGCAAAUGUCUAAUAAAUUAUUGUCCCCGGCUCCUUCUUUGGGUACAGCGUUAAUGUUCGAAUUCCCCAACAUUCCUUUCGGGCCUUUGACCUCUUCAAGGAAUUCCAAUUCUUUAUUAUCCAUUAGGCUCUGCACCAAAGAUUUGAAUUCAACGCACUCCUGGAUUUUAUGACCUUCUUCAUUGUGGAACUCAUGGUAGCUCCUUGUCCCUUUUGGUAUCUCCUCUAGAUUCUGAAAGAUUAACCCCAUGUCUAUCAUUUGUUUCAAAACCCAUUUCAGUGGGGUUUUUACUUCUGCAACACUGGUUUUGGUUCUCUUUCUUCUAUUCUCAAUUAUCGCAUUUACCCCCGAGUCUGGAUGACUGAGUAACAAAUUUCCUGCCACAUUAGGUCCUGAUAGAUCGUCAAACUUCACGAUGCCCAUCUAGAUAAACCUUUCCACUAACUUUUUAAAUGUAAUGUAGUUUUUAAUUGAGUGACAUGUUAUUCUCGCGUGGUAUUCGCAUUGGUUAUUCGCAUCAUACCAUUUUGGGAAUAGAGGUUGCACGGGUUACGAGUAGAACGAAGAUACCACAUAUGUGUCAAACAGAUUCUGAUAUAGCUCCUUAUAUGUCAUUGGGAUGGGUGUAAACUAGAGUCUUUCAAUGUUUGGCUUUGAGUUAGAUUCUUACUUUGAAGGGUCUUGAUAACUAGUGGUUAUGACCCUCAGUUUUCCUACAGUGACUGAUUUGGAAUACUCUCUACUCAAGUUAUUCACUUUAUUUCUCUUUUUCUUCAGGUCUGAUCUUUUGGUGCUUUCUCUCGCGUCUAUCUUCCCACUCCUUAUCGCGUUUUCAAUCAUAUCACCAGACAUUACUAUAUCUGAAAAGCUCAGGGUAGUGUUUCCCAGCAUAUGGUUAAUGAAUGGGAUUUUUAGAGUGUUGAUGAAAAGCAUCGUGGUUUCUUUCUCUAGAAGAGGUAGCUGGACAUGUGUCGCUACCUCUCUCCAUCUUUGGGCAUAUUGCCUGAAGCUCUCGCUUUGCUUCUUUUCCAUAUUCUGCAGUGUAAUUCUGUCAGGUUUCAUGUUUGUUACAUGGUUGAAUUGCUUCAUGAAAGCCUGUGCCAAGUCCUUCCAAGAGUGGAUGUUGACACGGCUUAACUAGUUGUACCAUUUGGUAGCCGACCCGAUCAGACUAUCUUGGAAGCAAUGAAUUAACAAUUAAUCAUUAUUAAUGUAUCCUGUCAUUCUUUAAUAGAACAUCAUGAUGUGGGCUUUAGGACAACUAGUCUCAUUAUACUUUUCAAAUUCUAGAGUCUUGAAUUUUCGUGGAAGUACUAGAUCUGGGACCAAGCUCAGAUCCUUGGCGUCAACCCCGCAUAGUAAUCAGCAUUUUUCAUUGCUCUGAGUUUUUCUUCUAACCACCUAUAUCGAUCUUCGAGUUGUUUUGGCAGUUCAAUCUUUGCCUUUUCUAUUUUUGUCAUUUUGUCUAGGUCAGGAACUACAGGAUUGGUUGGAUUAUCCCUUGGAUUGGAACUUGAGCCUGUCGGGUAUUUCAUUGGUGCCGAGGUAUCAGUCUGAUAUUGUUGGGCUCUGAUAGUAAUGGGUACCCUUGGUGGAUGCGUGUCUGGUUAGACCUGAACACUUCUUGGGGGUAAAACUUAGGGGUAGGUAGGGUAUUCACUAUCAUCCCCAGAGUUGACCGCUGGGCUUUUCCCUUUUUUCAAGCCCUUUGGCUAGUAACUGCGUUAAUUGGUUCAUCAUACUUCUUUCGGAUUUCAGUAUCUGAUCCCUCAUCUCUUGUUGUACUUUGGCUAACUGUCCUUGCAAUUGCACUUGCAACUGAUCCUACAUAUCUUUUUGCAUUUGUUAUAAUCUUUCUAAUUUUUGAUCCAUUGAUUGGGUUUUGCGGCGAGUACCGUAGCAAUAUUUAGUUGGUGGAUUUUUGUUAGUUUCCAGGGUAACUGUAACAAUUUCGAUUAAUUAGGGUCCUUUUGUGAAAUUCAAUGCAUGCAAUAUAAUGUAAUACAAAUGAAUGGAAUGAAUGCAAAAAGAGACACUGAUUCUGAUUCAAUUCUGUUAGAACAAUUUUACUAGAAAACAAAUCUCUUUAGAUAAAGUGGAUACAUAUAAGGCUUUGCCCUCAUACUUCCGAAGAAGACAUCGAUCCUUUUCUUCAUCUGGAUGUUAAGAUAAAUCUCACGAAUUUUUCAAUGGAUGCCUCUACUAGCUCUUUUUUGCUUGAUCCGAGCCACGACUCAUUUCUCACUCAUCCUCGUAAUGCUCGUUAGCUUCUUUAAAAAAGGUCAGGACAUUGACAACUCUCGAAUAAUCUUUUUCAACUUGAAUCCACGGGCAACGAAGCAAAGUCGUGUACUCCUCCAUUAGACUAUCACCUUUCUUUUGUUGUGUUUUAUCGGAACAUAUUCGGACAGUUGUAUUAUCUUCCACUUUAUCAAGAAAUCUACUUUCUAUGACAAGCUCUCUAUUUAGCAACUGAAAAUGAAUCAACACCUCUUUUCUAUGAUGAAAAUGCAAUGCAAACAUAACCAAAACAAAACGAAACAGGUUAGUUCAAAGCAAAAGCAAGCAAGAAAAAAUAAAUAGAGCACCUAUUCAGGUGACCACUAGUGGUUCGGUGUAACUCUACCUAGGGUAGGCUCUUAUGGUUCACUAUAUGUGGUUUUGUUCUAAAGAAAGUGUACCUGAACCGGUAGAUUCCUCGAUCCUCACCCAUUAUAGGCUCAUACGGACCAAGUUCAAUUCAGGGGAAUACAUUUCCCUAUGACUAUAUGGAGAUGAAAAUCUCACGAAGACAUAGGUACAGAUGUAUCCUUAAAGCAAUCCACUCUCCUAUACAGAGGUGAAAACCUCACGAAAGAAUAAUUUCUCACUCCCACUUAAAAGGGGAUAACCGGACGGUUAUGUAAAUGCAACAUACAAAAAUAUAUUGAGAGACUUUAACAAAUAAAGCCAACAAAAUGUCACAGACUAUGAAAAUGAAAUGCAACAAAAGGAUCGUAACUUUAAACCAAAUUAUCAACUUUCGACAAAAAGGCAAGAAAUAAUCAACUCGUGGCUUAACUCUCUUCUUUUCGGUCACCAGUGGAGUCGCCAAGCUAUCGAAACCAGUUUUUUUUAAUAAAAGGGGUCGACUUUUAUGUUUAAAAUAAAAACAAAGAAAUGGGAGUCGCCACCGAUAUUUUCUUUUAGGUGUGAUUAGAUCACAUUGCAAUUCAAUCAUUUAAAUAAAAUGUUUCGAUUUUACUAAAACAAUGAUUUUGGUCUACGAAAUUUGAGAAAAAUGAAUUUGAGAGUCGAUUACGUGCGAGGAAGGAUUAGCACCCUCGUCACGUCCAAAAUUGGUACCUAAUUGAUUAAUUAAUGUCUUAGUAUCGAUAGUUGAAAAUUUUGAUGAGACUUAAAACAUGAUCCUUUUGUUAAAAUUACCUAAAAGAAUUUAAAAUGGGCUUAUUUCACGUCAAUCGAGAAAAAGAAUUAUACCCCGUGAGUUAGGAUAUAAUCUUAAAUCCUGAAAUGAGAAUAAACACUGAAAAUUUUAUUUAUUUUUAGAAAUUUUUUAUUUUCUCAGUUUUUAAAAAAAAGUAUAUUUCGUAAGUUGGAAAACGAUCUUUUUUAAUUCCCGAGAUAAUUUUGAAAAUGUAUUUUUGAAAAAUGGUUCGUAUAUUUGGAUUCAUCAAAAAAAAUCGAAACCCCGUAAGUUAAGGAACGACUUUUUGAAUUCCAAAAUAGGAAAUAUUGCUUAUUUUUAAAAGUCUUCCUUUUUAAAUUUGGGUGAAAAUUAAUGUAAUACUUAAAAUGAUAUACAAAUAAAAUAUUAAGCUGACGAAUGACUACAAUGCGAGUGUAUUAAUAAACAAAUCGUACCAUAUAUAAUGAUAAUGAUCACAUAACAUACAUCACUUUAAUUCUAAUAUUUACAAUCAAAGAAAAAUAAAAUCAAUAAUAAUAACAAUGAAUAAUAACAGUAAUAACAAUAAUAAAAUAAACACAUAACAAGACAAUAUCAAAUUUAAAAGAACAAGAGAAUUAAUAAAUAAAUACACAAAUAAGUAUUGAGGAAAAUAAUUUAUGAAAUGCUAAAAGUACAAUUAAAAUGGGUGAAAUUAAGAUUGUAGGGAUCAUAAUAAUAAUGAUGAUGAUGAUGAUGAUGAUGAUGAUAAUGGUAAUAAUUAAAAAAAACCGAUAAUAAUGAAAUACAAAAAAUAAAAAUAAAAAAUAAACUUGACAACACUCUAGAAUAACGUAUUUUUAUGUAUUUAUUCUGCGUAUGGUCCUACAAAUUUGAGCUAUUUAUGAUCUUUUAUCUCAUAGGGACUAAAUUUGAGGCAAAAGCAAAAUUAAGGGCCAAAAGCAUGAAUUUAGAGAUAAAAUGGGCCAAUGUGUGACACAUUUAAAAGUUGGUGCCAAAAGUGCAAGCAUGGAGGAAAUAAGGGUUGAAAUGCAAAAAGAAGAGAUUUUAUUCUAUCAGACUCUAUUUUAAUUAUAUUAGGAUAAUUAAUAUUAAGAUAAUUAUUAAGGAUUAUUUAAUUUUAGGAUUUUAUUUUAUUUAUCUUUAUUUAUCUUCAAUUAAAUGUAUUUAUAUUUUGGGAGUUUAAGUAGGAUUAGACUAUCUCCCCUAGCACUAUAAAUAGGGGGUGAAGUGACUCAAAAGGCAUUCAUCUUUUUCUGUAAACACUCUCUCCCCAAAAAUCUAGGCUUUUGUUCUUCACAUAUUUGCUUUCAAUAAAAUCUCCAUUUUUAUUUUAUUUAUUUUCUUUUCCACCACAACCAUGAGCCACUAAACCCAUCUAGCCAAAGGUUGUCGAUAUUCCCCAAAAAGGGUUCUUGAGGCUUAGAGUCCGUACUUAGCCUCCUUGCCGAGUAUUCAUCAUUUCUCAGCACUACGGGGCUGACGCUUCCGUCCAUGUCCCUUAAGAAGUAAGCUUUUCAACGUAUGCAAAGGCGGCGGCUUUGUAUGUUUUGGAAAGGUUGCACAAUCGGUUCGUCAGCUUACUGUGUCAGAGGUUGGCGAGCCCAAGAGACAAAAUAGAGUGGGAUUCGCCAAUGAGAAGCGCUGAUCUAGCAUAAGACGAACCUACAGAAGCGAUUGUUGGCUAGAGUUAGGUUCCACUAAAUUGUAAGUCUAAAUCCUUGGAGCUAGUGGUCAUAGGCGUCCUCUUCCACUAUAAUUGGCUUAUUCAGUUUAGGAAGGAUCAUUUAAAAGCCGAGGAUUGAACCCAAGGCAGAACAAGACAAUUGGAGGCUGGAACCUCCCAUAAGAAUUUCCUUUCUCUCAACUCUAUUUUUAAUUUCUCGAAUCUUUGAUUCAAUAUUCUUAAUUAUGAUUUUAUUUUAUUUUUCAUUUCCAGAUCCAAACCUUUAAUUCUAUUAUUUUCUUAUUUUUUUCCAUAAACGCAGGCUUUCUUGGGCAAGAUUCUGCCUGGGAUUUCACGGAACAAGACAUUGUGCAAAUCUAGUCCCUGAGGAUUUGACCCUACUUCCCUUUUACUAUUAUUUUUCAUUAUUUAUUAGGGAUAGGAUAUUUUUGGUGCUUUCAACGACCGCAUCAAAUUUUGGCGCGAUUGCUGGGGACUGGCAACGUACUAAUCUUGUUUUUUUGUUUCUUAUGACUAGAUCUGCUCCAGGUACUCUUGCGUUCGAUUCAAAAAUUGAGAAGACUGCUAGAGCCAAUCGUAGGGAGACAAAGUUACGGAAAAAUCAGUCAGCGGUGGUUGGAACUCAGAGUAACCCACCGCUAGAAAUCGAAGUCGACGACGAAGCUGAGUCCAGGGUUAACGAAAACCCUACUCGAACACUUGAAAGUGAAAAAGUAGAAGUCGACUCACCAAAAGAAGCUUAACGCUAGGGUAAACGAAAACCCGAAUCUAGCACACCAACCAAUGGCUCAAACGAUUCAGCUAUUGGCCGAAGCUCCGACAGAACAACCGCCAUUGUGUAUCGUGUAUCCUACUGUGGAUACCAAUUUUGUGUUGAAGUCAGGUUUAAUCCAGUUACUACCAACUUUUCGUGGGUUGCAAAAUGAAAAUCCUCACAAGCUUCUGAAAGAGUUUCUUAUGGUUUGUCUUAGCAUGAAAUCUCAGAGGGUAACUGAGGAUCAGAUUAAAUUACAUGUUUUCCCUUUCUCCGUAGCAGAUUCCGCUAAGGAAUGGUUAUUUUGUUUACCCCCUGGAUAUAUUACAACUUGGGUUGAUCUAUCUCAUUUGUUUCUGAACAGGUUUUUUCCAGUGUCUCGAGCAGCUGAGCUAAGAAGAGAGAUCGUUAGAAUAAGGCAAAAAGAAGCUGAGUCCCUUUACGAUUAUUGGGAGUGGUUUAAGAAGUUGUGUGCAAGCUACCCACAACAUGGUAUAACAGAGAAAUCUCGCAUCCAAUACUUUUACGAAGGUUUGAAGCCCAUGGAGAUGAAUAUGGUAGACGCCGCUAGUGGAGGAGCAUUGGUCAACAUGACUCCCCAACAAGCGAGAGACUUGAUCUCCAUGAUGGUUGCAAAUUCUCAGCAAUUCCGAGCCAAUAUUGAACCCCCUAGAAGGGUUCACCAGCUAAGUAAUUCAACCUUAGAGGAUAAAUUUGAUAGACCUACUAAUAUGAUGAACUCUCUUAUUGUAGAAAAAGCGAAGACAGCUCGAUUAUGCGAAAUAUGUGCUACACAUGAGCAUGCAACUGGUGCUUGUCCCAGUUUGUAUAAUGAUACCAUGGUCCAUCUAGAUACUGUGGGAAGUUUCCCUGGGCCGCCACAAAGGCGAUACGACCCCUACGCUAAUACCUACAACCCAGGGUAGAGGGACCAUCCUAACUUAAGUUAUGGGGCCAAUCCACGAAAUAACCAGCCAUACCAAAAUCGGUUUCCGCAAUAGCCGCAAGGUUCAGGUAAUUCUCUAGAAACCAUGGUCAAUAAGUUAGCAACUAAUGUUCUUGAUUUUCAACAACAAACUCUUAAUUUCCAAAAAGAGACGAAGGAUUUCCAACAGAAAACCGAGGCGUCCAUCAGAGAGUUGUUUCUCAACCUCUCAAGGGGAGCUGCAGUCACAAACAGAACUAAACCCUAGCCGAAAUGUGAAUACAAUGACAUUACGAAGCGAAAAGGUACUGAAAUCGAUUCCUGACAGGAAUCUUGCCCAAGAAAUUGCCUAGAAAAAACUCGAGAAAGACGAAUAGGUUCGACCGAAGCCUCCAUUGCCUAAAAUUCAACCUCCAUUUCCAGAACAAUUCAACCAGUGUCGAAGAGGUAAAGAGAACAAGAAAAUCCUUGAAACAUUUAGGAAUGUCGAGAUCAAUAUUCCGCUGUUGGACGUCAUCAAGAAAAUACCGCGAUAUGCUAAAUUUCUUAAAGAGCUUUGCACCAACAAGCAAAAAUUAACAGGUAAUGAAAGGGUGAAUGUUGGUGAGAAUGUAUUCGCAGUUUACAGUGGAAAAUGCCGGCAAAAUGUAAGGAUAGGGGCAUGUUUGCAAAACCAUGCAAAAUAGGCCAUCUGGGAAUUAAGAAGGCUAUGUGUGAUCUAGGGGCUUCUAUAAAUGUAAUGCCAUAUUCUAUUUAUGAAUCACUUAACGUGGGUUUUUUUACAAAAAUAGGUGUUAUCAUUCAAUUGGCAAACAAGUUUGUUGUGUAUCCAGAAGGAGUCCUUGAGGACGUUCUGGUAAAACUUAAUGAGCUUAUUUUCCUUGUAGAUUUUUAUAUGAUCAAAAUAGAAGAGGAUAACACUCCUGGAUCUUCAGAUUUCCUGCUGGGUCGACCGUUCCUUAGUACAGCUAGUACUAAAAUUGAUGUUGGAAGUGGAACUCUCACUAUGGAGUUUGAUGGGGAGAUCGUAAAGUUUAAUGUCUACAAUGCCAUUAGCCAUCCAAGCAAAAUCUUGAGCAUAAGUCGUAUCGACAUAAUUGACUCUUUAGUGGAAGAGAAUUUUGAGUCAAUUUAUGGAGAUAAUUAUGAACUUGAUAAAUUUGAAUUUGUUAAUGAGUUAUUAUCUCCAAAUACUAAACUGUUACCUUCUGUUAUAUAGGCACCAGAGUUGGAGUUAGAACCCGCAGGAAAGGCAAGGAAAUUAGACAUCCAAGAGUUAGAAGAAAUUCACAAUAAUGCCUACGAGAAUCCUCACAUUUAUAAAGACAAGACAAAGUUGUUUCACGAUAAGAGAAUAGCUCAGAAACAUUUUUCUGUAGGACAAAAAUUUUUACGUUAUAACUCUAUGUUAAAGUUAUUCCUAGGAAGCUUCGAUCACGAUGGCAAGGACCUUUUAUUGUUACUGAAGUGUUCACACAUGGAGCAAUUGAAAUAGAGAGUAAAGAAUUUGGAAAGCGAUUCGUAGUCAAUGGCCAGCGGUUAAAGCCAUUUCAUGAGAAUUUUCAAGGCCACACGGUUGAGAAAAUCCAUUUGGAACCACCAUAGAACCAAUAACGACAUCGAGCUAAUGACGUUAAACAAGUGCUUGUUAGGAGUCAACCCAAUUUUUAUUUUUAUUAUUAUUAUUUAUUUUAUUUUAUUUUAUUUUAUUUAUUUACUUUAUUUAUUACUUUAUUUUAUUUUAUUAUUUAUUACUUAUUUGGAUCUUAAUAAAUUUCUCUUCUUUUACUUAGAUAAAACAAAGCGAAAAUGCGAAGAAAAAGGAAAAGCUAGGAAAAUAGAACCAAACAGCCGUAUCCAUGGUACCAAACGGCCUCUAUUCCAGAUACUAUUCCAGCCCAGAAUGCUUGCAGCUAAACUACCGUACUCCUGCAGCCAACCACUCUUAUCCCUGCACCCAAGCACCACCCCUCAGCACAAAUUAACCCCCCAACCCUAAAAUUUUAAAUUUUUUUUUCUUUUCCCACAAAACCACCAUAGCCGCCGCUCUUCCCUCCACUAUUCUCCCUCACCAUCAAUCGCCACCACCAUGGUUUAGACCCGUAGCCACACCACCGCCGAGCCCUCCUUCACCAUGAACCCACGACGGCACUGUUUCUCUGCACCCCAGUUAUCAUAUGCAAUCGAAAGUAACAACACGGGCAGUUUUUCUAAACUUUUCUACCUAUUUAUUUCUUUUCAUCCACAUUGAGGACAAUAUGCUUUUAGUUGGGGGAGGUACUCUUCGUUAUUACUGUCAUUUUUUGCUGUGAUUUUGGUUGUUGUUACUGUGAUUAUUUUUGGCUGGUGUUGCUGCUUGAGGCUCCAUUUUGUCCAUUUUUUUUAGAAUAUCCUACCUCUUUUCAUGCCCAAGAUUUUUACCAAGAAUUGCCUACUUUUUGACCUACAAGCAUGAUUUUUGUUUUCUGAGAAAAUUACGGAUUUUCCAUAAUUGAUGCCAUCUCCACUGUUUUAUUCUUAUUAGGCUAAAAAUAAUUGUGAUUCAGAGAGUUAACUUUUUCUUGCUUUUCAUAAAAUUAAUCAAGUUUAAUACAAAGUGGACACUUAAUAUGUUUGCAUGCUAAAAUAUGUUGAUGACUAUUAAAAUAAUUACUGAAACUUAUUUUUGACACUUGAUUGUUUUUUUCUCUAAAGUCCUCAUAAAAAAAGUUAUUAUUAAAAUGUCAUUUAAUGUUUCCGUGGUUAUGAGUGCAGCUUAAAAACGUGACUGACUGAGUAACCAGUGUAGGGUGCUUGGGUUGUCAUCCUAUUUCGCUUCAAAAGGUUGUGUGACGUGUUAGGUAAAACUCCGCUAACCGGAAUUAAUUUUUAAGAACAUGUUAAGCUGAGUAACUAGGGUGAGGUGCUUGGCUGUCAUCUCUUUUCGCGUCAAAAGGUUCGAUGUGUUCUUAAGAAAAAAAUAUAAUAAAUUAAAAGUCUACUAGGUUGAAUAACCGGGGUGGGGUGCUUGGCUGUCAUCUCUCAAGGUUUAGUAUAUUCCUAAAGCAUAAAAAAUAUAAAUAAUAAAUAAAUCAAAAUCAAAAUAAAUAAAAAGAAAAAAAAGAAAAAGAAUAUAAUUUGGGGACUAAAGGAAUAAACAAAUAGGGUGUCUUGGUAGGUUUGGUAAUUUACCUAAUUUUCAUUAAAUAAUUCAAGUCGAUUCUAAUUUUUGUGUGUAUUAAUUGGAAAACUUUUUCUGUUUUACUUAAAGCAAGCUCAGGGUUCUCUUUAUUUUUCAUAUGUAGUUUUGACUGAUUUUUAUAAAAUUUUGGAGUGGUAUUUCUUUUAUUUAUGGCAGAAUCUAACUUUCACAGUAGAAAGGAACCAUACUUGAGGGCAAGCAUUGGCUAAGUAGGGAGAAUUUGAUAACACUCUAGAAUAAUGUAUAUUUAUGUAUUAAUUAUGUAUUUAUUCUGAGUAUGAUCCUGCUAAUUUAAGUUAGUUAUGAUCUUUUAUCUCAUGGGGACUAAAUUUGAGGCAAAAGCAAAAUUAAGAGCCAAAAGCGUGAAUUUAGAGAUAAAAUGGGCCAAUGUGCGACACAAAAAAAAGUUGGUGCCAAAAGGCCAAGUAUGGAGGAAAUAAGGGUUGAAAUGCAAAAAGAAGAGAUUUUGUUCUAUCAAACUCUAUUUUAAUUAUAUUAGGAUAAUUAAUAUUAAGAUAAUUAUUCAGGAUUAUUUAAUUUUAGGAUUUUAUUUUUUUAUAUUUAUUUAUCUUCAGUGAAAUGUAUUUAUCUUUUGGGAGUUUAAGUAGGAUUAGACUAUCUCUCCUAGCACUAUAAAUAGGGGGUGAAGUGACUCAAAAGGCAUCUAUCCUUUUCUGUAAACACUCUCUCCCCAAAAGCCUAGGCUUUUGUUCUUCUCAUAUUUCCUUUCAAUAAAAUCUCCAUUUUUAUUUUAUUUAUUUUAUUUUCCACCACAACCAUGAGCCACUAAACCCAUCUAGCCAAAGGUUAUCGAUAUUCCCCAAAAAGGGUUCUUGAGGCUUAGAGUCCGUACUUAGCCUCCUUGCCGAGUAUUCAUCAUUUCUCCGCACUACGGGGCUGACGUUUCCGUCCAUGUCCCUUAAGAAGUAAGCUUUUCAACGUAUGCAAAGGCGGCGGGUUUGUAUGUUUUGGGAAGGUUGCACAAUCGGUUUGUUACCUUACUACGUCAGAGGUUGGCGAGCCCAAGAGACAAAAUGGCGUGAGAUUUUCCAUUGAGAAGCGUUGAUCUAGCAUAAGACGAACCCAUAGAAGCGAUUGUUGGCUAGAGUUAGGUUCCACUAAAUUGUAAUUCUAAAUCCUUGGAGCUGGUGGUCGUAGGCGUCCUCUUCCACUAUAACUGGGUUAUUUGGUUGGGGAAGGAUCAUCUAAAAGCCGACGAUUGAACCCAAGGCAGAACGAGACAACUGGAGGCUGGAACCUCCUAUAAGAAUUUCCUUUCUCUUAAAUCUAUUUUUAAUUUCAUGAAUAUUAAAUUCAUAUUUUUAAUUAUGUUUUUAUUUUAUUUUUCGUUUCCAAAUCCAAACCUUUAAUUCUGUUAUUUUCUUAUUUUUUUUCCAGGAACGCAGGUUUUCUUAGGCAAGAUUCUACUUGGGAUUUCAUGGAAUAAGACAUUAUGCAAAUCCAGUCCCUAAGGAUUUGAUCCUACUUCUCUUUUACUAUUCCUUUUCAUUAUUUAUUAGGGAUAGGAUAUUUUUUGUGCUUUCAACGACCGUAUCAAAACUUUAAAAGGCUAAACUUAAAUAAAUAAAGGAUUUAAUUGAAAUUAAACCAAAUUUAAAAGAUGAAUAAGGAAAAAAAAUAAAGGACCGAAUUGAAAGGCACGAAUAACUUAGAGGGACCAAUUAGGGAAAUAUCCCCGCCCUCUGAAACGCACCGUUCUGCUAGGACCAAAUCAAAACUAAAAUAAAAUUUGAAGUAUAAAUUGAAAGACUGGAUUAAAAAAAUUAAAAAAUGUGGAAGGAUCUAACGCGCAAAUAGUCCCUUCCACCAAAACACGCGGACCUCAUUACGGGGCAGAUCAAAAUCAGGUCUCAAAGUCUUAUAUAGCGCCGUUUUAAGGCCACUGAAACAGGCCCUAAAUGACGCCAUUUGGUUAAUCUAUAAAAGUAAUAAUUUUUUUUUAAAAAAAUCAAUCUAUCAUAUUUUCUAAAAAAAAAGCUUCCCCUCACCUUUUCCUCUCAAUUUUCUUGAAUCCGGCCGUGGCUCUGGUGCCGAACCACCGUGGCGGCCGUCGGUCGCCGACGACGGUGCCACUGUCCACAGUGGCCAGAAAAUUGAAAGAAGCCCAUUUUUUUGGGCUUUUCAAUUCCCCAACGCAAAAACACUCAUUUUCAUCGGAACAGACGGACCUCUUCCCUCGGCGGAGCAAAAACGCAAAUAAAAAGGUAAGUUUUUUUAUUCUCUUCCCUUUUUAAAAAAAAUGAAAUCAAACAAAAAUAUAACGAAAAAAAAAAGAAUCCGAGGCUACCUUUGCAAAAAAAUUAUUUUUUUUUGUAUUCAUAUUGUGUAAAAAAAAAGUCCAUACAUCAUUGUCUUUAGGGCUUUUUAUAGCCAAGAAUACAACUGUUAUUUUUUUUUGUUUGUCUGCUUUUAUGUCCUGUUUGUUUUGCAGGUACGGAGCUGUGUACGGAGGUGGCCGUGCGGAGGCGCGCGCAGCUGAAGGUUUAGGGGGCUAGGGUUUUUUUUGUUUUCUGAAAAUGUAUUGGGCCGGGUUUGUAUUGGGCUAGGGCAAAUUAGUUUUGGGUUUAUUGUAAUUGGGCCUGCUUUUGGACUUGAUGUAAUAGGUUUUUGUUAUUAUUUAUUAUGUUUGGUUUAUUUGCUUAGUGGGCUAGGCAAAUCGGGCCUAUUACACGUAUAAUCCACCACUUCACGAAAUAAGGUGGGGUCAUAAGUUUGGCUAUUUCCCUUAAACUCCUUAUAAGUUUUCUUCUCACUCCCGUAAACUUCUGCUUCAACACUAGCCAUAAGUUUGGCUAUUUUCCUUCCCCAAAAUCCUUUAGUUUUAGCUGCGACUUUUCUUAAUAUAUCACCAUUCAAUUUGCUGCUGCUUUUUGAAAAUAUUCAGAAGCACGCCAGGUUGUCUUAACACAACCUGAGCCUUGAGCUAUGUACUUGUCUGGGUACAACUUUAGCAAUUUGAAGCAUUCACCUUCCCUGGGCAAAGGGUAUCUUUAGGUCCAAAUUGUGUAUUUUUCUAGUUUUUCUAUAAAAUUAUAAUAUAUAUAUAUAUAUAUAUAUAUAUAUACACACACACAUAGUUGGUGGGUGAUGUUAGUUCAAUCAAACACUUAACAUGCUUGGUUUGCCUGAAAUUGAAUAAAGUUGUGAAGGAAUGUUAUUAUGUGAGAACGAAUAGAAAUGUUAUGGGUAAGGGUGAGCAUUCGAUCGAAUCGAAUGAAAAAAAUUUGAAUUAAUUGAGUUGAUGAAUCUUAUUUUAUCAUCCUAACUCGAUUUGAAAUUUUCUCAAUUCGAGUCAAGUGAGAUGAAAUUCAAAUCGAAUCGAAUAUAUUUGUUCGUGUUAAAUUAAAAAAAAGAUUUUGGAUCCAUGUAACCACUUCCAUCCAUCAUAAUAAAAUUUGUAAUUAACUUUCAUCUCCUCAUAAUUUAUUUAUUAAUAUUUUAUGCAAAGGUUAACUUCUUUGCUUGCUUUGUUGCUUCAAUUAUCUUCUGAUUUUUAUCAGUAUGUAUUUUAAAAUUAAAAAUAUAUUAAAUAUAAAAAUUUUGAUUUUUUAAUAAAAGUUAUGUUAAAUAUAAAAUGUUAAAUUGAUAACAACAUAAAAUUUUAACAUGAGAUUUAAUAUAAUUAAAAAUUCAAUAAUAUAAAUAGUACAAAAUGUGAAUUUUAUUUUAAUAAUAUAAAUAAUAGAUAUAUAUAAUGAUUACUAUUUAAGUUUAGAGAUUUUUUUUUUGAAUGAUGUUUUAUUUGAAGGAAAAGAGUGAAAAGUAAAAGUCGAAAGGGAAGGGGAAAACAAAAAGUUUUGACAGUUGGGAAGUAAAUUUUUUGGGGGAAAGUAAAUGGGGAGAAAAUAUUCAAAAUAAAAUUUGGGGUGAGAUGAGAGGGGAAUAAAAGUUUUAAGGGGAAAGUGGGAGGGAGAAAAAGUAUUAGGGGGAAAGUAAAAAGGUUUGGAGGUUUUGGGUAAAAAUGUAAAAUAUAAUAGUUUGGUAUUUGGUUUAAUCAAAUUAUUCGAAUUUGAAAAUUAAACUCGAUUAGAACUUCAAAUUUGAAAAAAAAAAUUAGAGUUAACUCGAAUUUUGAAUUUUUUUUAUUUUUUUGUGUCGAAUCGAGUUUUGCACACCCCUAAUUACAGGACACGAUGUAAUAACUUUAACAAUAGCUUUGUUAGAUGAAAUGAAAUAAAGAUGUAGCAUUACUUUGUUUGGUUGAGUAAAAUAAAUAUGGCAAAAUCUCAAAUUUAGCUCUUAAUGUUUUUAUGUUUUGUCAAUUUAGACUUUUUUUAACUAAUUUUGGCCCUUAAGUUUUUAAAAAGAGUCGAAUUUGACCAUCAAUAUUUUGAAAAAGAGUCAAAAUGAUAUCUUUUUAAUGAGAAUACUAAGUAAAAUGUUAAAUUUUUAAACACAACAACCUACAUAAAAAUUCAUACGUACUCCAUGUUAAAUUUUUUUAAAAAUUUUUUAUAUCUUUUUUAUUUUAAUUUUGAUCCUUUUAUCUUUAUAAUUUUUGAAUUAUUUUUUUAUGUGACAAAUAAGACAAUUGAUAUUAUGUGACAUAUCAGUAGCUCCUCUACGCCAUUGGCCACCGCUGUUCAACCAAAAACAAAAUAGGUUUUUUCCUUUAAAUCUUAUCUUCUCAUCUUAUUCUUUUUAAAAAAAAAUUAAAGAGAAUCCUGAAUUUAAAAGUUUAGAAUGUAUGCGUGACUCGUAAACUUUGAUGGAAGUAAAAGCCUGAGUUAGAAUAGAUGAGGAUCCGAAAGCUGGUGUGUUAGGUGUAUGACUUCCACAAUAUGUAGAGUCGUUCACAAUAGUGGAAUUUAUAGCCCAAGACAUAGGUAAAUGAUAUCCUCUCAUUGACAUUACAUGGUUUAUGAAAAGUAAACAUGGUCAUGGGUCGUUCUUUGUGACGAAUAACUUGAUUGCUAUUUGAUAGUAAUAGACUUUUCAUAAAAAGAGAGGUAAUGGUUACCAUGAGAUAAAAUAUGAUCAUAUUGGAAGAACAAAUAUUAUCCUAAAGAGAUUAAGGAUAUCCUAUGAGGGUAAAACACUUGUUACAAGGUUACUAGACAAGCAUUGAUUGAGUUGCUUUCGUAAUAGUAUGCUGUCAGGGAAAACUCAAUCACGAUACUAUAAUGGAAUGACUUAGUGACUAAAAGAGUUUAUAAUUAAUAGGCGAAAAAGUUGGAACUUAAUUAUAAAUUAUUUGAGCCCUAAUUGCAUAUAUCCAAUUGGUCCCUCCGUUAGGCCGUUGAAAUUAGAAAUGAGUUGCAUGUUGAAUCAAAAUGCACGAAAUGAACAGAAAUGAAUAAAUGAAAAAAAUUAAAAAAUGAUUAUGGUUUUCUCCAAAAUGGAGAAAUGAAAUCAUUUGAAAAAGAGUUGAAAUGAUAUCUUUUUAAUGAGGAUACUAAGUAAAAUGUUAAAUUUUUUAACACAACAACCUGCAAUCCAUAAGUACUCCAUGCUAAUUUUUUAAAAAAAUUUAUCAACUUUUUAUUUUAAUUUUGAUUCUUUUAUCUUUAUAAUUUUUGAAUUAUUUUUUUUAUGUGACAUAUCAGCAGCUCUUCUACGCCAUUGGCCACCGCUGUUGAACCAAAAGUUUUUUAGGUUUUCUCCUUUAAAUCUUAUCUUCAAUUCUUAUUCUUCUUUUAAAAGAAAAUUUAAAAGAUUAGAAUGAGAUUUUAACCCAAAAAAUUCUAGUUGUUCACUCCAUCGUUUUACUUUUUUCUUUUUCUUUGGGUUUGUGUUAUUCAACCUUCAGUUGAUGAUUAUUUGAUGUAUUAUUAAGAAAAAAUAUGAGAAAUAUAUAGAUGUCAGUGAAAAAUAAUAUUUUUGGAGGCCUUAUCAAAACAAAAAUAGCUUAUAAUUUUUAAAAAGAUGAAAGCAAAGAAGGACAAUGUUCGAACCCAGUGCCAUUAGCACAUGGUCUGGAUAGGCGAUUCAAAGGGCAGGGGGCUCAAGAAAUAAUCCUAGAGGAAUGGAAAAUUCAACAAAGAAAAUGAAACAGUAGACCCAUUCAAUAAUGGCUCCGUUAAAUUAGUAUAUAAAUUCAAGUAAUAACAAAACAAGAGUCGUUAGCUUCUUGCUCUAUUGACUCGUUAUUGACAUAGAAAUUAUAUAUUUAAUGUGAAAAUAUAAUUAAAAAUAAUGUAUAAUAAAUAAAAAAUUGUAUGGUUUAAAAUUAAUAAUAAUAUGUACUAAAUGAAAUAUGAAAUGUGCGGGUGAAAUUUUGUGUAAUAAUAUUACAAUUAACAACUCGGUCUAUCAAACACGAAAAUCAAUGUAAAGAACAGUGUAGUCAAAUUCUUGAAGAAACAGUAAUUAGUGAGAAAAUUAUUAACUGAUAGACAUAGGUUGGUGGCAAACUUGAAUUGGUUCUCCAUCACUCACUCUUAUUCUUCACCAAAAUUAGCAUUUAUCCGUAAACAUUAAAAAUUAAAAUUAUCAUGAAAUUAGAAUUCGAAAUUCGUAAUAUAUUAAUAUUAUUUUCAAGCAACUGGAAGCUAAAUUUUGUGUUCUAAAAAUUAGAAGCUAAAAUCAUGCUAAUGAAAUGCUAUGAAAAAAAAAGAAAGAAAUAGCUAAAUGAUAAGUGUAAAAGUAAUAUGUUUUAUUUUUAUUUUUAGUACAUAUUUUGGGUGAUUCUGUGGUAUUAAUAGUGAAUUAUAUACUCUUAAUUCUUUAUAUUCAUCUUUUUUAUGCUUAAUAAAGUACUUGGGAGCAAUAUGAAUGAAAAACAAGAGGAUUAGAACAUUGGAGCAAUCCGAAAGCUAAACACAUGCAGCAGAGUUCCACACAGCCAUGUGAUCCAUAUGAUCGUGUGUCUAGGGCGUGUGGAUUUCGAGAACCAUGUGCAUUGAUAGUUGAAAACCACGAUUUUUUAGGGUUUUUUUUUACACUUUAAGAAGGUAUAAAUAAGGAAAUGAAAGAGGAGAAGACCAACCGUCAUAGAAUAGCACGAAAAUUAUUCAACGAACGCCAUUGAAGUCGAUUUUCACAAUAUUCUCCAUCAAGAUUCAAGAGUCCAAGCUGAUUUUUGAGGUAGUUAUCAUGGAUUUCUUUCAUUUUAGUGUUAUAUUAUACUUUUGGUGUUUCGUCUUGCAAAUGUGAACUAAUUCUCUUAAUACCAAGGGGAGAUGUAUUCUAUUGUUUGAUUUAUACUUUUAUGCAAUAAAACAUUAGUUUCUUUGUUUUCAAUUAUGAAUUGUUUGAUUUAUAUUUUUAUGCAAUAAAACAUUAGUUUCUUUGUUUUCAAUUAUGAAUGUUUAAUUGUUCUUAGGUUUAUAAUUAUAGAGUGUUAAUCCAUGUUUGAAGUGCAUAAGUUUGAGGUCGAAUAGACCCUUCUUGUGAUUAGAUCUUACAUAAUUGAAUGAGGUUGCAUGCAAUCCUAGAAAUAAGUCGACAUAAAUGUACCGGAUUAGAGUGAAAUCUAAUAUGAGAGAUCCAUAGAGCGAAUUAAUGCAAUAAUAAGUGUUUUAAUUAAAAAAAUUUCAAUUAAACAACUUAAAGUUAGUUGCUCUUAUGCUCGAAAGAGAAAUAAACAUAAAUUAGAGAUUUCUACAUAUCAAAGAACUAAGAAUAGAAGUUGUAUUGAGAAUUAUAGAUGAAAUCUAGGUGGACUCUUACCUAAGUAUUGUUUUGUCACUUGGUUAAAUUUGACUGUUUUUGCGUUUUAUUUCCUUGACACAUUCGUUAGUUAAUUUUAGUUUUAAUCAAUCUUUUAAACUAUUAAAUUAAAUAAUAGAAAGACAAUAAUUACUAAUGAAUUUAUUAAAACUCUCCGAGGAUGAUUGAAUUACCAUAUUUAUUAAUUAUUAAUUUGUUGUUCUGUAUUUCCACCUACCAUCGUGACGUCUUAAAAUUUCGAGUUAAUCGAGUUAACGAUUCUUAUUUUAUAAUCCUAAUUCGAUUUGAAUAUUUUUUAAUCGAAUAAUUUUUUUGUGUUAAAUUAAAAAAUAAACAUGUCAAAUUAAAAUCAUACUUUAGUAUAACUAAUUUCAUAUUAGACCCCAUAAUUUUCAAACCAUAUAUAUUUAAAAACCUUUUCAAAGUAAAAUAAUAAAAAAUAAGAUACUUUAAUAUGAUAAAUUUGAAUUAUUAAUUAACUUAUAUAGAUCUUAAAUUUAUUAUUUAAAAAAAUUAAAAAUUUAACUUCCUUUAUAUUAGAAAAUUUUAAAUUUAUUAUAAUUUUAAAAAUAUAUAAAUUUGGAAUUUUUUAUAAAUAUUUUAAAUUUUAAAAAUUACUUUUAAUUUUUUUAAUUUUUGUUGAGAGGGACUAAUUUGCUUAUUUUCAAAAUUGACAAGAAUCAAGUGAGUAUUAACUCUAAUUUGUUAUUCGAAUUAUUCAAAUUGUAAAAUUCAACUUGAUUCGAACUCGAAACUCGAAUUACUUAUUUAAGUUGACUCAAAUAACGCAAUCCGAUUAACUUGAAAUUUGAUUUUUAUUAUUUUUAUUUUUUCAAAUCAAAUCAAGUUUUGCUCACAAUUUUUUUGGGUGGUGAUGAAAAUUGCUUCUAGACAUGAAAUUUUUAACGUCGGUCGCGCUUGAGUUUAGCAUCUAUAAUCUGGAUCAUGGCUUGGGAAAAAAUUUACUCUCAUUUUUCGAACCAGGCCAGGCUCAAACCUAAAAAAUAGACCUAAAAUUCUAUUGAUGUUUGACCUAAACCCGGCCUGACUCAUGAUCAAGUCUAGCUUUAAGUAAUAAAAAAUUUCAGUAGUUAAAUAUCUAUUAAUAUAGACAAUAUUUUAAAUCCAUAUGAUAAAAAUAUCAAAUCAAUUAAAAAUUUUAGACUUAAGGGUGUAAAAAACGGUUCAACUUUUUCAAAAAAAGCAAUUAAGCCCUUCCUCUUCUUUUUUUUUUUUUGCACUCAAUUGAGCACUUGAACUUUCAAAAUGCAUAAAAAAAGCAAUUAAGUUCUCUUUUUUUUUUCCUUUUUUUUGCACUCAAUUGGAUACUUGAACUUUCAAAAUGCAUCAAAAAGACCCUUAAAAUUUUUCAAAAAAGCAAUUAAGGCCUUAUUAAAAAUUAAAAAAAUAAAAGCAAAUAAAUUUUAGAUAAAUUAUUAAAUUUUAAUAAAAUAUAAAAUUUUAAAAUUUAUUAAAAAUUAGAAAAAAUUUUAUAAAAUUGUAAAAAAGUAAAAAAAUUGUAAAAUUUUAUAAAAAACAUAAAAAAUUAUAAAAUACAUCAAAAAAUCCUUUUAACAAUUAACUUUAACUAUUGGUCGUUAAAGUUAACGGCCCCUAGUUUUUUUUUUUAAAUUAAAGUCAUCAUGUGUCGCAACAUAAUGUGACAUGUGGCGAAAAAUGAUAAAAAAAUAAAAACCAAUAAAAGUUAUAAAAAUUAUAAAAUGAUUCUUUUGGUACAAUAAUUUUUGUAAUUUUUUUUACAAAAAUUAUAUUUCUUUACAUUUUGUAUAAUUUUCUUUUGACUUUAUAAAAUUUUAUAAUUUUUUUAUGAUUUUUAUAAAAUUUUACAAUUUUUUAUAUUUUUUACGAUUUUAUAAAGUCGAAACAACCAAACAUCACGCCACAACGUGGCGACGUAUUUCUCAAGUUUCUCAAUUUUCUUUUCUCAGUUAAAUUUUGUUUUAAUUUCUCACUUAAACUCUGAUUAAUCUAGGGAUAUUUUGAGUCAUAAAAACUACGAAUUUAACCUAUAAAUAGGCUUUAGUUACUCUAGGUUUACAACAUAUAAAAAUCCAUAGAUUGAGAGAAUUCUGUGUUUUGAGUUAGAAAGGUUUUUUUCUUUCGAGGUUUUGAGUUUUCUUUUUAUUCUCUUCAUCUUUGAACUUGUUUUAUAUAUUAGUAAAAUCUCCUUUUGCUCGUGGUUUUUUAUUUUCUUAACCUAUCUCAGUACAGUGUCAAAAAGGUAGUAGGGCUUAACCCAUCACAGUAUCAGUAUAAAAAAUGCAGUACGGUCUUAGUCCAUCAUAGUAUUAGUAGCAGUAACAGUUAUGCAGUAGCAAAAUCCUACCCAACCAGCCUUUACACACCAUCUCUGUCCAACCCUACACUCCAUGUAGGGAUAUAAUCAACCCACCCAUCCCUACACUCCAAGUAGUACCAAAUGCGGCAUAAAACAGUAGUUUGCAGUUGAGUUGCCAGUAAAUUAGGCUUAAAGCCUUUCAGUACACUUCCUCCGAAUAACAACCCCCAACCCAAUGCAAUGCAACAUACAACGGAUGAUAUGCUAUUAUGCAAUUUCAGUACAUAUAUUCGGUUCAAAUAUUAACAUGCUCAGUAUAGAUAUCAUUAAGUUAAUUUCACACAUUUAGGGGUCUAAGUAGUGCUUAUCGACCUUACAGUAGGUUUACAGUCGACUUGGGCAACCCGUACAACCUUAGAAACAUUUCAGUAAAAAUGGGCCCACAAGCCCGUGUGUGCCCGUAUAGCCUACUCAGCCCAAAUUGGCCUUGGCCGCGGGAUCCAUUUUUAAUGUAACCCAUGCUAGCUAGAUAUUCAUAUAUGUUUUCACUAUUUACUUAUAUGUUCAUUCAAAGUUGUCUACUUGAGUCAUUGUCACUAAAUUAUUUAUAGCUUGAGCUACAGAAUUCCAAAUAAAGAUUCGCUUGAUGUUUUCGAAACUAGACUCAAAUACCUUUCUACCAUAAAAUUUUUAGAAUUUAUAGCUUAUCAAAUAAGUACAGUAAAAUCUUCAAAGUUAUCCCUAUUCUACUAUUUGAUAGCUUCAACAUUUCCUUACUAAAUAUUAUUUAUCUCAUAGUACGAAAUUUGGAUGAUGUUUCCAUUGGUUUCUCUUAAAAAUAGACUCAUUAAGGAUUUAAACGUAUAAAUUUAAUCUCUUAAUUAUUUUUUUACAAUUUUUGAUGAUUUUUCCAAAGUCAGAAUAGAGGAACCCGAAACCAUUCUAACCUUGUCUCACAAAAUUCAUUAUAACUCAUAACUUACAAUUCCAUUGCUUACACUAUUUCUUCCAUGAAAAACUAGACUCAAUAAUCAUAUUUGAUUCAACCUCUAACUCAAUUUCCACUAUUUUUGAUGAUUUUUCAAAGUUAGACUACUACUGCUAUCCAAAACUAUUUUAGUGCAGAAUGUUGAUUACCUAGUUUAUAACACCCUUAUUUCCUUUCUCCACAAUUUUUCACAUCAUUUUCUCUUAUUUCUCGACAACAAGCAAUUUUGGCUUUUCGUCGAAUCCCAUUUUCUGCGUUCCGGAUACACACCUGGUUUCAUUUGAUGCUAAAAUAGUCCUCGAGCACUCCAAAGCCUUCAACCGAUGAACAGUAAUUCCCACACAACUAAAACUCUGAUUGGUGAUUAUGAUCCCUUGAAUCCUCCCCGAACGAUCACAUACAAAUGUGAAGCGACAUGAGGCAGAGUGGGAAAAUAAAACUCAAGAAGAUGAAGAGUGAAAGAGAGCAGAAAUUCGGCAGCAACGAAGAGAAAGAUGGCAAGAGGGUGGAGGGAUUUUGGGGAAAGUAAAAAAAAAAAAUAGAUGAACAAAAUAUUUGAUAACCACCCCAAUCCCUUAUUUCUCUCCAUCAAACUCCACUUAGAUUUUAGUCCAUCUCAAACUCUCCUGGAUGCAGGAGCAAAAAUAAUGCCCACACCAAGAUUUGAACACAAGUCCUCUUUCACACCAACACUCCACUUAUCCACCAAACCAGCAGGCUCAUUCUAUUAAUUAUUUGCCAACUUUUACUUAAAAGCCUACUGAUCAAAGAUAGGGCUUAUUCAUAAAAAUACCAAAAUUUGCCCAAGUCCUGGCUUGAACUUGGGACCUCUCAAACACACCCAAAACACAUAACCACUAAAGCAGACAAAUAUUUUGCGUCAUACAUUCACAAUACCCAAAAUUAAAAUUUUGGGGCAUUACAUAGAUACUAUAGCAUGAGAUAAAAAUAAACUAAACAGAUCUCACCGUCCAUCCAAACUUACCUUAAAUAUUCAUACAUCAAAAUAAUAUAAUAAAAAAGAAUGUUCCCUCAAUGUUCCAUCUCAUCAUGACUUAUUUUGCAUCUAAACGGAGCCCUUUUUCGACUUUCGGCCUUUUUCGAUAGCCCUUUUUUUUUACUUUCGCCGAACCUCAAUUUUUUGUGUUUAGGGUACACACCUGGUACAAUUUUGAUGCGAAAAUACUCUCGAGACCACCAGAACCUAAAAAUCAACAUUACAAGCUCCAAAAAUCAGUCUUACUCCUCAAUUAAACCGAACUAACAAAAUCAAAAAUAGUGAAGUUCAAGUGUUCCACACUUACCAAAUUCCUCAAGCAAUUCUGACUAUGAUUUCGCAAGAGGCGAGUUCCAUUCCUCACGAUUAACUGCUGCCAAAAAUCCCAGAAAUAACAUCAACGAAAAGAACAGCAAGUUAAGAAACACUCGAAAAUUAUCCCAAACUAUACCCCCUACACUUACCAAGCCGCACGCCAACACCAAAAUACCGAAAUUGAAUAACAAAAUUGUGAUAGAAAACGAGGAGCGAGGAAAUAGGAAUUUGUCAAUUGACAGGAAAUAUGUAGAGAAAUGAAAACUAACAUCAGAAUUAAAAACAAAAAUUAAAAUUAAAAUUAAAAUAAAUUCAUAUCCUACUAAAUCUCAACCCCCAUUAUCCUACUAACAAACCCACUAACUCUCAACCAUCUCAGAAUUCUAACUCCACCCAAACUCUCUCAGACAACCGGAGCAAAAAUUUAUCACCCACACUCACAUAAGGAUUCGAACACAGGAACUCCAACAAGCUUACUCCUUACUACUCAAACCAACAAACUCAUUCUAAUACUAGUUUACCAAGAAUAUUACAUAAGCCUAUCCAGCAGGGAUAAGGCUAGGAUUAAAAAUAACAAAAUUGCUAAAAAUGGGACAUGAACCUAAGACCUCACACACACACCUAGAACACUUAACCACUAUACUCAUUUAUGUCAAAUUUCACCAAAAGUUGACUUAAAUUAUUCAGGGCGUUACAGUUAACCCACUUGUUUCUUCUAUUCCUUUUAUUAUUAUAACAGUCUAAUUUUUUUCAAAAAAAUAGAAUAAAAGUAAAUGUAAUUUAAAAUAAUAUUUCUUUAUUUUAUUUAUUAAUCAAUAGCAUUUAUUAUUAAAAAUUAAUUCUAAAAUGAGACUCAUUUUAAAUAAAAUCAAAAAAUGAAAUUUAUCUAAAAUUUAUUUAUUUUUCUAAUUUUUAAUAAGAGCAGGGCCUUAAUUGCUAGUUUGAAAAAUUUUGAGUCUUUUUGAUGCAUUUUGAAAGUAUUUUCAAGUGUAGUAUAAACACUAUGAAUACAAUCAACAAAUCAUUUUCUUUUAAGGGUAAGCUACGUCAACCGUCCCUAAAUUUUAAUUAAAAUUAUGUUUCAACCACUUAACUUUCUUAAAUGUUCACCUAAUUGCUAAGUAAGGUUUAUCUGACGUGCCAUGACAAAUAUGCCAAGUCACUACACCAAAAUAGGCUUUUAGCGGCGCUUUUUUAGGCCUUUAGCAGCAUUUUUUAGCGCCGCUAAAAGUAUUUGCGGCGAUUUGAGAAGCGCCGGAAAAAAUGCAGCUAACUUUAGCGGCGUUUUUAGAAAAGAAUGCCGCUAAAGACCAAGACCUUUAGCGACGCUUUUUCCAAAAACGCCGCUAAAGACCAAGACCUUUAGCGGCGCUUUUGCCACAAACGCCGCUAAAGACCAAGACCUUUAGCGGCGGUUUUCCCACAAACGCCGCUAUAGACCAAGACCUUUAGCGGCGCUUUUCCCGAAAGCGCCGCUAUAGACCACUACCUUUAGCGACGCUUUUCCCACAAACGCCGCUAUAGACCACUACCUUUAGCAGCGCUUUUAUCACAAACGCCGCUAAAAAUAUAACCUUUAAAAAAAUUAUUUUAAUCAAAUAAUAUUUAUUUUUAUGAUAAAUAUUAUAUUAUGUUUUAUUUUUUAAAUUUGAAAUUUAAAUAUACUUUUUAAUGAUAAAUAAAAUAAUAUUAUUUAAAUUAAAUUUUCUAUGAAAAUUUUAACUUUAAAACUAAAUAUAAAAAUUAAUGAAUUUAAUUUUAGAAUUUAAAAUAAUAAAUUAAUAACACAAUUAAAAUCCAAAAGUUAGAACUCAAGUUGUCAUAAAUAUUAAAGUAAAAAUAAAAAUUUAGAAUCAAAACUAAAAUAAAUAAUACAUAUGAAAAAUUAAAACACAGACAGUAACGAAAACUAAAACACAGACAGUAACGAAAAAUUAAACACCACACAAAAUUUAUCAAACUAGUUAAGAAAUACAUGGUGCAACCAUGCAGUAUAAAUACAAUAGAAUUAUAGGGUAAUUUUCCAUAAAUAUCUUCAGGGUACCAAGAACAAUUUGUCACAAAAUUAUAAAACAUGAUAAUAAAAAAAUUUGUUACUUUUUGUUUUGCUUCCAAGGCUUCCUUAGCUGCCUUCAUCUCGGCAACAGAAUCAUCUUCAUCAUCCCUGCUUAAGAAAACAAAGAACCAUGUUACUCAAGAUGAAACGAAAAGCUUUUUUUCAAUAAAUCAUGUACACAUCAACUCAAGAUGAAGAAAAACAGAAAAUAUUAGUCCAAUGUUAUAACUGAAAAUUGCAUAUAAGGUUAAUGUCCUUGUUAGCAUGAGAAUUUUUAAAAAAAAGAAAAAAGAAGCUCUUUAUACUUGAAGGGGCAAUGGAAAUUAGAACAGAAUAAAACUAAACAGGCAAGAAAUAAAACGGAUAUCAAUGGACACCUCAUCCCGAGAUCAUUUUCAUUGGGGAACCUAAGGGAAAAGAACACGAGAAACCAUAGCUUAGUUUUGAGUUAAGAUUAAAGAAUAGCAUUACCUAGGAAGUGUUACACAAUUUGAUCACAAUUUCGAACCAUUGCAUACAACAUGACAUAGCAAAAGAACUUCAAUAACAUUACAACAUAAGCCUAAGACAAAUUAUAAUUUAAGUGUCAGCUAACCUUGAGGUAGGCACAAAUAUGUUACUAAAGACAAAAAUAACAACAUAAAGGCAUAGAAAAUAAAUAAAAGUUCAAACAAACAUAGCAAGAAACAGAACUGUCUAAGUUAGAACUCUGAAGGACCAAUCGGAAUAAAUGAAACGACUAAAAUAGGCAAAAUAAAGAAUACACAGAACAGGAAAUAUAUAAAAAUGUUUAGAAAAAAAAUAAUUUAUUCGAAAAUAAUAGCAAUGAGAACUAAUUUUAGACCCCCCCAAAAAAAAUUCUACCCUUAGCUUCCACAAAGGUAAAAGGAAAACGGAGAUGUAUCUCCAGCAGCAAAACAACUUAUAAUUAAACAUUACCACAAAAAGAAAUUGGAUCGGCAAAGUGAGAGCACCUGAUCAAAUAAGAUAACGAAUUAAAGAGACUAAGACCUUUGCAGUCUUCCACACAAGAUAAGAAGUAUUAUAACAAUUCCAGUUAUGGAAGACACAAAAUGAGAUCGAAAAAGAUAUGGCAAAUCACAAAUUCCACAAGCAAUUUGUUAACUGCAGUGCAAGGGAUAGCAUGAUGAAUGAUAAAAAAAAAUAUAGAAAAAUACUACACACAGAAAAUAAAUAAAUUGCUAAUCAACAAAAAAUUGGAAAAUUAAAAAUGAUAUACAGGAUGCAUUUCCUCAGUAGGGAAAAAAACAUUAAAAGGGCAAAAGAUUCAUAGCAACAACUAAUCGAGAGAAACAAGAACAUCAACAGCAACGAUGUUCUUGCAACUUAGAUUGCAUGGGGUGAAUUCAAAACCCUAAACUCCAAAGCAAAGAAGACAAUUAAAAAAACAGGGAAAAAUCCACUCCUUUAAUUCACAAACCAGAUAUCAAAGCCUAUGUCAGCAUAUAAAAAGAAAAAUGAUAUACAGGUUUUAAAAUGUGUGCUCCCUACACAUAAAACAAAUUAUCACACUAAGCUAGCUCGAAUGCCAUUAAAACAAUUAGAAACAAUACACUAAAUGUCAAUGCAAUUACCUUCCACCAUACAGUAAAAAGCCAAGUGCCGCAAACAGUGACACACCUGCACAUAUACAGUGAGGAUCAAAUAUCCAUUCAUUAUUGAAACAAAUUACAACAGGAUUAACAUUUAUAAAGCAUCUAAACUAAGUGAUUAUCCUGAAUCAUGGUACAUCAACAGAGCACCAAAGUUACUCAACAGUUAACUACUAAAAAUCUAUUAAGAACACCAAAAAGACUUACCUGCAAAGAACAUUUUAGAUAGAAUGACUAAAACUGGGAUAUAACCCGCAAAACGCAGCCUUCUUGUUGGCCAUUAUUGUCGCUUUCUACAUCCCAAAGCCCCUGGAAUACACAGCAACUUCAAGCACAUAUUAGAAACAUUUCGACUAAGCUAAAAGUGUCAAAAAAAAAAAAAAGAUUAUGCACAAAACUGAUCUCUUGUGAUGUCUUUAUAACCAAGUGAUUAAAAAGUUGCACAUUACCCACAUCCAAGCCGAUUAAAAGUUAAAAAGGAUAAGCUAUUAAAAGUUAAAUAAAAGUUGCACAUUACCCACAUCCAAGCCGAUUAAAAGUUAAAAAAGAUAAGCUCUUAAAAGUUAAAUAAAAGUUGCACAUUACCCACAUCCAAGCCGAUUAAAUUAUACUUAAGCUCUGAUUGAUCCAUCUUUCUAUGCAACUCAAAGAGUUUCUCUACAUCUUCUUUUAUUCUUCAUACCAAAGCUUAUCGGUUUAGGAUCCCUGCGAUUAUUUUCAUGUUCAUUUCUUUUCAAAACAACUUUAGUCACCCUUCAUAUGUAUGAGUCAAUCGAUAAGUGGUUCUAUUAAAUAUAUGUGGUUGACGAAUGUAUUCAAAAGUAAUACACAAAAAAUAAGGGGCGAGAGCCUAAUAUACAAGUAUUGUAGGAAUCAACAUGAAGAAAAUAGCACAUUGAAAAAAAAUAUCAAUUACAGUAUGAAGCAAACUUACUUUUCUGCAGUUCUUCUGGGGUCAAAGUCUGCAAUAUCAGGAUUUUAUAAAAAAAAACAUAAGAACACGAUAAAUAUAGUAAAUUACGAAUGGAGAAAAGCCAAACAAGUAGCUAAAAACCUGACCUUUAGGGUUCGAUAAAAGGCAUUUUUCCAUAAAGUGAGCAAUGCUUCACGGAUGAAUCCAAACAUUUCACUGCUUAUGUAUGCUUCAUGAGUUGCCUGAUGAAGCAACCCGAAGAUGUCAGAUACCUUCGUUCUGCUGACAUUAUCAAUGGCUUUUCGCGAAAUGAGGAAAGUUUCAAAAACAUGCUGAAUGGGAUUCGUACAAAAGUUGGUUCCACUUUGCAAGAAUGCUAUCUGUGUAAGCAAUUCCGAGAAAUUCACUGCUAUUACAACAGUUAUUGGGCAUCCAUUAACCGCUCUUUCUUCCAAUACAAUCAUAUCAUGUUGUACUGUUCUUUGCUACAGAUUAUCGUCAGUAUUGUUGGCUGGCGUGUCUUUGGAAAUUAAACUGCUUUUCUUGCUUUUCCUUUAAUGGUUUCCAGUGUAUUUCUUCCAGAGAUUUAUUCAUCCAUCUCAAAUGCAUAAAACAAUAUACCUUUAACGAGUACCAAUUGCAAAAUCUAUACCUAAAUGUAGGACCUUCAAGUAUCACCCACAACCAUAGAUAUCACCAUACCAAAUAAUUGAACAAUGAAACCAAAUCAUGCAUUAAUUUUUAAAUAUAAGAAACCGGCCAACAUUUUUAUUUUUAUUUUUACAAAGAUAAUGCUCAUACUUUCAGCACCAAACACUGUCGUAAGGUUUCAUUCCAUUAUUUUAGAAUAGCAUGCGGUAUGGGAUGCCUAACUCAUUACAUGGACAAGCAUUCCAAACAAGAAAACCAUUGCGCACACUAAAAUUGCAGCAGCGUCGCUCAGUUUCAAUUAGGGGUGAGCAUUCGAUCGAAUCGAAUCGAAUCGAAUCGAAAAUUUUCGAGUUAAUCGAGUUUUCGAAUCUCAUUUUAUCAACCUAACUUUAUUUGAAGUUUUCUCGAAUCGAGUCGAGUGAGAUGGAAUUCGAAUCGAAUCGAAUCGAAUAUAUUUGUUCGAGUUAAAUUUUAAAAAAUAAUUUUGGGUCCUUGUAACCAUUGUCACCCAUCGUAAUAAAAUUUGUCCACCUUAAUCAAAUUUUUUAUUAACUUUCAUCAACUCAUAAUUUAUUUAUUAAUUUUUUAUAUACUGGUUAGCUUAUUUGUUUGCUUAGUUGUUUCAAUUAUCUUCGGAUUCUUGUCACUAUGUAUUUUGGAAUUAAAAAUAUAUUAAAUAUAAAAAUAUGAUUUUUUAAUAAAAUUUAUUUUAAAAAUAAAAUUUGAAAUUGAUACCAAUAUAAAAUUUUAACACAAAUAUUUUAUGGCAUAAUUAAGAAUUCAAUUUUAAUAUAAAUAUUCAAUAUGACUAAACAAUUCAAUAAUAUAAAUAAUAUAAAAUGUGAAAUUUAAUUUAAUAAUAUAAAUAGUAUAUAUAAAUAAAAUUAUUACUAUUUAUGUUUAGUGAUUUUUUUUGGAUAAUUUUGAUUUUUUAUUUGAGAGUAAAAGGUGAGAAGUAAAAGUUUAGGGGAAAAAUAAAAAGUUUUGGGGAAUAAAAGUUUGAGGGAAAGUAAAUAGGGGGAGUAAAAUUUUGGAGGGAAAAUAUUAAAAAAAAAAUUGGAGGGGGGAGGGUUUGGGGUAGAUGGGAGGUGGGAGGUGGGAUGGGAAGAGAAUAAAAGUUUUAGGGGAAAAGUGGGAGGGAGUAAAAAUUUUGGGGGAAAAUAAAAAGUUUUGAGGGUUUUUGAGAGUAAAAUUUUGAAAAAAAAAUGAAUGGAAGAGUAAAAUUUUGGUGGGAAAUGGAUUUUGGGUAGAUUGGGAGGUGGGGAGGGGAGGGGAGUAAAAGUUUUGGGGGAAAAGUGGGAAGGAGUAAAAGUUUUGAGGGAAAAGUAAAAAAGUUUGGGAGUUUAGGGUAAAACUGUAAAAUAUUAUAGUUUGAUAUUCGAAUUAUUCGAAUUAUUCGAGCUAUUCGAAUUCGAAAACUCAACUCGAUUCGAACUCGAAAUUCGAAAAAAAAAUUCGAGUUGAUUCGAAUAACUCGAUUAACUCGAAUAACUCGAUUCAUUUAACUCGAAAUUCAAAUUUUUUUUCGAUUUUUUCGAGUCGAAUCGAAUUUUGCUCACCCCUAGUUUCAAUAGCAUACCUUGCUAAAUAAUUUACUUGGGUGUUGAUCCUACCAGUUCCAUGUGCUGUAUUCGAGAAAAGUAGCAUUACUCUGCCAUAAUUUAUUCUAUUAAACAAUUACAAUUAAAUGAAGAGAUUUAGUAUAUAAGAACCUGCAGCUUCCUUGAAUGGAAACUCAAUUUUAAUAUCGGAUUCAUUAAGAGAUUUGAGUCGGGUCAAAAAGUCUCUAGAAUCUACGGUAGAUACCAACCGAGCAUAGAGCUGCAAUUAAUUUCAGAAAUUAGAACGAAAAAAGAAUUAACACACACAGAAAAAAAACCCUAAAAGAUUGAAAUUUACAUACGUUAGGAGGACAAUCAUUUAACAGAACAGGAGAUUCAGAUAAAUUAUUGAGAAGUUUGAGGUUCUGUUCCAGUUGAUUCCUUAAACGCCGAUUUUUGGAUUGUAGGGUUUCCAAUUCUUUUUGAAGCUCGAAAUUGUGAAGAUUGUGGGGAGUAUCAUGGUGAUGAUGGAGGUGGUGGCUACAUUCCAAGGCGGUCCAUGCGACAUCGGUGACUUCGAGGACGGUCUUGGCAACUUCCACAGCUUCAUGGCCGCCCAUUGAUUAAGGCAAAAACUGGAACUUUUCUUCGAGGACUUUAGAUAUGGGGUGAGAGAGGGGUUGGAUGUUAGAGGGGAAAGUUUGGGAUUUUGGGGAGGGAAUUUUACAAAAUGGCGCUAUUUUUCUAAAAGUAAUUUUUUUGUGGCGUUUUUUACAAAAAUGUCGCUAUUGCUUAUCUAUUGUGACGUUUUUUUUUUAAAAACGCCGCAAAAAAUUAUUUCAUUUGGAAUAAAACGAUAUUGUUUUGCUAUGCUAAAAGGGUGCUAUUUUUUUAAAGUAAAAUUAUUUUUUGUGGCGUUUUUUUUAUAAAAAACUGUUGCUUACCUUUUGCGGCGUUUUUAUGAAAAAUGCCGCAAUAAAUUAUUUCAUUUGAAAUAAAACGACACUGUUUUGCUGUGCUAAAAAUCUUUUAUUUUGUCUGUUAAAAAUUAUUAGUUAAGUGAUUUUAUAAAACAUUUAUUAUUUUUUUAUAAAUUAAAUUUUUAUAAAAAAAGUCAAGUACUCUCAAAAUAAAUAUCGUAUAUUUUAAUAAGAAAAAAAUGAUUAAAUGGCUAUAAUUAAUUAUUAAGUUAGAAUAAUCCAAUGUAAGCAAUUAAUCUCUCACAUAUCAAAUUUCUAUUAAAGAUUGAGACGUUAAUCAUGAUUUUAUAUUAUUCAUUUCCAAUCUAAUCUCCAUUUUAUUAGAGAUAUUUCUUCCUAACUAAAAUAUAAUUAUUUUGUUAGAUGUUCGAUGUGGAAUGAUUUUAAUUUUUAUAUUUUAUUUUUAUUUGUUUUAAUUUGUCCUAUAUAUCCAAAAUAGAUAGUUACGUAUCUGUAUCAAUUUGUUACAUUUUUUAUUAAUUUUUUUAAAUCUAAUAUUUAAAUAUAUCAAAUGGUUUAGAUUAAAUAUUUUUAGUCAUAAACACCGCUAAUGUUACCUUUUCCGGCGUUUACAGAAAAACGCUACUAAUAAAUUAAAUUCUUGUAAUGAAAUGACACCAUUUUGAAAAAUUCUAAUACAUAUUAGCGGCGUUUUUGCUAUAAACGUCGCUAAAGCUCGCAUAUUUUAGAAUUUUUUAUAUUCAAUUAUUGUAUAUUGCAUAUCAAUUUUAAAUUAAUAAUCUUUACAAUUUAUUAUUAUCAAUUAUAUAAGAACUUAUUUAGUAUAUAAAUUAAAAAAUACUAAUUAAUCUAAACCUUAAACCCUAACCCGACCUCAAAUCUCUAAACCCUAAAUCACUAACUCUUAACCCCAAACCCCAAACCCAUAACCACUAACCCCUAAACCUUAUUUAAUAUAUAAAUUAAAAAACACUAAUUAAUCUAAAUCCUAAACCCUAACCCGACCCUAAAUCUCUAAUCCUUAAACCCUAACUCAACCCUGAAUCCCUAACCCCUAAAUAUUAUUUAAUAUAUAAAUUAAAACACACUAAUUAAUCUAAACCAUAACCUGACACCGAAUCCAUAAAACCUAAAUCUCUAACUGAUCUUAACCUCUAACCCCUAACCCAUAAACCUUAAAUCAUAACCCUUAAAUCAGAAUCCCUAAUCCAUAAUCCCUAAUUUCAUUGUUGACACCAUUUUUUGGAUGAUGAAAAACGGGGUCGACUUGGGUUUUGGAAAAUGAAAACGAAAACGAGAGUCGCCACCAAUCCUUUUUGAUAAGGUGUGAUUGGAUCACCUCGAAAAGUGGUUGUUUUUAAUAAAAGGUUUGAUUUUAUUAAAACAACAAGUUUGGUCCACGAAAUUCAGAAAAACGGGUUCGGGAGUCGGUUACACACGAGGAAGGAUUAGCACCCUCGAUACGCCCAAAAUUGGUACCUAGUUGAUUACUUAAUGUCUUAGUGUCGAAAAAACUGAAAACUUUAAAGAGAUUUAAAAUACGAUCCUAAAAACUUGAAUGGCAUGGAUUAAAAUUCAAGAGGAUGUUUAGCUAUUUGGUUGAACGAGAAAAAUCGACACCCAGCACCUUAGGGCAUGUUUUCUCGAAUUUCCAAACGCAAAACAUUGCCUUAUUUUAAAAUUUUUAAAAGGAUAUUAAGCCAUUUGGUUGAACGAGAAAAAUCGACACCCAGCACCUUAGGGCACGUUUUCUCGAAUUCCAAACGCUAAAUAUUGCCUCAAUUGGAAAUGUUUUCCCUUUUAUGAAAUAUGGUGUUUUUAUGCAUAAUGUAAUAAUAAAUGAUGUGACCAAAAUAAUAUGAGCAAAAACAAAUAAUAAAUAAAUAAAUAAAAACCUAAUUCAUCAUGUAUGUACAAUAACAAAUAAAUAAAUAAAUAAACUAAAACUUAAAAAUGGGCAUAUGAAUAAAUAAACAAAUGAACAUUAAGUAAAACAAAAUAAUAAUAAAAGGAAAAAUUGAUCCAAAUUAUAAAAUAUAUAAAAACAUUCAUGUACAUAUAAGGAAAAUAUUUAUAUAUAUAUGCUUAUAAAAAUAUGAAAACAUAUAUAUAUUUAUGUUUCAAAGUUAUUAAAUAUGUAAAACUCAUAUAGGUAUAUACAUAUAUGUAUGGAUGUGUAUAUAAAAGGACAAAAGAAGAGAUAUUAAUAUAUGUGUAUUCGUAAGGAAAAUAUACAUGGAUCUAUAUGUAUAUAAAUUUUAAAAUGUAAAACAUAUAUAUAUAUAUAUAUAUGGGUACAUGCGUAUGUAUAUAAAAAAAGUACAUAUAUAUAUAUAUAUAAAGUUAAAAGAUAUGGACGCAUAAACCAUAGGAAAAAAAAAAUAACAAAGAUAACCACAAUAAUAACAAUAGUUAAUUUAAUGAUAAUAAAAAAAAUUACAUUAACAAAUAAACAAAACGGUAGGAUGAAAUCAAAAGUAAAAUGAAAUUACAGGGUAAAAAACUGAAAUAAAACAAACAAGAAAGAUUAAAAUGGAAAUGCGCGCAAAGGUCAGGGACCAAACGGGUAAUAAGACCAUUAUUAGGACACGUGCUCGUUGCCUAGUACGCCGGAGGGCUAAGGACGAAAUCGAAAGAGAAACAAAAGUUCGGGACAAAAUUGAAAUAAAAUAAAAUCGAACAAAAGGGAGCAAAUUAAAAAAGAAAAUAAACGUGGAAGGACCGAAAUCGCAAAUAAACCCUCAGGCACGAAAACACGCGGACCUUCAUCGGGUUGGGUCGGGUCGGCCUGAUCCAUGUCAAAACGACGCCGUUUUUUUUACUAUUGCUACUAGCCAAAACGACGUCGUACCAGAAGGCUAUAUAAGCCUAAAAAUCUUUAAAAGAAAUCAUUUUCCUUCUUCCUUUAAAAAAAAAGAGAAUCUCUCUCUAUUCUCUUUCUCUUCUCCGGCCAAGGGGUCAGUGUGGACCACCGUGCCGGUCGCCGAUUACCGGCGCCGACGCCGCCGUAGGCGGCGGUCGGAAGGUAAAAGGUCGGGUUUUUUAAACCCCGUUUCAAAAGCCUUUCAGAGAUCAGGUCCUUAAGGCCCUAAGUCCAAGAGAGGGAACUCCAAAAAAGAAACGCCUUCCUCGUCCGUUCUCAAUGAUUCGGACUCCGGCGACGCCACGACCGCGACGGUUCGGGUAAGUUUCGUUUAUUACUUUUUUUAGUUUAUUAAAUGUGAAAGAAAAGAAAAAGCAAGAACAGAUCCGAAUCGAAGAGAAAAAGACUAAAAAUAUCACCUUUCAAACUGAUUUUCUUUUCUAUUUCUUCUAUCUUGUUUUUAAAAAAUCAGCCCCUUUUACAAAGAUUUUUUUGUUGGCUUUAUAGCCGAUUUACAUGAAUUUUUUAGUCUAUUUUCUAUGCUUGUCAUGUCUGCCUUGAUUUGUUUGCAGGGAUCAACGCACGUGGGUGGAGAUGACAGUGGCAGUUGGCGGUGGUUGCUGGCAGAGCAGGUGGGCAGAAGACCAAAGGUCAGAAGACCCUAAGAGCGGCGCCUAGGGUUCUUCUAUUUUCUGCUAGGUUUUUUCUAUUUUGGGUUUUUAGUAUUGGGUUUGUUAUUGGGCUGGUAGUUGGGUAUUUGGGCUGAGGGUUAGUGGGUUACAAUUUUAUAAAUAGACUGUUAAUAGUUUAGUUUUUCUGGUGCAGGCCCGGGCAGAAAUGGGCUUGUACAUCCAUAAUCUAUAAACCUUAAAAUUGUAACUUUUAAACUGACCCUAAAUCCUAAAUUAACCAUAUAUAUACUCUAAAACAUAUAUAUUAAACCCUAAACAUUCGGCUAUAGACUCGAGACCCGGCUAACACUUUUUGUUAUUAAGAAAAAACAAUCAGCUUUUUCUUUUCAGGAGCAAAUUGUCCAACUAACCCCACCGACUCUAUUAGCUAAAUUGAAUCCCAACUUCACUUAAUUAUUUUCUAAAAUUCAAUAUUUAAUAAAUUUUAUUCGAAUUUCAAUAUUUAUAAUAUUUUCCUAUAACCCUUUCUCAGCCUAAAAAACCUAGCUAGUAUUAAUUUCUAGCAUGGUAUUAGACCAAGUAACAACCUCAUUUGUCCCUUUUCAUUCAUUUUCAGUUCUUACUCUUGAGUCGGUACUAUUAGGUCAUUGUUGUGCUCAUGUUUGAUUAACUAAAUAUAAAAUUAUUUUUGGUAAUAAAAUUAUCAAUAUAUAAUAUUAUUUAUCACGAUAUUUGGUGUUUUAUAUUACUUUCUUUGAUUUAUUUAAUCAAACUAUCAAAAUUUAUUAUUCUUAUAAAAAUUUAUUCUAUUUUUUAUUCUUUACAACACAACAACUUAAGUUUUAUGAUAUUUUAUUUUACUCAUAAUUUAAUAUAUUUUUCUAGUAAAGUAGUUUAAAUAAACUGUGAUUGAAUAAUAAUAAUAAAUAGUUAGGAGUUAGGACUUCUCUUUAAUAAAAACAUUUUGUAUUAAACAAUAUUAUUUGUUAUCAUUCAAAUGUAAAUUUGACCAAUAUAUAAUAAAUACAAUGAAAUAUCAAUUUUUUCAACUUAUAAUAAAAAAUAUAAUUGAAACAUUACUUGAGAAUAUAUCAAAGAAUGAGAUAAUUGAAAUGGUUUUAGAUUUUAUUAUUAUUAGCGACGCUUUUUCAAAAACGAUGCUAAAGGCCCGAGCAUUAGCGGCGCUUUUUCAAAAACGCCACUAAAGGCCAAAGCAUUAGCGGCGCUUUUUCAAAAACGCCGCUAAAGGCCCGAGCGUUAGCGGCGCUUUAAUAAAAACGUCGCUAAAGGCCAGAGCAUUAGCGGCACUUUUUCAAAAACGCCGCUAAAGGCCCGAGCGUUAGCGGCGCUUUAAUAAAAACGCCGCUAAAGGCCAGAGCAUUAGCGGUGCUUUAAUAAAAACGCCGCUAAAUGCCCCAAAAACUCAGAAAACGGUGUCGUUGGGCUUAGGCUUUUUGCGGCGCUUUCUAAAAAAUGCCACUAAUGCUUAUUUUUAGCGGCGUUUUACAAAAAGCGCUGCUAAUGCUCGACCUUUAGCGGCGUUUUUAUAAAAGCGCCGCUAAUGCUUGAUUUUUAGUGGCGUUUUUUUGUCCAAACGCCGCUAAAAACGCCGCUAAAAGCAUGUUUUGAUGUAGUGAGUAUUUAAGAAGAAUUGUCUUCCUUUCUCUUUUUUCUGAAUAUUAAUUACUUAAUUACUUUCUUAAAUGACAUGAAAUUUCAUUUAUUUUUCUUUUCUCCCUUCUUUCUUUUCCUUCUUUAUUCACUAAAUCACUACCAUCCACAAUCUGUGCCUCCCUUAAGUUGUCCACAUCAUCUUUAACCUCAACCUUCUUUACAAGAUAUAUAGAUAGAUGCAUGCAGAUGAAGGGGCCAGGAGUUUGGUUGAGUGACGGAGCAACGAUAUACGCAGAUGGUAUGGUUUGUGCAAGCAGGUACUGAAGAUUACAUACCUAGAAAAAUUAGGUGACAGGACAUAUAAUGUUAACUUUGGCAUGAUAAUUAAACUUAAUAUACACACUACACCAAAACAGGUUUUUAGCGGCGCUUUUUUAGGCCUUUAGAAGCCGCUAAUGACUGUGCCGCUAACUUUAGCGGCGUUUUUAGAAAUAAACGCCGCUAAAGGUGUUGGUCUAUAGCGGCGCUUCAAGCACAAACACCGCUGAAGACUAAGACCUUUAACGGCGCUUUAGUGGAAGCGCCAUCUUUAGCGGCCUUUUUGUGAGAAGCGUCGCUAAAGAUUAGGGUCUUUAGCGGCGCUUCGACCACAAACGCCACUAAAGAACCAAAUCUUUAGCGGCGCUUUCCCCACAAAUGCCGCUAAAGACCAUGAUCUUUAGUGGCGCUUUUUCUACAAACGCCGCUAAAGACCCUUAUCUUUAGCGGCGCUUUUAUCAAAAACGCCGCUAAAGGCCAACACCUUUAGUGGCGUUUUUUUUAAAAACGCCACUAAAUUUGGCAGAUUUGUAAAAUAAUUUUUUUUAUAUUUUCAGCCUCCUGUAAAAACAAAUCAGAAGAAAUCAUAUUUAAACCAGCCAAAAGUAAUAAAUCUAUAGAUCAAUAAAUAAUAUAAUAAAUAUCAAUAAAUAAAAUAAAAUUCGUAUUAUUCUUACAAAAAUGUUAAAAGUUAAAAUGAUAAUUAAAAGUCAAAAUUGAAGUAUAUUUACACGAUAGUCUAAGACGGCGGUUGUUGCGACUGCUGAAACAUCUUCAUCAUACUCUGAAGCUGCUGCUGGAGUUCAUCGAACUUUUGACGCUGCUCUACUUCCCUCGCUGCAGCCUCUACUUCCCUCGCUAUAGCCUCUGCUUCCCUCGCUGUAGCCUGUACCUCUCUCGCUGCCGCCUCUGCUUCUCUUGUUGCCGCAUCUGCUUUAAGCUGCUGCUGGAGUUCUUCAUACUUUCAUUGAACCUCAGCUUCUCUCGCUGUUGCAUCUCCUUUAAGUUGUAGCUGGAAUUCUUCAUAUCUUUUUUGAACCUCAGCUUCUCUCGAUGUUGCCUCCGCUUUAAGUUGUGUAAUUUGCUCAGUUGUUGUCGCUUGCAUCUGAGCCAUCUGGUCUCUUAACCUCUGAACUUCAGCUUCAGCUCGACUCCUUGAAGGCAUAUAUUAUUGCAAGCUAGAUCCAAAAUAUUGGGAUAGGUUAACAAAAGAUCCUUGAAAUCGAACCCGACCAUACCUUUCAGGACCCAAAACUUCAGUGAUAAUCCGGUUAUCAAUGUCGUCAAUAUGAACAGAACUAUCACUGGAAGCAAUCGCUUCGUACUUCACCUUUUAUCCUUUAAUUUUUCCUAAAAAAUAAAUCACAUAGUUAGGAACGCAAUAUAUAUUAAAAAACCCAAUGCAACAUAACUUAACAAUAUUUGCAUUACAAUAAAUGAAAUAAACCAUUAGAAAAUAAACACUAUAAAUAAUUAAAACAAGUGAAAUUGUAUUAAGCAAACGUACCAUAAUUUCUGCAGCUUCAGGAGUCAUAGGGUUUCCAUCUUUCUUCUUAUGUGUAAUGUCAAAAAGUUGAAGGCGUCCNNNNNNNNNNNNNNNNNNNNNNNNNNNNNNNNNNNNNNNNNNNNNNNNNNNNNNNNNNNNNNNNNNNNNNNNNNNNNNNNNNNNNNNNNNNNNNNNNNNNUUUUUGACCGGACGACAGUUCCUACAAUACAAUAGUAAAAAUAUUAAUUGAUAGAAAGUAAUAAAUAUCUGCCAAUAUUAAAAAAUUCAAAAUACCUCUGCAUGAGUUACACACACAAAACUUUUCGACCCAGCUGUGUGACUGAAUUUUUGUUGCUGCCUACUAUUUUUUCCAACUCGUUCACAAUCCUACAUUAUGAAAUUAUUAGUACGUUAAUUAGGAAAUACUAUACACCAAAAUAAUUACAAAAUUUUAUAAGUUACACAUACCUCUCAUUUCUUCGAAGUCCAAAAUCUAACGACCUCUUCCCACUGGUACCUCAGCAUUCCCGGCGGGACAUUUUGUAAUCUCUCGUCGAGUGUUGUUUUUGUCUUAAAAUAGUCUUUCUUUAAAGUUCUCUUAUGGUCUCUCCAUCUUUUUCCCAAUGCCUUCUUUACAUAAGCAUCGGAGACCUCUAGAGUAAAUCUCGCCUACAAAAAACACAACUUAAGAAAGUAAAUGUAAACGAAACUUAAACCAAAGUAUUAUAAAUGACAUACACGUUUUGUUACCUUAAUGUUAUCAAGAUCUUGGUUCUUAUUACUCUCGGGCACUUUAUGCCAUGACUCGAAGUUAAUUGGCAACAUAUUUGCAUUCCGUGCUAGAAUGCUCAUGUAUCCUGCUAAAAGGCGAGCUUCUGAUCCAACAGGCUGACCAAAGCUAUUACUAGAUACUUGGACACGCUCGAUUGGAUCUAGCUCGUAUAAAUCGCUCAGUACCGUACGUCCGCGAACUCUCCGCGUCCCACCAGUUUCAUCUGAAAAAUAAAAGUAUUGUAAUAUACGAAAUUUAAAAAAAAUAAACAAGAAGUCAACACACAUGUAAAUUAAAUGUUAAAUUACUUUGAACUUCUAUAGGUUCCUCAGGUGUAACCGGAACAUUCGAAGAUCCAAUAGCAGUCUGUUGUUCAGUGCUAUUUGUUUUCGCCGAGUUUGGAGUACCUUGAACAAUGCGGUGCGAUCGCACUUUUCUUCUAGGCAUUUUAUCUGAAUACAAAUAAAUUAGUUGAAAACUUUGUAUACAAUUACAACAAUAAUAUCACAUAUAAAAUAGUUGAAAUAUAUUCAUUCGUAAAUAUAAUUAGAUAAUGGUAAAAGCUUACUACAUUAUAAUUCAUAAAUAUCUUCAUCCGUAUCCUGGCGGACCCAUUGAAAUUGUGUACUAGUACUAGGGAUGUUUUCGUUUAAGUUCUGUUCUGGAAAUGGCAAAGUUUGUGUUCUAUCGUCAAUGUCAUCUCUACUUCCACUGCCCAUGUCAAACAAGUCUCUAGGGAUGUUACAGAGUACAACGUACCAACCCUCAUCAGUUGGAUCUUUUGAGUAAAAAACUUGUUUGACUUGAGAAGAAAAUACAUACGGCUCAUCAAUCAAUUGUUGUCCUGUGUGAAUUAAUCAAGCGAAGUUUACCAUUGUGAAACCAAAUUGAUCUUGCUUUAUUCCACGUGCAGUAUUAACAUCGGCCCAAUCACCUCGAAAUAAGACAACUUUCCAUUUGCCGUAGUAAUCCAACUCAAUUAUGUCAGUAAGAAGUCCAAAAUAUUCCACAUUUCCCUCCACAGGAUUAUUGUCCCUAACACUAGCAUAACUUGUAAUUGAGGAAUUAACAACUAUUCCACAAUUUUGCGUUCUCCUCAAUCUCUCGCGAUAUUUUGUAUGAAAUCUGAAUCCGUUUAUAAGGAACGCACUAUAUCUUUUAACCACCCGAUUUGGACCUUGGGAAAGCCAUUUAACUUCGUCGGUGAUGUUCUUCCCACUCCAAACCUAUUGAAUGGAAAGUAAACUGAGUAAUUAAAAAUGUUUUGAGUAAAUAUUAUUAUUUGUCGGUGAAAGUUCCAAUUACAUACCGUUUGACUUAACCAUUCAUGAAAAGAUUCUGUAAACAACUUAUUAAUAUCUCGAUGUUGUGUUCUUCGGGAGCGCGAACGAGAUCUCAAUAUUUGUUUGUACUCAAUAUGUUAAAAAUAUGUUCAGUUUUUUAGACUAUAAACAAUUUUUAAAUGAUGAAUAUUUAUCAAAUUUCCAGAACUUACUUGCGUAAAGGUUCCACUAAUUCGUGGUGAAACAGAACAUAUCGAUGUGCUUGUACCCACGAUAAAUCAUCUAAUUCUGCAAUUUCAACUUUACCGAUUGGUUCUCCAAAACUUUGGAACAAAUAAUUAUCGGCAAAGUUAUGAUUCGUGAGUCCAGCAUUUCUAUUUCGUCUAUUCAACCUUGUUUCAACAUCUUCCAAAUAUCUUGAACAGAAGGUCAUACAUUCCUCUGCCAAGUAGCCUUCAGCAAUCGAUCCUUCUGGAUAACGCUUGUUGCGGCAAUAAGACUUUAAUUUGGAUAGGAACCUAAACACGAUAUACAACAUUAUCAAAAGUUGUAACUAAAGGCAUAUAGGUGAAUGAAGGAAAAUUUUAAAAAUUGUAAUUAAUACCUUUUUAUGGGAUACAUCCAUCGAUAGAAAAUGGGUCCGCCAAGAAUUGCUUCAUGCAGGAGAUGGAUUAUCAAGUGAACCAUAAUAGUGAAGAUGGAAGGUGGGAAGAUUUUCUCCAUGUUGCAUAAAGUUAAAGCGGCUCGAUCCUGUACCUUCUGAAGUUCUUGAACAUCCAAAACUUUGCCACAAAUGACUUUCAUUAUAUUGGAUAGUUCAAUUAUACAAGACAUCACCUUCUUCGAAAUACAAUAUCGUAGAGCAACUGGCAGUAAAUCUUGCAUCAAGAUGUGAUAGUCAUGUGAUUUUAGCGAAUAUAGUCUUCGAUCUUUAACACUAACACAUCGAGAUAUAUUUGAUGCAUACGCAUCUGGAACCUUUAUAUCCUUCAACACCAUGCAGAACACUUCUUUCUCUGUCUUCGACAUUGAGAAAAUAGAAGGCGGCAACCGAUAUUUACCAUUCAGAAGUGGAUUCGGAUGAAGAUCAGGUCGAAUUCCCAUCUGAACUAAAUCAAGUCGACUCUGAAGAUUGUCUUUUGAUUUUCCGUCUACAUUCAAAAUUGUACAGACAAUGUUCUCGCAGACAUUUUUCUCAAUAUGCAUAACAUCAAGAUUAUGUCGUAAAAGGUGGUGCUCCCAAUAAGGAAACUCAAAAAAAUACUUCUUUUUUUCCACAAGCCCGCCUCAUUAGGAUCAUCCUCUUCAUCGGAGUCAUCAUCAUCUUCAUCAUUUGAUCUUCUAUUUCUUUGCGUGUUUGCCGGUUGAUUCAUCUUCCCAUAACUGAAAUUCACAUCUUCCAACAUUAAAAAGAUUUCAGAUCCACUUGUCUGCGAAGGAGCUUCUCUGAACUCUUCAGUACCGUCAAAUGCCGAACUCUGAAAUCUAAAUCUAUAUUUUUCGGUAACCACCGACGAUGCCCGAUGUAAGAGAACUUCUUCCCAUUGUAUAACCAUUGCAAACAUGUUUGUGCAGCACAACAAGGGCACGCAUAACGACCCUUGGUACUCCAACCGGAUAAAUUGGCAUAAGCGGGGAAGUCAUUAAUGGUCCACAUCAAAGCUACACAUAAAUUAAAGUUCUCCUUUCUCAACACAUCGUAUGUCUCGACACCAGCCCAUAAUUGUUUUAACUCUUCAAUAAGUGGCUGUAAAAAAAUGUCGAUAUCAUUCUUGGGCCCUUUCUUUCCAAGGAUAAUCAUAGAUAAGAUAAGGGAAGAUUGCUUCAUGCAAAUCCACGGAGGCAGAUUGUAAGGAACAAGCACUACUGGCCAAGUACUGUAUGCAGUACUCAUGAUCUUGUAAGGAUUAAAUCCAUUAGAUGCUAGGCCAAGCCUCACACUCCUGGGAUCGCUUACAAAGCUUGGAAAUUUAUUGUCAAAUGAUUUCCAAGCUAAAGAAUCUGUCGGAUGCCUUAAUAAUCCAUCAUCGGUUCGUCCUUCAUGGUGCCACGUCAUUGACUCUGCUGUCUUCGACGACAUGAAAAGCCUUUGAAGCCUUGGUAUCAGCGAAAAAUACCGCAAAAUCUUGGCUGGCUUUUUUCUUGGUUGUGCAUCAUUUUCAUCGUCGUUCCCAUCUUCUGUGUUUCUAUUUAUCCAACGGGAUUCUCCGCAUACAUGACAGCACUAUUGGUUUCUCCGAUCGCCCCAAUACAACAUGCAAUCAUUCGGGCAACUAUGGAUUUUGUUGUACCCAAGACCCAAGUCUUUUAUCAUUUUCUUCAUAUCUUUGCAUAACUGAGGGAUUUUUGCAAACGGAAACAUUUCUCUCAAAAACUCUAAUAGCAUUGUCAAUGAGUUCCCGGUCCACCCUCCCAAACAUUUUAACUGGAAAAGACGAAUACAGAAAGACAUUUUUAAAAAAUUCUAUCCCUCAUAUAGUUCUUCAUUCAUCUCAUUAAGUAGCGCGUAGAACUUCGCCGCUUCUGCAUUCGGCUCUUCAUGAGGUACACUUGUUCCCGGUUCAGUAAAAGCAUUUGCACCAACAUUACAAUCAUCAGAUGCCAUAAAGUCAGUUGGGAAUGGCGACUGAAAACCAUGAUUGUGCAUAUUAAAUGCAUCCCGCAACAUACCUUCCAUGUCAUCCCCUCCAACAGACUAAUGGUAAGCAGUACCAGGAUAAGAUAUAUCCAUCGUUGAAGAGGAGGUACUAGGCGGGCAUUCUCCAUGAAAAAGUCAUUUUUUAUAACCCCGAACAAACCCAUCAACAAUUAGAUGCUCGUAUACAACUUCUCGGUAAUGCCAGUUUAUGUUCACACACUUCUUACACGGGCAAAGAAUCAUGUUCUCUUGGCUUGCAUAUUGAAAUGCAAAAUUUAGAAAAGUCUCAACUCUGUUUCGAUAACCGUUGCUUACCCUUGACAAAUUCAUCCAAGAUCGGUCCAUAUCUCAAUUCUUGAAGUCUGACGUUGACAAUGAAUUGCACAGGUAAGUUAUGUAUUAUGUAAGCUAUGUAAGUUGUGUAUUAUGUAAGUUAUUAUUAUGUAAGUUAUGUAAGUAAUGUAUUAUGUAAGUUGUGUAUAAUGUUAGUUAUCAAAGUUAUGUAUUAUGUAAGUUAUUUAAGUUAUGUAAGUUGUGUAUUAUGUAAGUUAUGUAAGUUGUGUAUUAUGUAAGUUAUGUAGGCUAUGUAUGUUAAGCAAGUCAUGUAUUAUGCAAGUUGUGUAUAAUGUUAGUUAUCAAAGUUAUGUAUUAUGUAAGUUAUUUAAGUUAUGUAAGUUGUGUAUUAUGUAAGUUAUGUAGUCUAUGUAUUAUGUAAGUUAUUAUGUUAUUAUGUAAGUUAUGCAAGUUUAUAUAUAAGUUUAUAUUAUGUAAGUAUUUCACUUUUAUGUAUCUUAUUUAUAAUUAUUUUUAAAAUUAUAAAAUUCAUUUCUAAUAAAAUUGAAAUGUAGGAUAUAUAUCCAUACCAUAUAUGGGGUGAUAUAUUAAAAAUAUAGGUUUUAAUAUUUAAAAAUAACAUUUACAAUUAUUUUUAAAAUUAUAAAAUUUAUUGACAAUAAAAUUGAAAUAUAGGUUAUAUAUNNNNNNNNNNNNNNNNNNNNNNNNNNNNNNNNNNNNNNNNNNNNNNNNNNNNNNNNNNNNNNNNNNNNNNNNNNNNNNNNNNNNNNNNNNNNNNNNNNNNNNNNNNNNNNNNNNNNNNNNNNNNNNNNNNNNNNNNNNNNNNNNNNNNNNNNNNNNNNNNNNNUUAAUUUUAGUAAGUCAUGUAUUUAAGUAUAUAUUUAAGUAAAUUCUAGUAAGUAAUGUAUUUAAGUAAUAUAUUUAAAGUAAAUUUUAGUAAUUAUAUAUUUAAGUAAUGUAAGUUAUAAGUUUUAAAAAUAUAUAUAUUAAUAAUUCAUUGACAAUUGACUGACAGUCAAUCAAUUAAUUGAUCAAUUUAUUGAAUAAUCAUAGAUUAUUAAACAUUAACAUUCAAUCAAUUAAUCACAUAUAACAUCGAUAAUUUAUUCAUUGACAUAAAAUCGAAAAUCGAUAAUUUAUUCACAUUAAACCGAAUAAACUAAUCGCCCAUAAUUUAUUCAAUUACUCAAAUAUAAAAAGUGAUUUAAGAAUCAUAAUCUGAACAUUAUGAAAUUUGCAUAAUUUUUUUUCUUGGGUAAAUGAUACGUAGCAAAAUAACAAGCAUAAUUUAAAACUAGCAUAACUUGUAAUAAGCUGCAAAGUUACACGCAAAUUGAGCUAGCAACAUAUAAAGCAAAGAUGAUAAUUAAAACCGAUACCCACAGCUUUAAAACCAAAAAUCUUAAUUAAAACUCCGUUUUAAAACUAAAAAAAAUAAUUAAACGAUAAUGCUAAAAUAUAACCAAAUCCGAAAUUUAAACAUUUGGAGGUGUUUUUUUUAAGAAAACUAUCUAGGGAAACAUAGAAAUAAAUACCUCAAAUUUCCUCAACUUCGAAGCAAACUUUUGCAAAAAAAAAAAGAAAAACACACACACAAGUAAACUAGUACCAACAAAACAGAAAAAAAUAACAGAAGGAAACAAAACAAUAUUUAACUAAAUUAAGAUACAAAUCUAAAUUUGAAUUUUAAUUAUCACAACAAUCAGAACAAUACAUAAAGACCAAUGCAGAACAAGACUCUAUAUUUCUUCAGAAUUACCGUAUGAACUAUUUCCAUAUCAAACUCACUUCAUUAUUCAUACCAAAUAUUAAUAUCAAAUAUUUAACAACUUUGAUUCAGAUGAAAUAUCUAAUAUCAAAUUCACAUCAAAGAACAUUUGACAGUAGCCUAAAUUUAGGAUCUAACCAACCAUUCUUUUACAAAUUAUGAACAGUUGACAGCAGCUAAGCUGCUGUCUACAGCCUAUCUACAGUCACAAUUUUGGCAAAUUGCAGCAUUGAGUCUCAUAACCCACAAGAUAUAAUUAGUUACAUUUAACUAAAUAUGAAUAAAAUCUAUUAUUAAAUAAUAUAUGUUGCUAUCGCAAAACAAGGUAGAAAACAGAACAGCUAUUUGCAUAUUCAUUCAGAAAAUCUCGUAAAACAGACUAGAAAACAAACUAGAUCCCUUUUGUUCAAAUUGAUUAUAAAACAGUCAUCCCGAGGUAUUGAAAUUUAAGCAGCAAAAUCUGGUAUCGAUUUCUCCACACUCAGACCACAGGUGUGAAACGCAUUUUAAACAUUUAUAAAUUUCAUAGCUUUCUUUUUUUAUAUAUCUGAUUGACCUCAUGAAUAACAUGAUAACAGAAAUGAGUCUUAUAUAUUUUGUAAUCAAUUUUUGCAGGCAUUGAAGGCUAAAUUGGCGAAAGAUAGUGAACUUCAACUCAUCUGCUUCAGCUUGUUUGAUUUAGUAAAGCGGUUAGUCAAUUCUCUGCAACAUUUAUUCAGCAAAUUGAAUUUUCUGUUUUCAUUUGCAUCUUCUAAUUUCUAAGCUAUUUUUGUAUAUGAAAAUAUGAAUUUCUAAACAUUUUUCAAAUACAUAAAACUUUAAAAAUAUAAAAAUACUCAAGCAUUCGAUCCUUACACUGGAAUCCAAGUAGCAUAGAUUAAAACCGGUGUUUAUUUUUUCUUUUCUAACAAAAUCCUAACCGAAUAACUGACAUUUAUAAUCAAAAUAAAUCAUAAAAUAAAUAAAAUACCUUUUAAAAUUAUAAAGCACAGCAAUGUUAUUGUCAACAGAACAUAACUAAAAAUUUAAAGAAAAAGAACAGCGAAAUACACAAAAUGAAGGGAGAAACACGCAGAAAUCCCCAAACCCUAGACAUGCAAAAAUCCCCAAAUUCCCUAAAUUCCCAAACAAACUACCAAUAGCUUGGUGAUUGAACUUGGAAUCUAAACCCCAAAUUCCCAAAUUACACUGAACCAAAACCCUAAAUCAAGAUACAGUAUUUCAAAAGGAAAAACGCUUACCUUUUAACCACAAAUUCCGCAGCUUUGAUAGUAUCCUGUGAAGAUUGACUAAACCUUUGCUUCGUUUGUGAUGAUUCUGAGUCCUCCUCUCCCUUUUUUUUCUUUGUAUUUUUUCACGAUUUCUGGGGAAAAGUUGGGGGGGCCUUUUUGGGGACAAAAUAAGUUUUUCGGCUAAAUGUUGGGAUGAAAUACAGAAUGAACAAUUGCGGCAUUUGUAAUAUAGCGCCACUAAUACCGUUAAUGUGGUAGAUAAACGAUAGCGUUUUUUUAAAACUGGAAAGCAAAUUUGCGGCGCUUUCGCCUAUCGCCGCUAAAACAUACCUUUACUGGCGCUUUUACAAUUGCGCCGCAAAAGCCAGUAAAUUCCCGAACAAAAACAACAUCCCAAACUAUUCAUAAUUUUUUGUGGCGUUUACGAAUAAAACGCCGCUAAUGCCCAUUUUUCUGGCGUUUUUAUUUUUUACAAAAACGCCACUAACAAAUUAAAUUCUUCUAUUGAAACGGCACCGUUUUUUAGAAAUUUUAAAACAUUGUUUUUUUAAUUCAUAUUUAAAAAACACAAUAUAUAAUUACAAAUUGCGGCGUUUACGAAUAAAACGCCGCUAAUGCCGUUAAUAUGCAAUAGAAAACGACAACGUUUUGAUUAAACUACAGAGCAACUUUACGGCGUUUUCUUCCUAGCCUCUAAUACCCAACUUUAGUGGCGUUUUUGCCCUUGCGCCGCGAACGCCGUUAAAUUCUCAGCCAAAAACUACACCGUUUUUACCAAAUUAUUAAUAACUUUUACGGCGUUUUUGCUCAAAACGCCGCUAAAUCUCACAUCUUUUACUUAGUAUUAUUUGUCUCUUUCUUUCUUCUAUGUUUCAUUAGAAUUUUAAUUAAUUAAUUAUUAAAAUUUUAAGUAAUGUUUAAAACUAUCUGAUAAAAUUAUAAAUUUUAGUUUUUUAUUUCAUUUUUAUAUUAUUUUAUUUUUUCAUAUAUUUUGAUCCUAUCCAAAUUAAAUAUAAGUAAUUACUAUAUUUAUAUAUAUAAAAUAUCGAAUUGUUAAUGUUAAAUAUUUUUAAAUAUAAAUUUUAGUAAUUAAAUGUAUCAUUUAACAAGCUGUCUAAAAUAAACCAAAACCCUAAUUAAUUUCACAAUUCGGUAUACAUGCAUAUAUAAAUUAAGUGAUCUAUAUAUAUAUAUAUAUAUAUAUUAUAUAUCUCUAAUUAAUUUAAUAAUAUAUACUAUACAUAUCUUUGAAAUAUCUUAAAUGAUCACUGAAUCCUCCCCCAAUUGUAGGAUUCUUGACAUGUGCUAUCGGUGCCCUAGGAACAUUGCCAAAAUACCGAAAGGGGGCAUCUGCUAGCUUCCAACCCUCCAAAUCCCGUCGUUCAUCAAUAAAUAUUUUUAGAACGAUCCUUUCUACUAUAAAUUAGAAGGCUGAACCAGAUUUUGUAGAGUAGUGACAAAAUUUUGGAGAAACAAAACCGGACGAUCACUACUUAAUAUUAAAUUUAUUAAUUAUUAUAUAUUUUACAAACAUAUAAGAACAUAUUUAAUAUAUAAAUUAAUAAAACUAAUUAAUCUAGCCCCUAACUUGAGUAGUACCCUUAAUUGACACCCUAAACCCUAAAUCCCUAAAUCCCUAACCCCUAACCCCUAAAUCUCCUAGCCCCUAAAUUCCUAACCCCUAACUCCUAACCCCUAAAUCUCUAACCCCUAACCCCUAAACCUUAUAUCUCAAACCCUAAUAAUCAUAUAUACGCCCUUUAUAUAUACCUUCCAAAAAAUUCCCUAAAUCUUUAAUAAUCAUAAAAACAGUUAAAAUCGAUUAAACAAUAAUUAAUAGUUAAAAAUUUUGUAUAAAGUAGCAAUAAAUAAUAUUAUUCUUUAUAAAAUUUAUUUUUUAUAUAAAGUAUGGAAUUUUUAAUAUUUUAUUUUAUUGAUAAAUAUUGAAUAAAUUUCUCUAAUUAACAAAUUUAUUAUAUUCUUAAUUUCUCAAAUAGAUAUAUAAAUGAAAAAACAAGAAGGACGAACAACUAUAUAUAUACAUGGCAUUUUUCUUUAAUAUUGAUGAAGUGAUAACAAAAGGAAUGAUAGCAAGUUAGGACGUAUAUAUAUGCAUAUAUUUUAAUUAAUUGAAUGAGAUCAAUUCAAAUUCACAAUUUGAUUUAAGUAUUUAAUUAAAUGUUUGUCAUGAAAUAUUAUAAUUAGUUGAGUAUUAAGUACUAUUUCAACCUUGAAUUUAAAUUAAAUAAUAUAUAUUAUCCAUCAAAUUUUUUAAUCCUAAUAAAAAACAUAAUUUUAAAAUUUUAACCUUUUUUUGGAUUUGAUCACAUCCACAAUAUAUAAUUUAAAUUAAUACUAUAUUAAAUUAAUAAUCAUAUAUAUAUAUAUAUAUACCUUAAACCUGUAAUUAAACCCCAAAUUAACUAUACUGAUAAUUAAUUAAUUCAAUAUUUUAAAUUUAAAAUCAUACUAUAUCUGUUUUACUAUUAUAUAAAAAAAAAAUUACUAUAUAUAAUAAUAUAAAAAAAUAAGCAGUAUAUAUUAAUCAUGUAUCCAAAAAUCUUAAAAUUAUUUUAAAUAAUAGUAUUUUAAUUUUUUCCAUGUGAUUUAUUUCAAAUUAUUUUUAUGUGUUAUUUUUUCUGAAUAUUUUAAAUAUUUAAUUAGAUUUAAGUUGAAUUUUAUUUCAUUAAUCUAAAUAAUAAACCAAUUAAGAUAAAAUAUUUUUUUUGCGGCGCUUCAACAAAAACGCCGCUAAAACCCUAACAUUAGCGGCGCUUAUCAUAGAAUCGCCGCUAAAAAUCUUAACUUUAGCGUCGCUUAUAUAAAAACGCCGCUAGAAGACCAAAUAUUCGCGGCGCUUCAAAGAAAUCGCCGCUAAAUACCUUAACUUUAGCGGCGGUUGAUUAAAAAUGCCACUAAAACCCCCGACCAUUAGCGGCGAGAGCCUAAAAACGCCGCUGAAAGUAAAAGCAUUAGCGGCGGAAAUAUAAAAACGCCACUAAAGCCCUCCGAAGACUACCAAACGACGUUGGGAUUUUUUUUUUUGCGAAUGCAUAUUUUCAGCGGCGUUUUCUUAGUAACGCCGCGAAAGCUCAUUUUUAGCGGCGUUUUCUGUCAAGCGCCGCUAAUUCCUGAAUUUUACCGGCGUUUUUUAUCGAAACAUCACUAAAAGUACCGCUAAAACCCUGUAGUGACACUAAAAUAUUUGACCCUAGCCAAAUGCCAAACUAAAAGCAAAACCAUGAAAACUUCAAUCACUACUUUCAUUACAUACAAAAGCGUAGGCAUUCGUUUUUUUAUUGAAAACACACCAGCACAAUAAUACUAAAAAUUAAUCUUUCACAAAAGCCAACACGGUUUGCAUGAAGGUGAAGACGAGCACCAUAAAAGCUGCAACAGUCCCUGUUCCUCUCCAAAGAUUGGGGAAAUAAACACGCUUCAGAAUUCCAUAAAUCUCCUUGAUGAAUAAUGUCACUUUGCGCUUCCGAGCCUCUUUAUAAAGCUGGUUCAAUCGGUUCGCGGUUACCCGGUAGCAUGCAGGAGAUGGCUGCCCAAUUCCCACCAUAAGUUUCUUAAUCAUACGUUGCACCGCUAUAUUCGUGUUUAUUAUGGUAACCAGUCUUCCUUCGUGUUGGCCUUCCUUGCUUAAAAUCUCUUUUUCUAUUAACCGUUCUACAUCUUGGGCAUUUUGAAUGAGAUAGUUCAUUAGUUCUACGUAAGCACAAACGUAGGCUUCAUCUGGACAAUGGCACAUCUCGAACGCCAUGACGUUCCGAAGGUAAGCUUCAGUGUUGGAGUGCACUGUCAAUUUGGGGGUUUUAAGCUUUUUGCCUUCAAAUUUAACAUCAAGCAAACAUGCAGUUUGGUUGGGUUCAACUAUAAGCUCAACACCAACUUCUUGCAAACUUGUGGCACCGUACACUUUUUUCAACGUUGGGAUCUUGGUCUUUGAUGAUGGAUUUUAUGUUUUGGUCAUAUGGCAUCUUUGCAAAGCGGUGAAGUGUGGGAUUUGUAUAUGCUCGAACUGCGGGUCCCAUGGAAUGUCAAAGUAGGAACAAGCUAGUUUAAGGAAAGAAGGAACAGAGGCAUCUGAUGCUAGUUUGUGGUUUUCAUAUGGUUUAUACAGUUCUUCAAGCACGAACAUUGGGAUCUGGUUUUCAAGUAAGAUCAAAUCCCUCCGUAGACCAGCGGACCAUGUUUCUUUCAACAACAAGUCUUUGAUGUCCGAAUUUUUUUCCACUUCCUUCUCAUAGUUCCUCAAGAAGAGCUCCAUGAUAAACAGUGCAUCAUAAAAUAUCAUCUUUACGAACUCGUCUUCAUCGAUUAAAGCCUGUAACAGUUGAGAAUAUUUUUAUCGUAGCGUUCAAUGAAACUCCAAAAACUUUCCAAUGCCUUCUUGGAAACGGAAGUCCUUUGAAGAAAUUUAACUUGAUAAUCCACUUUAUACUUGGCCAUGCUAGCCAAACUUGUUUUCCGAUAAUGAAGAGGGCCAAUUGAAAUUAAUAGAGGAGUGUAAGCUUUUGGAUUUGCUUGACGAAUGUUCCUAGGGACCUCGUAGAUAAACCCUUGGUCCGGCCCCCGCUCCAAAUCCUCCACUUCCGAAUCAUUGGAUGCUUCAUCUUUCUUUGUCUCAAAUGAUGGGGCGUUAAUUGAGCCUAAUUGUCCCUUCCUUGGAGCCAUUUCUUGCACCUACUUUUUCAUGUAUCUAGCAUACAUAUCAAGUUAGCAAUAAACUUUAUUUAUAUAUUGAAUGAAAAAUGAUUUUAGUAUCGUUAUGUGGCAUGCAACAUUACAGUGCUUUGAAAUCAGUAUGUACCGACCAGACCAGUACUAGUAUGGUACUGACUACUGUAGAUCAUACACAUAGAGACUUAAAACUUACAGGGAAUCCGAUAACCUUUGGCUUCCAAUACUAGAAUUGGCUGCUGACGCCUGGAUUUGAAAACGGAGAGAAAUGGAAGGGAAACGUUGAAGAACUAGUUACUAGAUAAUAAGUGAAUCCUUGAAGUCGAUCAGAGUGGCUAAGGGCAUUUAUAUAGAUGCAAAUUUGGAUCAGGUUGGUUGAAUUUGAUCCAAAGUCUAAACAUCAAAAAAAAUAUUAGAAAAGGUGGCAUUGGUGGGUGUUUAUAAAUUGAAUCUUAAAAUGUAUUUAGUUAGCUGUUAAUGUCUCCUAUAUUUAAUAUAUUAAAGGGUUAAUGUAUUUUUCCCUUUCUGAUUUUAAAAAUAACGUUUACUUUCGUAUGUCAAUUUUGUAUAAUAACGUUUACAUGGGGUCUACUGUGUAAGUCUAUAACUCGAUUAUGUCAGCAUAGAGAGUGUGUUAGGAUAGAAAACAUGGUGCAACCUAUCAGGUUAGAAGACUUGGAAAAAUCUAUUGAGACAUUUAACUUGGGGUAAAAGAGUGAAGAACUGUAGCUUGGUUGUGACAUCAUGAAGACUCAGCCGAUAUGGUGAAAAUGGGACUUCACAAGGUGAAAAAUCUUAGCUUGGUGAUGGAGUUUGGCGAAGAACGCCAAAUGGAAUGGAACCUAAGGCUUUUUCAAUUAGAGGAUGUACCAAAUGAAGGAGUGAAACUUCAGGGUCCAUGGGUAAGGGCUAAGUCACUAGGAAUGACAAGGAACUCGCUUAAGGUUUAUCUGGGGUAAAUAGUUUGCUAGGAAAAAGGGAAGAUCGGAAUUUUAAACCCAAUAAGCCAAUGUUAGUUAGUUAAUGGCUGACAUGGGAAUCUCUCAUCCAAGGUGGCGAAAGGGGGAAACAAAGAAUCUUGGAUGAGGUGUGUUCAAUUCUGUAUUCCUCGUGAACCCCUACCUUGGAUAGAAUUUGUGUAUGCUACAAAUUAUGAAGGAGUUGGUCAGCGGUGCGCUUUAGGAAAAAAGCGAAGAGAAAGACACAUUGAAAUAAUCUGCUAAUGGCCAAUGGUGACCAGAGAGUGGAAAAAUAUCCUUUUAGGGUUUAUUUAUUAAAUUUCAAUUUAGCUAUAUGUCGACUUGCAAAAGAUCACUAAGUUCUAUCGAACUAACCAACGGUAUGCUUAAUUGCAGGAAUAAGCUUUCACUUGGAAAUUGCGCGGGGGGCUAAGCCAGACUUUGCCAACUUGAAGGAAAAAGGGAGGGAUAGUCAUAACAUGCAUAUAGAGGGGCGCUCUUAGAGGUUAUACCUUGGGGUUUUAGUCAAGUUCUAAAAUUUUCAAGUUUUAAAGUCAAAGUUUUAAAUGAAGUUGUGAACUAGCUAUUUUAAAAGAUGUAUAUGCUAGUAUUGACUAUUGUGUAUUGUUAAUUAGUUGAGAAUAAAAUUCAAAUGUGUUAGCUAGAUAUUUAGGAUUUGAAUCAUCCGAAACUCGGAUUUGGAGAGCAAGUCGGGUACGGGUGUUACAAAUAUUUACCGAGCUAAUAUAAAAAUAUAUUGAAGAAUGGUCGAAUAAUUUUGUCAAAUUAAUAGUUAAUUAAGGCUCCAGGACAAAAUUGUAAAGUCCAAUCAUUAUAGAGUUUUAAUUAAAAAAAAGCUUGAGGACUAGAUAACAAUUAACCAAAAGACCGAAAUGGGUAAUAAACCAUUAUUAUGUAAAAGUUAAUGGAAGAUUCUAUCUCUAAUAAGUGAAGUUAAAAGUUAGAUUAUGCUAACUAAUUGUGAUUUAUUAAGCUAAUUAGCUACUAAUUAAACUAUAAAUAACAAGAUAAGUGGAAAGAAAUAGAAGGUUACCAUCUUCUUCAUACUUCUUUAGCUGAUUCACCAUUGAAAGAAAAAGAGAAAACCCAUUCUUAAGGCUUAGUCAUUCGAACAUUCAAAUAGGUAUGGAAAUCAAGCUAUUUUCUUGUAAUUUUAUAGAUUUAUGGUCAUGAAAGCUUGAUACAGCUAACCCAUGUACCAAUUUGUGAAUUUGUUAAAGUUUUAGAAAGUUGUCAUUGUUGAUUAUUUAAAGAAUUUGGUUUGAAAUUGAUAGAUUUUAAGCUUAGAAUAUGAAAAUGACUAGAUUUUAAAGUUAAAUUAGCUUGUUUGUUAACUUUGUUAUGUUAGAGACCAAAUUGAGUAAAUGUAAAACCUGUCAUGAAAUUAUGUUACAAAUAGAAAAUAUAAGGCCUCUAAUGAGAAUAUAUGAAAUCAUAUUUUAAUCCAAAGCUAGGAAUUGAAAGUUAUGCCUAUCUCGAGUUUAGGGACUAAAUUGAAUAAAACAUAAAAUAUGAAGGAAAUCAAAAAAUAAAUUUAUAUAGGAUCAUGCAUGUCAGGAAAUUUUAUGAAAAUGUUUGGUAUUGAAUUUUUAUAUAAAAUAAUUGUAUAUAUCAAGAUUUGGUUCAAAGUGGAGUUAAUAGGGGAAAAGCUAAAAUUAGGGAUUAGUCUCUAAAGAAUCGACUAGUGUUUUGUUUUGAAUAAGUAAGUUCAUAUGGAAUUUUCUAUCUCAUUUUUGUAUGAUAUGUGUGCUUGUGUUUAAUUUGAUAUAUCUAUGUUUGAGUAUAAUUUAAAAUAUUAGUGAAUUUGACAUAUAUGUCUAGUAAUGGAAUGAAUUGGAAUGCCAUGUGAUGAUUGACUAUUGCGUAAUAAAUGUGAAAAUUUGAAUGACUAUAGAGUAUAAAUGUAUAAAAUUGAUUGAUUAUAGGGAUGAUAAUGAAAUAUGUGUAAUUGAUGCCUAUUGAGUUAUAUGCGUGCUGGAACGGGAUAUGUGAUUGUACGAAGAUUAUUAUAGGUCAUAUUGAGAUUCAACAUCCGUUGCGGAUCAUCAAGUAUUAUAUAGCUCAGAUAAUCAACUUGGUGUAAUUUAGCUUGGAUGAGCAACCUAGUAUGGCAUAGUUUACCUAUGUAUCUGAGUCUAUUUUACUAAAGUUCCAUCUGGUGAAACAUGAUAAUUGGAAUAUAAAACUUGAAAAUGUAAUGAAAUGAGUUGAUAAAAUAAUUUGAUAUAACAUUGAAAGGAAUUGUAUGGAAUUAGUAUAAUCUUAUAGAUCGGUAAUGGAAUAUGACAUUAAAAAUGAACUAUGUGAAGUUGUUAUGUUCUUAUAGAUAAUGAUAGAAUAUGACAUUGAGACAAGUUAUGUGAAAGUGAUGGAUUGAUAUGUUUUGAGUUUGCUUAUACCUACUAAUGAACAUGGAUACUUCUGCUCACUUGUUAUUUUAAGUGCUAUGUCUUAGUAAAAAUUUUGCCAAAACUAAGGUAGCUAACAUACAAAGUAUGCCAAGUAUUUAAGAAGAAUUGCUCCUCCUUUUUUCUGAAUAUUAAUUACUUACUUUCUUAAAUGACAUGCGAGAUUUUCUUUCUUUUUCCUUUCUCCCUUCUUUCUUUUCCUUCUCCUUUAUUCACUAAAUCACUACCAUCCACAACCUGUUCCUCCCUUAAGUUGUUCACAUGAUCAUCUUUAACCUCAACCUUCUUUACAAGAUAUAUAGAUAGAUGGGUGCAGAUGAAGAGGUCAGGAGUUGGGUUGAGUGACGGAGCAACGAUAAGUUAAGCAGAUGGUGUGGUUUGUGCAAGCAGGUACUGAAGAUUACAUACCCAGAAAAAUUAGGUCAUAGGGCAUAUAAUGUUAACUUUGGCAUGAUAAUUAAACUUAAUAUACACUAAAAUAUUUGACCGUAGCCAAAUGCCAAACUAAAAGCAAAACCAUGAAAACUUCAAUCACUACUUUCAUUACAUACAAAUGCAUAGGCAUUCGUAUUUUAUUGAAAACACACCAGCACGAUAAUACUAAAAAUUAAUUCACAAAAGCAAACACGGUUUGUAUGCAGGUGAGGACGACAACCAUAAAAGCAGCAACAGUCCCUGUUCCUCUCCAAAGAUUGGGGAAAUAAACACGCUUCAGAAUUCCAUAAUUUUCCUUGAUGAAUAAUGUCACUUUGCGCUUCCGACCCUCUUUAUAAAGCU
Molecule: long non-coding RNA, 173066 nt
Filed under: Gossypium raimondii (Peruvian cotton)
Lineage: Eukaryota; Viridiplantae; Streptophyta; Magnoliopsida; Malvales; Malvaceae
Description: long non-coding RNA (GRAI_LNC010914)
Source: RNAcentral